GCAGGCUCUGGGAAGAGCGGACCUCCAGCUCUGCACCUCCUUCACGUCAACGUUAGAACGACCUUCAUGUUUAGCAAAAGCUUCUGCAAAACUUCCCUCGAGUUUACGAAUAUUGGACGGAUCGACUUGGUAGAAAAUGGGGAAUACAAUCUGGUUCUUGGAAUGGUUGCAUUCCAAGAUUUCCACGAGUUCUUUCAAGCACCAUGUGGAUGAAGCAUAGUUUUCAGAGAAAACUACAAUCGAAAUCCUUGACUCUCGAAUCGCUGUCAGGAGCUCGGAAAGGCGGUCGCCUUUUCUGAGGUCUUCGGCAUCAAUGAACGUGUUGAUUGGUUUCUGACGCAGAGCUUUGUAGAGAUGGCUGACGAAGCCCGUGCGAGUGUCUUCCCCUCUAAAAUUGAUGAACACAUCGUAUUCCCAACCAAGGCAAGAAGAAGAAGAAGAAGCAGCAAUUAAUCGAUCGCACCUGGGCAGCGAUGAUCGAGCAGCUUAAGACUAAGAGAAUUGUAAGUACAGAAACACUCAAUAGAUCUACAAAUUGGAUCACCAGAAAUUAGUCAAUGAGUCAAUGCAAAAGGGAAAAGGGCAAUUAUGCUUUUUGCGUUUUCACAUCUUCUUCAGGAAAUUUCGGUGUGAAAGGAAUCCGCAUACUUUUGAUUUUUCAACCCAAGAAAAUGCGAAGAAAGGGGACAAAGUAGUAAAUUUAAUCUACAGUUGCCUACCCAACAACCUCUUGAUUUAAUAUAUAUUUAAUUAGGAAAAGUAGUUUAGAGGAAGGAUGGUAUCUCCUUUUCUUCUCUCUCGAUCAGUCAAUCUUCCCGCGUGCGAUUUAAUCAUGAUUAAAGCUAAGCUUAAUCUUAGAUCGUAUUAUUUAGGUCUAAUUGGAUUCUUAAUUCUUGUUGUGAUAUAGUAGUUGGAAGAUUAAAAAAAAUUAUGAUUUAAAUGUUUGUGGUGAAGUCUGUUACGAUUUAGUUUCAAACUUGAAAAUUUCGUUAACUCCGUUAAUUAUUAGCACAUGAGACUCACAAAUGAAACUAAAAAUAUAAAGUUAGCCUCACAUGUAAUCUUCACGUGCUAACAAUUAAAAGAGAGUUCCGUUUUAGCUUAAUAUAUGUGACUCACGUGUUAAUAAUUAACGGAAUAUUAACAAAAAUUUUAAUUUUAAGCAUAAAUUCAAAUAAACUUCACCACAUAAGCUUAAAUUCUAAUUUAGAUAUCUUCUAACUAUCUUAUCACCAUAAAAAUUAUAAUCAAAUUAAACUUAUUAUUUAUUUAUAAAUGCGUAAUUAAAUCACAAAGUGUUGAAUGAAAGGGAGCACUCCAAAUGAUGAAAGAUGUGUGAUAUCCACACAUCUUUUUUUUUACUUUUUACACAUCGUUUUAAUUUUCGACUGUCGGAUCGAAUUAAUUGAAGAAAAUCAAAGGAUAAAAAUCAACAAAGGGUGUGCAAGAAGUAAAAAUGAGUGUGUGGAUAGUCAUCCCAUGAAAAGCGGGAGCAUCGAAAGCUAUCUCCGUUUCUUGUUGUCUAUUUGUCUUCUUUUGGCAGAUAGCUCCUAGGGACCGGCCUAUUUUCCACAGCUGGUUAUAGGACUCAGUUACUAUAGAAGGAGUGUUUUGUUGUAAUUCAAUAUCGAUGGAAAUCCAACAUAAUCUUUUUCAAAUUUUUGUGAGGAUUUUGGGGUGUACGUAAAUUGAUUAUGUUCAUCGUAUAUUAUGUGACCAUUUUUUAUCAAAUACUAUUUGUGUUUCAUUUUAAAUAAAAUAAUUUAAAAUAAUUUUUAACUGCAAGAUGUACAAUGAACGGAUAUAAUUCACAAAUCUCCAAAAUCCUUACAAAAAAAUCCGAAAAAGAUCCAAAUUCAAUGGAAAUAAGCUAAUUUUGAAUCAAAUUACAUUACUUUAUUUUGUAAAUAAAUUAAUUUUGAAUCGAACAACAUUCAUUUAUUAUGUAAGUAAUUCAUUUUGUAUGUAUCAUCAUAUAUAUUAGGCACAUUUUAUCAUAGGUGAUUUUGUGAAAAAUUAAUAAAAAGUUACAAUAUUAACAAUAGAUCAAUAAUAUUUAUGUUAAUUAUAAAUAGGUUAACCAUAUGUUGUGAUACUUAAAUACAUUUAAAAUAAAUAAAAAUUACAAAAUCUGACAUCCACUGCGACGUAGGAGCCACGGUGCAGCCCAAACUUUGCAGAUAAGAAAUCUGGUAAUUCACAGCAUGACAAACAAAUUACUGGGUCUCCUGACCAUCGUUGAUGCCAAUGUGUGCACAAGGAAAGGAGUAAGGUAAUCAAAUGCGUUAGUCUUGUGUACCUGUUUCGGUGUUGGUUUGGAUGAACCCAUUGAGUUCUCGAUCCUUAACUUCUGGAAAUGCUCCUGAAAGCAUAAAUAUAUGUACGGAUUUAAACCAAUGACAAAUGGACAUAAUUUACGGACAAUGAUUGAAGAAAAUACAGAUAUAAACGCCUCAGUAUUCCAUUGACGAAAGUUCUAGAUUUGAUGAAUCAAAAGUCCCACGUUGAGACUGCGUUAAGGCAAAUGGUUCUCAAAACCUGUUUUUCCCUCAUCAAAUGAGCGCGUUGAUCUGCAGGUAUUUUCUGCCAUCUCAAAACCUGUUACAAAGAAAUAUAACGUUGAUGUCGAGCUGGAUAGCAUAUUAUACCAAUUAUGUGUACAAACCUAUUGAAAUAAAGUAGCUGUAGUUGCAUAUUACGACAGAUAUUAACGAAAACAAAAGAAGGCUCGCCUAUUCAAGAUCCUAAAUCCCGUGAUUCUUUUGUUUUUAGUUUCAGAAAUUUUCAGAGCAAACUGGAAAGUACCAAGAUACUUACAUAUUGGGCAUAAUGAAAUGCAUCUUCAUCUUUCAAGCAAGAUUUGAGUGAGCGCAAACCGUCCUGAGAGUUACAUAAGUCAAUCAGUAAUAUAAAAACGUAGACGCAUCACAUCCAAACACAAGUAUUCAAACACCAACAACUUCUUCAUGCGGUGAGGCAUGUUAAAAAAUAGGGAAGAACAGUUAUUGAAUAGGAAGUUAAAGGACUAAAUUUAUGACCUUGUGUUUGUAGUUCUUGGCUCGUAUGCGUUCAUCUAUUACAAAACCAAUCUGUAACAGGUACAACAGAAAAUAUAAGCAGUAGUCAGAACAUUAAUCUUCGGCAUUCACAUUGCCACCAAUCCAAAGUUAAAAGUCUGAAGGCAAAACAGUAUGAUUCUUAUCUCUCAAACAAAAAUGAAACUAUACCCCGGUCUCAGACAUAAAUGAAAUAAGUUCUACUGCCUCAACUGAGUACUGUGAUUAUAUAUAAAUCCAAUUCACCUUGUCAAGUAAUCUCUUAGGAUCUUGAAAUGCUUCCUUCUUAGCCCAGUCAUUAAAUACAUGCGAGAAAAUUGAUCUCUCAUCCACACUGAAUCUAUUGCACAGUGACAGAAGAAUAAAGUUAAACAUGAACAUAACCAACCAAAAUGCUAGUUAUAAUAGUACACCCAUAAUUGCAAGCAAAACCUUUUUAAGAAGCCAUUUCCAUGGUUUUCCUCCCAAAUUCCAUCAAUUCUGCAGAGGCAACGUCAAAUUUACUAUGAUGGAGAUCAUUUUGCACUGUAAUAACUUCAGAAGGUAGGAGAUUUGGUUUCAGAUCAUCUGUUGACGGAGUAGUUUCUUUUGAAGUGUCAUGAUGCUUUUGAUUGCAAGCCUUCUGUACUUACGUCAGCCUACAAAACAAAAAUUGCAUUCAUCCACACUAGACUUAAUAAGAUUAGAAACACUUCAGAUUCUUCAUUAUUUGUAUUUUUGACUAAACAGCAGAACAACUGAGGAUAAUGAACAGUAAUACACACCUGGACUUCUCGUAGAUGAUUUGGAAUUUCUUUCAGAAAUCGCGAAGGUUGAAGCAUCUGAAGGAGUCACCUUCUCAGUCAGAGCAACAACAACAAAUAAGGAGGACAGGAAUUCAAGCUAAAACGAACCUGCCAACUGGAAUCCAUCGUAACAUAAAGAAUGAAAAGCUUUUUUCGAGCACGAGUCAUUGCAACAUAUAAUAGGCGUCUCUCCUCCUAUGAUUAGAGUGGGAUUAUUGAGUUAUUGACCAAAAGAAAAAAGAGUGGGAUUAUUGUGAAAAACAUGUCAAAGCUCUGCAUAUAACUGAAAAAUGUUGAACAAUUUACCACACACCUCAAUGGAGGUCCCAUUUUCUUUUGCAACCCCAUUGAAUUCAUGCAACAACGGGAUCUCAGAUUCAUUUACCUGUGUUAUUGGCAUGAGCAUUAAAGCAAGCUAAGAUGAUUUGAAGAGGUUGAUAUCGUCAUGAAUAUAGUAGAACAGAAUACCAAUUUCAAGCCAUCAAUUAGGUAUAGCAUUGGCAUGUUUAAUCCGUAAAUCUAAUGACAGAACACCUCAACUCUACACAUAAAUAAAUAAACAACCUGAAAAAUAUUACAGCCACAUGUUAAGGCAAAUACCUUAAUUAUGAAAACUAUAUCCCACUCUAAACCUUUUGACUGCAAGAGAAUGAAAAAGAAAGACAGUAAGCCAAGAAUGUUUUGUAGAACUCCAAAGGAAGUCCAAUAGGGAAAUCAUCGCAAGUAUAAGAGUUAGCGAGGUUCGCAUAAGAGGAUAUCAAAAAGAUCUAGAACCUGAUGAAUAGUAGUCAAAGUGACAGAACUUUGGUUGUCAUGUCUUCGGGAGUGAAAAUUUUCACUCUCCUGCUCAGAUAUGUAGUCGAUGAAAGCUUUGAGUAAAUUAACGCAGCCUUUUUCUUCUGCUACGACUUCUCUCUCCCCUUUUCCCGCAACAAAAUGAGUUGAUAAGAAAUCAGAUACGUCGUCUAGUAGGUACUGAAGAACCUGCAAUGAGAAUAAUCGCAUCACAGCAACAGGGUUGGACCAAGAUUUAAGUGACAACAAUGAUUAACUAACUAAAAUAGAGAAAUUAUUCAUUUAAGACCUUGUUGACGGAAAAAAGGGUUUUCCAAGCAGCGGGUCAUUUAAGCUUAUUGUAUAAAUGACAAUCAUCACAAACGGCAAACUUACAGAUCUCACGUCAUUGUCUUCAUUCAGCAGUUUUCCUCCAUCUACAUCAACGACUGCACGUUGCUCAAGACGGUACUUCUAAAAAUUGAAAGUCAACAACAACAACAACAACAACAACAAAGCCUUUUCCCACUAAGUGGGGUCGGCUAUAUGAAUCCUAGAACGCCAUUGCGCUCGGUUUUGUGUCAUGUCCUCCGUUAGAUCCAAGUACUCUAAGUCUUUUCUUAGAGUCUCUUCCAAAGUUGUCCUAGGUCUUCCUCUACCCCUUCGGCCCUGAACCUCUGUCCCGUAGUCACAUCUUCGAACCGGAGCGUUAGUCGGCCUUCUUUGCACAUGUUCAAAAUCACCGGAGCCGAUUUUCUCUCAUAUUUCCUACAAUUUCGGCUACUCCUACUUUACCUCGGAUAUCCUCAUUCCCAAUCUUAUCCUUUCUCGUGUGCCCACACAUCCCACGAAGCAUCCUCAUCUCCGCUACACCCAUUUUGUGUACGUGUUGAUGCUUCACCACCCAACAUUCUGUGCCAUACAACAUCGCUAGCCUUAUUGCCGUCCUAUAAAAUUUUCCCUUGAGCUUCAGUGGCCUACGACGGUCACACAACACGCCGGAUGCACUCUUUCCAUCCAGCUCGUAUUCUAUGGUUGAGAUCUCCAUCUAAUUCUCCGUUCUCUUGCAAGAUAGAUCCUAGGUAGCGAAAACGAUCGCUUUUUGUGAUCUUCGCUAGAUUUCUCCGGUCAUUAGUGUGGAUAAGUAUAUAAAUGGAUAGAGAUAGGAAAGCAAACACAAGAUGUACGUGGUUCACCCAGAUUGGCUACGUCCACGGAAUAGAAGAGUUCUCAUUAAUUGUGAAGGGUUUACACAAGUACAUAGGUUCAAGCUUUCAUUUAGUGAGUACAAGUGAAUGAUUUUAGUACAAAUGACAUUAGGAAAUAUUGUGGGAGAAUGAUCUCGUAAUCACGAAACUUCUAAGUAUCGGAGUGUGGUGUCGUCUUGACUUGCCUUAUCUGUCUCAUAGGUAGAUGUGGCAUCUUCUCUGGAAGUACUCUUCCUCAAACGAUAAAUUAUUAAGAAGCAUUGAAUAUAAGCAUGAAACGAAGAAAAUGUUAUGGAAUGGUGAUCCUCAUCCUCAAAGAUGAUUAAAAGCAAUUUGAUUCAAAAAUGACAUAUCAACUCUGGAGAAAUGGAAGACAAACCUGUGGUACCAUAUUCGCAACUGAGGUUAUGACAGCUGAAAUCGAUUGUUCCUGUGUGCAUUGAUAAGUGAGACUACCAUAGAGAUUCACAACUAAAUAAAGACAGGUAUUCCACAGAACAACCUUUACCUCUUUGGAAACACAGAUCUAACAAAAACUAUAACAUUUUGGAUUAAUAUUGACAAAUCAAGAAUAAUGCAAGGGAGCAAGAGAUACUCUUCCUUCUAAUAACAAGGAGGCGUGAAAAGUAUACAGAGUUCCAACAAUUAGAGAACUAAAAUCAAACUAAAAAAAUCACCAAAGUAGACAGAAUCUCACUUCGCCAAAAAUUUGAAAAUAUACCUUUUUAUCCAUUGAGAUUCAUGAACUACUACUACUACAUCAUGCCAAUAAGCAAUGCGUAAGAGGAGCUACAAUUUACCGAAUAUAUUUACCCUGAGAACAAGUUUUGAAAUCAUCUCUAGUGUUAACAGCACCUUGCGUCCUUGGGUAAGCUGAGUCCUAUUAUCAAGUAAAGAGACCAAUCAGUACAUAUCCAAAAGAUCUUAAAUGCUUGUAAUACCAAAUAAGAAAGAAACAUGAGUAUAUCUUGAAUUAACCAUGCAAAAAUGUAAUGUUAAAGCAUCUUGUCAUACAGACCUCUUCAAGGUACCAGAAAUUUUUGCACUAAAGAUGUCACAAGCAGCUGAUAUGAAGCUGCAUUUUCUGUGAGUUGAAAUUUUGUCAAUAUAAUCGAUCACCUGAAGAGAGAGAGAGAGAAAAAGACAGUGAUAUCCAGAGAUGUGAGCCUAAAUGCUGAGUGUGUAAAAAAAGAAGAUUAAAUGGAUAGCAAGAAUAUACAACUUUAAUGCUGAAAAGAACAUUGAAUAUGAUGCUCAUUCAUCAUUCCCAUUGAACGUGUACCUUCUUCUUUUCCUCUUUCUCAAAAGCAAGUAGAGCCUUGAAGACUUGCCUAUAUGAUCCAUCAUCACAACCAGGCAAAGUUGUUUUAAUCAUAGCAACAAUGGCUCUAACUACCUGCCAUAAGAAACAUGCUACAUCAACAAGAUCACAGAGUGUACCAGAAACCGUAAUGUAGCAAAAUCUUGGAUAAAAUAGCUGGCCAAAAGGGAAUGGAAAAGCAAGCAUGAAAAACAAUGAAAAGGACCAGUGAUGCCAAAAUUCUGGUGGAAAAGGUGAAAAGCUUCUGUCUAUUACAGUUCUUGUAUGCAUUCUUUAUAACUUAAGUUCUACGUAGCAAAAACCACCUUAUGCACAACAAUAUUGGAAAAAUUAGAUACAUACAACUGAGAAGAUAGGUUUUCAUAAUCUGGACAAGUGCUAACUACUUUCUUCCUAUAAACUGCCACUCCAUGAACAUUAAAUGGUAUUUUCCUUUCACGCAAGGCUGUCUGGAAGACUUUUCCUGAUACCUGUAGCAUAAAAUACAAAAGAAAAUGUGACCAAAAUGUCUUAUAUGAUUCACCUCAUUCACAUUAGCACUAAGGCAAGUAAGCUUGACCUGCCUCCGGUAAAGGAUUGCUAUAUUUCCAUAGGAGCACCCUGCUUCUGACCGUUUAGAUGCAGUCUCCAGGAUCUUGUCGACAACAAAGGCGCAUUGUGCAUCCUCAUUGUGACUUUCCUUGAUAAUUACCUACAUUUUGCCAGUAAAACCAGUGUCACUAACUAUAAGGACUGAAAAAUGACAUCAAAUUGUACUUGUUGGAGCAAGGAAAGAUUAAGUACCUUAGACCCAGAAGAAUUGUCCAUGUCAACAUUCUUUAGUUGGCAUUGCUUCUUAUUGUUUUUUAUAACAGAAGUUGCAGCUUCCACAAUAUAGCGUGUGGACCGAAAGUUUUUAUUAAGCCUAAUCUGAACCAUAAAGUUAUGUCAAAUCCCACAGAACCUCGUAAAAUAAAACUUACUUUCCUGUAAUUGUACAAUAUAUUUUUUCUGUACUAUAUAUAAUGAAAAAAGACACUGAAUGACAUAAGAUAACAUAGCAGUCAAGUGCGAAGCGAACCUCUUUGUAAUUUGAAAAAUCUUUACGAAAAGAAUCAAAUCCAGAAAUGUCCGCCCCAUUGAAACUGAAAAUGGACUGCAGCAGGAUAUAUGUUAUUUGAUUUAAAACAGAUAAGGGCUGGAUUAGAAUGAGCUGAGAGAGAGAGAGAGAGAGGGAGAGAGGGAGAGAGGGAGAGAGGGAGAGAGGGAGCAAUAACAUUGGAUUUCCAUAACAAAUCAACAACAUGCCUGAUCAUCAUCACCAACAAUGGUUAUGUGGUUAUGAGAGGCGAGAAUCCGCAAAAGACUAUAUUGCAUAGCACUUGUGUCUUGAAACUCGUCUAUUACAGUAGCUUUCCAUGACUCCUGGCACUCCUUCAACACUAAUUAAGAGAACACCAUGUAUCAACAUUUAGCAUUACUUGUAAAACUAGAUAAAUCAAUGAAAUAUACUUAGAUGAUAGAGACCUUCAGGAAAAUCACUUAGCAGCUUCACAGAGCAGCUAAUUAAGUCGUGGUAGUCCAAAGCAUUGCACGAUUUCAAGAUAUCAUUGUAAUUCCUAAGAAUUUCACCCUGAUUCAGAUUGAGAGCUAAAACUCAUAAGCAAUAGUUUCAAAGAACUGAAAUGAUAUCUGAAAUUCUAGUUCUGAGCGUACUCCUGUCACAUCACCCAUUCUUCGGCAUUCAGCCGGAGUCUUUCCAGAAGCCUUUGCCUGAAACAUAAAUAAAUUUAUUGCCUAAUGCCACAUAUUGUAAGACACACCAUUGUAUUGGUCAUUCUAGCUUGAUUGUAGCUAAUAUUUUUUAAAUCGAAUGAUUAGAGUUCUUAAUCCACAAUAAUCUGAACAUUAAAUUUGGUAUUCAAGACUAACCUGUGUCACCAACUACAGCCAUUUCCUUGAUGCAUCCUUAAAAUGAUGUGGAGAUGUUACGCCGUUAGACUCUUCCCCAUCUAUAGCAACAUUAAGAUUCGUUUACUCUUUUCAUCUUCUGAUAACCGCACAGCUUCAAUGAUUGCUCUUCUCUGUUGCCCAUGUCCAUAUAUCAAAAAUUCUGGUCUGCGCUCGAGUCUAAAACACAAGCCAACAUAACAGACUCAGCUAUACCACCAAAUGUAUGGUGUUCAAAAUCAAGGGAGGUGAAUCAAUAGCUUACUUCUCAGCAUGUGAUCGGCAAAGUUGCAAUGAAAAUGAAUGAAAUGUACUGAUUGUUAGUAGUUUUGCCGUUGCUUUCCCAGUCACAGAUCCAAUUCGAUCUCUCAUCUCGGAAGCUGCUGCUGUAGUGAAAGUCAUUGCUAGAAUGUUCGACGUGCUAAUGCCCUAAGAACACAAAAAAAAAAAAAAAAACGUAUAAGAUUUCGAUCAUAAACAAGAAAUGUAGAGAAACACACAAUUACGAAAGAAAAAGUUAGAGGGAAAGUAGCAACACCUCAUUGAGCAGCAUUAGAACGCGCCCAACUAUCGUUGAAGUCUUUCCACUUCCAGGGCCGGCAACAAUCAUCAAAGGUACUGAAAUAUCGCUGCAAGCUGCCUCGCGCUGCCUUUCGUUGAGAGAAAGCAAAUACUUCAAUACUCAUCCGGCAUGUUAGGCAAUCCAUGGUUAACAGAAUCUUUUUGGUUUUCACUACUCAAAGGUGGCGCUGAUGCGGCACUAACGUCACUACCACAACUCCCAAUAUCAUCACGCUGAAUGUCCACACUCGGUUUCUGCUCGAUUAAAGCGUCAAUUUCCUGCAAAAUACUCUCGUCGAAAUCAUCAUCGUUAAGAAUUCCAGAUGCAGAGAAAGAAUCAAAUGAAGUCAGAAACUGCGGUUGUCUGAUUGGAGUUGUGAAAGAAUCCGAUUUUGACACGCUUGAUUCGGUCCGGCUAACGCUUAAGCUCCCGGAACACGAAGCACUGCCAUAUUCACCACGCGUUGAAUUGUACCGGCUUGCGGAAAUCGGAGGCGGUGUUCUUUGAACUCUAUUGAGCUGAGUUGGCGUUUGGAUUCCAUUUCCGCCACAGAUUCUGGAAUUUGAAAAACACAAUUGAAUUGAUUUAAAUUGAAGCAAGAAAACAGCCGAGUAGCAAAAAAAUAGUAAGAAGAUGAAACCUUUGAUUCCUGAACGACUUACUUGGUAUGAGGGAGGUGAUGAUCAGGUGAAACGGCGUCGUUGCGGGGGCGUUUGCGAUCAAUGAGGGCCUUGGCGGCUCUGAAAUUCCGAGAGAUGCGGUUUCUUUGUUCCGCCGUGAGCCCUCCGCCGUACGCCUGAACGUUUUCCUUGGACAUUGCUUCGAAGAUUCCAACGGAGGAUUUGGCCUGACGGCCUGACCAGGCUGAUAACAGUGUAAAACCUUAGGAGCUAAGGAAAACUAAGAGAUAGAUCGUAGAGAGGGAAAGUUUUUUCUUUUUGGAAACUAGUAGGGAGGGAAAGUUUGUUAAACCUGAAUAAUAUUCUUUUCAUUCAACUUGUCUACAAUAAUUACCACUCUUGGUAUUUAUACAUUUCUAACACACCUCACUAACUAACUAAGACCACUACCAAUCAUACAAAAAUAAUUGUCCUUUGAUGAACUCUUUCACGAACAAAGUGGCAAUCAAUCUCUACAUGUUUGGCUUUAGAGUGCAAUACAGGUUUAGUGGCAAGAGCCAUUGCUUAAAUGUUAUCACAAUGCAAAACUGGAACAGAAGGAGAACCAACAUGCAAAUCUCGAAGAAGAUGUUGUAUCCAGAUAACCUUAGCAGUGGUUGUAGCCAUUGCUCUAUAUUCAGCUUCAGUGGAAGACCCACUCACUGUAUGCUGCUUUUUAGAACUCAAAGAGAUAGGAGUGACAAAACCCAUGGUUGAACGACGAUCAUUGUGAUCCCCUGCCCAAUCAGCAUAUGUAUGAGCUUUCAACUAAGAUGAACCUGAUUUAAAACACAAUCCCAGAGACAUAGUGCCUCUGAGAUAUCGCAGAAUACGUUUCACAGCAGCAAAUGAGUGGCUAAUGGUGAAUGCAUAAACUGACAUACUUGAUUGACGGAAAAAGAAAUAUCUGGUCUUGUAAAUGUUACGUAUUGUAGUGCCCCAACAAUACUUUUGUAAGUGGUAGGAUCAGAAACAGGUUCACUACCAUGAUUCAGAAGCUUUUGAUUAGGAUGACAAGGUGUGGAAAAAGGUUUACAGUCCAGCAUAUGCAUCUUUUGAAUGAGUUCUUUGACACACUUGGUCUGAUGAACAAAGAGUCCCUGUUCUUGAUAUUCAAUCUGUAAACCAAGAAAAUAAUGCAACACACCCAGAUCUUUCAUGUCAAACUCACUAGUUAACUGACUAAUAACAUUCUGAACCUUCACAGCAUCAUUACUAGUGGGAAUGAUAUUAUCAACAUGUAAUAAGAGAACAAUAAUUGAUGAACCAUCACACUUGACAAAUAAAGAAGGAUCUGCAUAUGAUGACUUGAACCCAAGCUUAGGCAAAUAACCUGAAAACCUGUCAUGUUAGGCUCUGGGAGCUUGCUUGAGUCCAUAUAAAGACCUCUCUAGUUUGCACACAUAAUCCGGAUAGGUAGAAUCCACAAACCCUUGGGGCUGAGACAUAAAAACUUCUUCCUCAAGAAAGCCAUGCAAAAAAGCGUUCUUGACAUCUAACUGUUUGAGUUUCCAAUUAUGAGAUGCAGCCAAGGAUAGAACCAAUCGAACUAUGUUUGGUUUGACCACAGGGCUAAAGGUUUCAUAAUAGUUAAUACCAACUUCUUAAGAAUACCCCUUAGCUACAAGUCUAGCCUUGUACCUAGCCACUAAACCAUCUGGAUUUCUCUUAAUCUUGUAGAUCCAUUUACAACUAACAAGAUUUUUGUCAGGUGGUAAGGGCACAAGCCUCCAAGUAUGAUGUUGAAUCAAAGCAUCCAUCUAUUCUUUCAUGGCAUUUUGCCAUUAAACACACUUGACAAUACUAGAAAAAGACUGAGGUUCCUUGAUUUCAGAAGCCUGAUCCACCUUAGCAGAAAACACCUUCUUUUUCAUAAUCCUAGACUUAGACCGGGUUUGCAUGGGAUGACAAUUUUGAGCAUUGAUACACACUGGUUGGAGAUCAUCCACUUGAGACAUUGUAGUAUUUGGAUGAUCUUUUGAAUACACAGUAGGCAAAACCUCUGAAGAAGGCACAAAACUUGUGGAAGAAGAGACAAGAUCACCAGAACUAGUGGGUUGAGAGGAUGAUGACUGAGUAACAUGUUGUGAUUUAGAGGUAAGAGAAGUGGGACCAAUAAAUGGAAAUGUGGAAGAAACACUAGGUGGAUGAAUGAAUGUGUUUGAAUGCACAACAGACAUUGGUGAGGAAGAAUGACCAGAAGUAACUUGAGGAUUGAAACCCAAAGCAUUAGAGUCUGUAGGAAACUUGGAUUCAUCAAAAAUAACAUGUCUAGAUACUAACAGUUUCUGAUCUUUGAGAGAUAAGCAAAUAUACCCUUUGUAUUGUGUAGCAUACCCCAGAAAAAUACACUUAGUAGUUUUAGGUUCAAGUUUAUUGCUUCUAUAGGGUUUCAAUGAAUGAUAGCAUAAACAACAAAAAAUUCUCAAAUGAUCAAGCUUAGGUGGAGAUUUAUAUAGCAUUUCAAAAGGAGACUACAUAUGUAGGGUAGGUGUGGGCAUUCUGUUUAUAAGAAAAGUAGCAGUGGCACACGAAUGGAACUAGAAUUUUGAAGGUUGAAACUUGUUGUAAAAAGGUAAUAGCUGUUUCGACAAUAUGUUGAUUUUUUCUCUCAGCCAACCCAUUAUGUUAUGGGGUAUAAGGACAAGAUUUUUGAUGAACAAUGCCUUUGGUAAGAAGAAAUUGCUUAAACUGAGUAUUAACAUAUUCCCCACCCCCAUCACUUUGCAAAAUUUUUACAUAAGCAUCAAAAUAAUUCGAGACAAAAGCAAGAAAGUUGACAAAACAGUGAGGGACCCCAAACAUCUAUGUGAAUUACUUCAAAUGGAGUAAGUGACUUCGAAGCAAUUACAGGAAAAAUGGAGCUUGGUAAAAUUUGCCUUGCAAACAAGCUUUACAAGUAUGAGAUUGAGAGUUACAAGGAAAAGAUAUACAAGACUUAUUAAGUGCUGCAGUGACAAUGGAAUGUGCAGGAUGGCCUAAUCGACAAUGCCACAAUGUAGAAUACAUCUUUUGACCCACAAAUGCAAUUGGAUUAAAAACAGGAGAAAUAGACCUAUGUGGUUUGAUUAUGGGAAGUGGAUAGACAACAUUAUUACUCAGCCCUUGGAAUAGCACUUUCCCGGUGACCUUGUCUUGUAGAUAGAGAGAAACAUCAUCAAUGAUACAAUGACACUGAUUAUCUUUGCACAACUGAUUCAUAGAUAAUAAGUGUUGUGACAGUUUUGGAACAUGUAACACAAAGUUUAACUUGAAAUUAUGUGACUUAGUGAGAAGAGAAGAGGAACCAAUAUGUUUGAUAGCUAAACCUUCACCACUAGCACUGGUCACAGUAUCAUUUGAUGGAUAAAUUUGUUGCCAUGUGCAAGUUUGACAAAUCUGAGGUCAUAUGGUUAGUUGCUCCCAAGUCAAGAAACCAUAAAUCUUGUUGAAGAGUUGAGGAUGAUGCACCAGCUCGUGCUUGUAUAGCAAGAGGAGGAUUUUGUGAGGAUAUAGUUGAGAGAUACAUAUGUGGUAUGACAUGAUACUGAAACUGGGAGCUAUUAGACCGUGGAAUCAUGCCUUGUGAAGGACCACAUGGAUUCUAGCUAGGUGCUUCGCCAUAUGACCCAGCAGGCAUUGGAGUUGGCAUAGAUGAGGAUAAACCCUGAGAGAAAUGCUUUGAUGUGCCUGUGAAAUUCUUAUUUCGAUCAAAGCAAGUAGCAGCAACAUGGCAAUUUCUGUGACAAAUUUGACAUCCAUGUUGAAAACAAUUCAAUGCAAAAUAAACUUUGCGAUCACAUAUUUGCAGAAAGGCCUUUGCAACCCUAGAAAGAAGAAGGAGCAAAGAAGACCAAAUGUGUACGUUUCUCUUUGGUUUUUUUUCCCUCUUAAUCACGCUGUUCGAAAUCACGGACCUCGGGCCUGGGCCUAGUGGGCCCAAUUAUGAGGCCCAUUAUCUCCGGUCUUCUCGUUCUACUUCUAGUUACCCAAAUUAAGAACGUACUGGUUCGCUUUUAGCGCGAGAGAGAAAUGGAGGCCCUGAUUGCCUCGUACGGAGACUCGUCGUCGGGCUCAGACUCCGAGUCGCCGGCUCCACCUCCAUCACCACCUCCGGAGCUCAACAACCCUCAAGAACCGACCCCUGCGCUGCCUCCACCUCCUCUGUCACUUCUCGACAACCCCAAUUCCUUCGGUAACCUCUGAUUCCCAUCAAUUUUCAUCUUUUAGCUUUCUGUUGUGAUGGCUUUUUCCGAGUUGCCCACCAAGUAUUUGAUGUUUUGCCUCUGAAGGAUUUCUGGACUUCUCGGCAAGCGCCCAGCCGAGCAGAGUUCGGAACUUUCCUCACGUCGAAGGGAACUACGCAGUACAUGUAUACAUCCCAGGUUAUCAAAAUUCUCGAAAUUUUCAGCUCCAUUAGCAAAUGCGAUCGCUUUGCACUUAGUUUUUGCUUGUUUAAUUCUGUGGUCAGUUUAUAUACCACCAGCACCAAGGAAAGAGAUGGCCUUGUUUUUGAACAAGCUAGCUUCUCUGGUGCCUGGUCUCCAUGCGGUUGACGUUGACUUCCUGCUUGACAUUCUGCGUAAGGACGAGCACAAGCUUGAACAAGUUGCUUUAGGCAGAGAGUUCCAUAUAAGUCUCGGAAGAACUGUUCCGAUUCGGGUGCACCAGAUUGAUUCCUUGGUGACAAUGCUGCGGCAGAAGCUUCAGAUUCAGAGGCGGUAUGGUUACAUUUACAUUCUCUUGUCUGCAUUGCGUGAAUUUAGUUCUGUUAUUUAACAUAAUUCUGUAAGCCUGCAAAUUUUUCGUCCAUUUUCAGUUUAACACAUUUUGUUAUUGUGAAACAAGUAUUGGAUUGAUUUUAGCAAGUGGUAGGUUUUUGUUAAUGAUGAUCAGACCCGGACCUUUGUGUCUAUCGAAAUCAUUGCUGCUGGGUUAGCUGAGGUAUGAUUGCUAGCUUUCUCUCUUGGUGCAAUUCUAAAUGUUUUCAGUUGUUAUAUGGGCUUAAGAUUUAGCAAGGACUUGCCGAAAGUCAUGGGAUUUUGAAAUAUCGAGAUCUUGCUUGCUUAUUAGCUUAGAUUUGGUCUUCGAUGCACUUGUAACAUGAAAAACACAAACGAAAACUAAUGCAUGAUAUGCUCAUGGUUUUAACAUGUGUUGUCCUGGCGUAAAUCAUGUUCCUAAUCAUGUCAUGUGAGUAUAAGCCUAUGAAACUUAGGGCAUGUUUGGCGGGCUGGACAAGAUUGGAAUUGGUAUUUCAGACUAGUUAGGUUAGGAUUGAACUGGAUAGGAUAGGUUUUUUGUCUAAAGAUUGGUGUAGACUGUCUUAACCAGACUAGGAACGAUGGGAUUUAAAACGUGAAACAGAUCGGCGACAUCCCAACGAUGACCCGCCCACCCAACAACUCUGCUCGUGACUUGCAACACCUCUCGUACCCUCCACGCCCCUUGCGGCCCGUCAGACCACUCUGAUAUCCUGGAGGAGUGAAACGUGGUUACUAGAAGCAUACCUGUUUUCGUAUUAAUGCACGGUUGAAUCAGCUUUCAUUGUCUACAAGUCUGAAAUAUUUUAACUUCCAUUGAUUUCAGAUAACAAAGCAGAUUCAAGCUGUGAAUGAGGUGUAUAAGCUUCACAAUCAUCCUAAAUUUUACAAGGUUAGCUUUUUCGUCCUUUUCAAACUCGAAUCGCUUCCUGAAUAUAUGACAAUAUAUUGGAUCAAAUGAUUUCUCAAAAAACUAAUUCACUUGAUGGGGUCUUGGUGAUCACAGGAUCCACGCCCUCACAUCUCGGUAGCUUGGGCAUUGGGUGACAUCAGCAAUUCCCUGAACAAAGUGGUUGAAGAAGAAAGACGAAGAUCUACCAUCGGAGGAUCGUUACAGAAAUGUAUUUUUACCAGUAAAUUCAAUGGUAUCGAAUGUAGGAUUGGUAAUAAGACACACAAAAUAUGUAAAUUUUCUGAAGAAUAAUGUAGCCAUUUAACUGUAUUGUGAAAUUCCGAGAAUAUAUCACUGAGCAUUGGAUGAGAAGACAUUUCUUCGUUGGUGUCGAACUUCUUGUCGAAGGUAUUGGCACCAGUGUAAACGUCAUCAUCCAUGUUGAUGGUAAUUACUUCCCAGCUACUAAGGGUGUCGGAACAGCCUUGCACGCAGCCUCCUGUGCAUUACUUGGUAUUGUCUCAGAUUCUCCAAACUUGAAUGCUAAUGUAAACCCACUCUUGACCUUUCCGUCAUCUGCGAUUACCGGAAUGCCGGCUUGGAUGUUGCCGUUGACCUACCGAACUUAAAAUACCGACGAAAUGUUGGAGUACUUAAGUGUACUACUCGUUUUUGUAUGCGAGAGCUCCACCUCUAUCGUUGUAACAGCAUCUGAUGCGGACUAGUCCUUCAUUCCCGUUACUCUUUGCCAUCUCCACUUCGAACUUGGCGUGAUGGCUCCCGGCCUCCUCUCCGGUGAAAUUGAGUAACCCCGGAGCUGGCGUGCCAUCAAGAUUUCCGUCGUGUCUCUAUUUGCUGUUGUGGUUUGGUUUCACCACUAUAAACUUGGCAGAGUUGGCAUUUUCAUUCUGUUGUCUGUAUAUCUUGAUAUUACAAGUAUUUGUUGUGCAAAAUGCAUGCUAAGUUCAACUUAUGUUUAUAUGUGUGUGUGUGUGUGUUGCCACUUUUCCAACGUUUUCUCCAAAAUUGUGACGAGCAACAAAGCAGUUUUGAUUCCGUGCACAACAACGAUACCUCGAAAGAAAUUGAUUCUUCCCCAGAAAGAUGUUUUAAAACAAAGUUGAACAAGGGAAGAAAACUUUUGAAUCGCAAUCAGAUGUCUGGUCAAAUUCUUUAACAGUUGAUGUAUACAGAAGUUCCUUGCUUAUGACACGACUUAUGAGAGGAUGUAUGUAUUGCAUUUGCAUCAAAAGAAAGAAAGAAGGUUGUAAGUGGUAAGGGAACGACUACCGAUGCCGCUCCACUUCUAAUCAAAGGGAUCGAUCCGAGGGUCGUGUUCACUUGCCAUCGCCAUUCCAGUGCAAAGGCAUGUCGGGCACAUUACCUGCCACAUUUACAGACGCAAUGUUAGAUAUAGCUGCCAUUUGGAAGUCAUCUCUCAAAAUUUUGCUACUAAAUCAAUCUUAAACUUCAUUUCCAGUGCAAUUUUUUUCUUCUGAAUUGUCUUUCACAUGCCCGACAAAUAGAAGUAUCACCAAACAUGUGAAUAUAGAGCAUCUAAGCGGCAGGCACUAAAAGGAAUUUAGUAUGCAAUAAACAUUCAACGGACAUAAUUAUAUGUCUAACCUUUCCCGCUCCUGAGCAAUUUGAACAUCGUUCAGUUUUUGGCAGAGAUAGGGGUUGGUUUCCGCCAUCAGCUGUCGAUACUGGUUCAGUAAGAACAAGGGUUCCAGUGCUGGAGCAACGAGCACAAGCAAGAGAUCCUGCGUAAGUAUCAAAUACACAGGUAAGUUGACAUACGAAACCAAUCCGAACAUCUCCAUCGUAUAUAUUUAAAGCUACAGUACAUAAACUAAAAGUCAGAAAUAUAGGACAUUAUCACACCAGUUCCAAGACAAUAUUUGCAUCGUUUAUGCUCCUGCUGUUUCACAUUGUUUAUUUCAACUACCAUCAAUGCUGAGAUCACUCCGACUGCUCCUCCAGAGAAUGACGCCACUAUGGGAUCAACUUGACUGCAGUUUGAAAGUAAAGGAGAUCAAUAAACGAAACUGGUAACAACAUAGUAUCAACAUUAUUUAGCUUCGUUUCAAGAAAGAUGACAUCCUAGGUUUUUCUAAUGUGUAAAAAUUGAGGAUCCUCGUAAAAUUUGACCAUAUCGGUUCCCAAAGCAUUUGAUUCCUACGUUACAGACGGAAAACAGCAACAAUCGAAUUUAAAGAUUCAUAACACGAUAGAUGGUACAAAAUUUCAAAACGAUAAUUACUAGAGAACAGGAGGGUUAAUAGCCUGAGAUAUGAGCAAUACCUCAACUGCAACGGCAGAUGCAUAUUUACUAUAAAGUCUUUAUAUGAUGUGCCUCCUAUUCCCAGCUUCAACUCCAACUGAAAGAUGUAAAGGUAAUUGUAGGCAAAGAGUUACAAACAUAACCGAAUCCAUGUUUUAUAAGCAACAACUACACUUAUUUUGAUAUGUUUCCUCAUUUUUUACUUGCAAAUUCCGAACCAUAUUGUCGGACCAGUAAAAGAAAAUAAUGUUUAUGAUAACUGUUAAAACUAAUUACAACAAGUUAAUGCAUAAAGAACUUACGGAGGGUGCUAUGAGGCCACCGAAAAGGAUAAACCCCACAAUAAUUGAAUAACAAACAGCAUAAUACUGCUUAAGGUUGUCUGAACUCUGCAAGCAAUGAAUUCACCUUGUGAUUAAUACUUUGCACAAACACUAGUUUUCGCAAUUUUUUAUGAAUCGACAAAAGGCUACAACAAAAUAUGGCUAAAACAUGUCGGGGAUAUGAAAAUACAUGUCUUCACAGGGGCACCAGCUUACCAGGGGAGGCAAAAAUGGAAUGAACGAUGGAAAACUAGGAAGUUCGUUUUCUUGAUCUUCAUUUACCGCUCCAAGCUCUGCACGUUUAAUCCGCUGUUGUAUCCUCAGCCUGCGAACCUACGCAUAUCGAAGCUCAUUCUUAAAGAACACAUUUCUAAUGGCAAUUGGAGAGUAAUUUAAAACAUGCUAAACUGAGAAAGUGGUAGCAACUAGUAAUUGCUCUCACCUCCUCCAUAUGCAAGAAAAUUUUGUUGCGACGACUCCGAAUAUUAUCUUGAAUUUCCUGCAGCUCCAUUGUGGCAAAAUCCUGCACUGUUUCAGGCCCCUCUAUGAUACAAAAUCUGCACCAUUAAGCAUGUAAAAAUUAAAAAUUACAGGCUACAAAGCAAUUUCCGUAUAGUUGUUGGGUUAAAUAACAUCAACAGCAAAUAAAUCACAUAGGUUUUUCACAUAAAGUUACAAACUUUCAAGGACUAAUAAGCUGUCUGCAAUCUCAUAAAUUUCACAGUGCAAAGUAACAAUCCAAAGCUUGGAACUUUAAAUUUCCACCUUCUGUUAAUUUUUUAGUGCACCUGGUGUCGUUAGAUUCGAGUAGUAUGUCACAUUAAAUUUUUUUUUUCUGUGCAUGCAUUUUUUUUUAAAAGAAAAUUUUAUAUUGUUAAAGAGCGAGUUCGAAACUAUUACAUUAUGGAAGGACAUAGUACCGAAACUCCGACGAUCAAAAACAAAAUCAUGUACAACCACUCCAAGCAGUCAACAUGGCCAUCACAUAUUGAAUCCAAAAUGUUGACGCCCCAUUCGCUGCAUAUAAUGUACAGACGAGCGGCAGCUUCAACCAGUUCUGCCAUAUCCGGCUGGAUGAGAGCAGCUAAAGACAUGAUUGUUCCCUAAUAACAUGAAUAAAUUGAGUAAACACCAAAAGUAGCAGCAAGGGAAGGAGAUGUGAAGUAUAUGAAGAGGUGUAAGACCUGUGAAUGUCCAGCAACAAAGAUUUUGGAGCUUGUUGUCGAAUAAUGCAACGCAUCAUUUCUGGUAGAUCAAAUAGAGCCAAUUCCCGCCAACUCCAAUUCCAAAAUUUCUACAGUAAAGCAUAAAUCUUAUUCUCUCUUCUGAUAAAGAUGAGUGUCCCAGACUCCAACGUGUUCCACACACAUUCCCUACCCAUACAUCGAAACCUUCAUCUGCAAGGACGAAUCCCAGCGAUUCUUCUGGAGAAUUUAAGAAUCAUGCAUCACCUGGUUAAGAUCAAGAAAAGCCAGUAACCAAGUUCAAUUGAGUUAAAAUGUAUCCCAUGGAUGUUCAUCACUUUGCCCAAUUGUUCUUUUCAAGAAAGGAAAUUUCAACAGAACCUGAAAACUUCAGAUCAGGGGGCACCAAAUAGUGAGCUAUACAUUCAAAAUUUGAAAUAAUCAACUUAGUAGGACCAGUAUGUUGAAAAAAUGGGAAGGAGCUAUGAAAGUAAGACUUUUCACUAAUCAGGCGUCCAGAGAAUCCAUAUUUUACCCGCGUAUCAGUUACGGGGAACACUCCCCACCAGAGCAAUCUCAUUAGUCCUUCACAUCUCAACCGUACAGAAGUUGCACUAACAAACAUGACUCCUAUUAGUCCUUCACAUCUCAAAUCCAGGAAGUACCCAUCUUUCGUCUGAAUCUGGAAAAUAAGCAGCAGUCAAUUUAACAAUCUCGGUAUCUCAAAGUUACUCACUUUAAUCACAAAUUUAGCAAUUAAACAUAUAAAUGGGCAUUUUUUUAGGGAAAUAUUAGUAUAGUACUCACUGUGUGCUCGGAGCAAGAGUACCCAGAAAGCUCAAUGAGCUGCGCACAGAGGACUGCAGUGGUGAACGACAGCGACCAAUUCUGUAAAAUUUAGUCGAGUUUUGGGAAAUUUCUGCAGCGAUUUCGGAGGUCAAGAGGCUGAUAAGGAAAGCCGCGACCAAAGGGCACUGGUCUGGAAGAAAGGCUUUGGUCGCCGCUAUCGCAAUUCGCGAAGGAAGAAGUGCCCCAAAACAAUUUCGGCCCUGGACAGGUGCACUGUUUGCACUGAGCCAGGGCCGGCCCUGAAUCGCGAUAACGUCCUUCUCCAAACAGUAUAUAUACAGAUGCUAGAAAAAUCUACCGGAACUAUUCAAUUCUAGCGUCUACAGCUUUAGCAUUAGUUGGUACAAGGGGCAUUCUUCCAAAGAGGGAGAUGAAAUCGUUGAGGCACCAAAUAGUGAGCUAUACAUUCAAAAUUUGAAAUAAUCAACAUGGUAGGACCAAUAUGUUGAAAAAAUUGGAAGGAGCUAUGAAAGUAUGGCUUUUCACUAAUCAGGCGUCCACAUAAUCAAUAUUUUACUCACAGAUCAUUUACGGGGAACACUCCCCACCAAAACAAUCUUUUUAGUCCCUCACAUCUCAAACCAAGUAGAAAUUGCAGUAACAAACACAUCUCAAACCCAGUAAGUACCCAUCUUUCGUCUGAAUCUGGAAAACAAGCAGCAGUGGAUUCAACAAUCUGGGUAUCUCAAAGUCACUCACUUUAAUCACAAAAUUAACAAUUAAACAUAUAAAUGGGCAUUUAUUUAGUGAAAUAUUAGUAUAGUACUCACUGUGUGCUCGGAGCAAGAGUACCCAGAAAGCUCAAUGAGCUGCGCACAGAGGGACUGCAGCGGUGACGACGGCAACCGAUUCUGUAAAAUUCAGUCGAGUUUUGGGCGAUUUCUGCAGCGAUUUCGGAGGUCAAGAGGCUGAUAAGGAAAGCUGGGACGGAAGGGCACUGGUCUGGAAGAAAGGCUCAGGACACCGCUGUCCCGAUUCAUGAAGGAAGAAGUGCCCCCAAAACAAUUUCGGCUCUGGACAGGUGUACUGUUUGCACUGGACCAGGGUCGGCCCUGGCGAUAACGUCCCCCAAACAGCACAUAUACAGAUGCUAGAAAUAUAUAAAUGUAACCUGAAACUACUAGAACCAUUCAAUUCUAGCGUCUACAGCUUUAGCAUUAGUUGGUACAAGGGACAUUCUUCCAAAGAGGGAGAUGAACUCAUUGAGGCUCUUAUUUAUUCCUCCUCUUGAUGUGCCCUUUUAGGCUGCUAAUUCCACACGAUCCAAUUUCAUACAUCUUCCCUGCAAAAGCAUGUGUGCCUGACUUCAAGAUCAAAUUUUUCCAACAAAAGAAACUUAAAGAUCAAACUCGCUAGCGGAAUAAGUGGUGCACAAGGGUGUUAAAAUCUUGACAUAUGUAUAUUUUUGGCAGAUUUUAUGUGAGCAUGCAACUAAAACUGGCAUCACUAUCAAUGGUGCACAAAGAUUGGUGGAAAACUUUAACAGUUUGAGUUGUAACUUCUCCAUUGUAUUUGUUAAGGCAAGACGGAUGUCAUCUAUUCAUUUUUCUGUAAAACUUAAAAGGCUGCAUAGCAGCUCUUGUUCGUUGUAUUGAAUACCAUGGUUUUACUGAUGAAUGCAGAGUUUGCUGAUGAUUCAUACGACAAGCAAUUGAAAAUCCCAUCAUUAUGCCCCGCAUAUACCAGAAGAAAAAAAAGUCAUUUACACAAAUUCAGAGCGUUCAUCCACUGUAAUUUGCAGAUAUGGAAACGUUAAGAUAAAAGGAAAUGCAAAGUACCUUUCACCCAAAUUGGAGGAGCAACGGUGGCAUUAGCAAGCUAGCAACGGGAAUUGACAUACCAAUAUCUUCACAGUUUCUGCACAAGAACAAAUCAAAAGAAUCCGGCGGUGGAGUUAUGUACCUCUCCUUGGAAAAUGCCACCUCCUGGGAUUUCAAAAUAUACGGCCGUGGCUAGCCGUCUGACCACGCCAAUUCCACCAAAGCCGCCGCAACGUGGCGUAGUGUCCGGUUGAUUGCUUCAAAACAGAGCUUCGUAUCCAUGUGUUUAUCAGCAGAGAGUACCCAAAACCCCUGAAAAUUAUUUCUUUAUUCAGAUAAUAAAAUUUCCCAAAUUUCGAAUUUUAAUUCCGAACAAAAAAAAUAGGGUUUGAAUUUUGAUUACCUAGAAAUUGGGGGGUUGGGGUGGAGAGGGACUCGGGCCAAGACACAGAUAUGCAUCCGUGAUAAGGUGUGCAAGGCUUUUGCAGUUUCUCAGAUCUAAACACUGAAGCCCCGUAAGCCGUUCAAUCCAGGGGGAAAGCUCUUUAAUAGAUGUUCCAUCCAAGAAAAGAAAUCUUAAUCCUUCCAUAUUUUCUUCAAUGCUUGGAAACACCUCAAAUUUUGUACAACCGGAAAGAGAGAGAAAGGCAAGGGACUUCAGCUGACAAAUGCUACUUGGAAGACUCUUAAGUUCUUUACAAUUUUCUAGCUUCAAAUGAUUCAAUCCCAUGAGAUUAUUAAUUGAUAAGGGCAGUUCUUUAAUUUUCGACCCAGAUAAAUCAAGAACUUUUAACCCCUCAAUCACUUCUGAAAUCUCUGGAAACAUCUCAAGACUCCAGCAACCAUAAAGAUCAAAGGUUUUGAGAGAUUUCAUAUGAAUGCUGCUUGGAAGACUCUUAAGUUCCUUGCAAUCUUGUAGAUUCAAAUGACACAACCUCGUAAGAUUAUUAAUUGACGGGGACAGUUCUUUAAUUUUUGAGCAGGGUAAAUCAAGCUUUUCUAACCCCUCAAUACCUUCUGAAAUCGAUGGAAACAUCUCAAGACUGGAGCAGCCAUAAAGAUUAAAGGUUUUCAGACAUUUCAUAUGAAUGCAGCUUGGAAGACUCUUAAGUUUCUUGCAAUCUUUUAGGUUGAAAUGACUCAACCCCGUGAGAUUAUUAAUUGACAGGGGCAGUUCUUUAAUUUUGGACCCGGAUAAAUUAAGCUCUUCUAACUCCUCCAUACCUUCUGAAAUCUCUGGAAACAUCUCAAGACUGGAGCAGCCAGAAAGAUUAAAGGUUUUGAGAGAUCUCAUACGAAUUUUGCUGGGUAGAAUCUUAAGUUCCUUGCAAUUUGAUAGGUUCAAAUGACACAACCCCAUGAGAUUAUUAAUUGACUCGGGCAGUUCUUUAAUUUUGGACUCGGAUAAAUUAAGCUCUUCUAACUCCUCCAUACCUUCUGAAAUCUCUGGAAACAUCAGAAGACUGGAGCAGCCAAAAAGAUUAAAGGUUUUGAGAGAUCUCAUACGAAUUUUGCUAGGUAGAAUCUUAAGUUCCUUGCAAUUUGAUAGGUUGAAAUGACUCAACCCCAUGAGAUUGUUAAUUGACUCGGACAGUUCUUUAAUUUUGGACCCGGAUAAAUCAAGCUCUUCUAACCCCUCAAUCACUUCUAAAAUCUCUGGAAACAUCUCAAGGCUCACGCAGUUAAUAAGAUCAAGAGUUUUGAGAGAUUGCAUACGAAUUUUACUAGGUAGAAUCUUAAGUUUUUCGCACCCAUUCAGAUCCAAUAAAACAAGUUUUGUAAGAUUCGAAAUAGAUGGGUGAACCUUAACUAACCCUAUACAACCAUGAAGAAUUAGCCUCUCAAGAUUUGGCACAUUUGUGAAGUCAGGGGUUUCCUUAAGGUAUUCACAAUAACUUAAAUUGAUGAAUUUCAACUUUUCCUGCGUCUGUUAAAACAUUCAGGAAAACAUGCAUUACUUAAUAAGACAUCUCACUCAAAGCCCAAACAUUUAAAAGAAACAAAUACAUGUAAAUGAUUGUACAUACCUGGGUUCCUUCCCAAAGUCGGUCAAUGUGGCUAUAUUGCAUGUCAAGUCCAACAAGAUUUUCGAAUUGAAAGUUGGAUGGCAAAGACUUGAGCGGGAAACAAGACCAGGAAAGAAACCUCAACUCACUAGAAACAAACUUUAAGGACCCAGUCAGGUGUUGUAUGCUGAAAGUACCGAUCUUGAGAAGUCUUAGUUUAGUCAUCCUAUCAAAAGCUUUAACAAUUAAGCAUCCCUCAUAUGAGUGCCCCAAAUCUAGGAUUAUGCUUUCAACUGUUUCUGUACCCUGUGCAAAUCAAAGGGAAGGAAAAAGCAGAGAACCUUAGUUUAGAUUAUGAAGUUAAUGCUUGUUUCUUAAGGAGUUGUUUGAUAAUAAUUUUGUUUUCACUUUUCACUUUUGUUUUGAUUAUUUAUUUAGAAAUCUGAAAAUUGAAAACAUAUAACUUGUUUGUAAUUGUUUUCAAUUUUCAAUUAUUAAAAAAAUGAAAAUUUAAAAAUAUAAAUGGAAACAAAAGUGGUUAUCAAACGAGCUUAAGAAAUUGAUUUUGGUCAAAAGUUGAAGCUUUCUACUAAACAUUGCAUAAGAAAAGAAAUUAUCACCGUAUUUUUAGUUAUCACAUGAAAAACAUCUUCAUAACUCCACAACCUACUUCGUCUCCCAGGCUCUUUGAUAGAUUCUUGGUAGACGAUUUUCUGACCCAUUUCCUCUAGUAAAUCAUGCAUCUCCAGUUCCCCCCUCCAUGAGACAGUUACUAGAGCUCGAUCGAUUAGAACUUUUAUUCCAAUAUCAGGAUAGGAACCACAGCUGUGCAGAACUGUGGUUGCAUAGUCUUUUCUCAUUCCUUUAAAGAAACAUGCAAUAUCUAGAAAGAUAUCCUUCUCCGUGUCAUCUAGUCCAUCGAAGCUUGUUUUAAGCACAUCAUGAAUUCCCUUUUGCGGGAUUUUCUUUAUUUUUUCUAACUCAUUUUCCCACUGGCGUACAUUUUUGUUAUAAAGAAAAGCUCCCAAGACUUUGAGUGCUAAAGGCAGACCUUGAGCAUAAUUUACAGCACGACUCGAGAUCAUCAUAAUCUCUGUUGGGUUGGUUUUUUCUAAAGGCGUACCGCCUAAAGAGUUCCAGAGCUCCAUAAUCACUUAAAAUCUUGGGAUUAUAUAUCCCAUCAGCUAUGCUUAGUAAUUGCGAAUCUCUGGUUGUUAUAAUAAUUCUGCUUCCACCACCAAAGGAAUGUGGCUCUCCAAGUAAAGCUUCAAUUUGUUCUAAUUCUUCCACAUCAUCAACAACAAUAAGAACUUUUCUCCGACCUAGACUAUUUAACAUCACCUGGAAACCUUUAUUCGAAACGUCGGAACUCCCCACCCUGUUGUUCGAGAUACUCGAUAGAAGUUCUGCCUGCAUAUGUAGUUUGCCAUGCUUCAUGAAACCUUCCUUGAAAUUUUCAAGAAAGCAACAAGCUUUAAAUCCACCAGAGAUUUCAUUAUAAAUAGCUCUAGCGAUGGUUGUUUUGCCUAAACCACCCAUACCCCAUAUUCCAACAAUGCGAACAUCAUUAGUUUCAACUCCAGGAGGAUGCAGUAAUGAAUGCAUGUUAUGCAUAUGAGAGUCCAUUUCAACCAAGCCAUUAUAUUUGCUUGAGGAUGAUGAGAUGUAUCGCCGACCCCACUUAGUGGGAAAAGGCUUUGUUGUUGUUGUUGUUGAUGAUGAUGAUGAGAUGUGGAUCAAUUUCUUAAAAACAUCUUCUACAAUUUUCUCAAUAAGCUCUGCAUCAUCCCUGUCAAAUUUAAAACACAAUAUAAUUACAACACCAAAUGAUACUUAAUGGGUCGUUUUGAUAACAAUUUCGUUUGCAAUUUUUUUUAAAUCUAGAUUUUAAGUUUGCAGAUUUUGUUUUCAGUUUUUAGUUUCAAUGAAAGUAGUUAUUAAACAAGGUUUCCAAUUUUUCUUUCAUGGUAUACAGUACGUAGUCCCAAAUAUCAGUAGUUAGAUCUUGCAUUUAGAUCUAAUGGGUAUUUACAACCUUUUUUCCUGAGAAUUUUGUACCAUUGUAGCCAGAUCACAUGUUUUCAUCCGUUAGUUUUAUAAAAAUGGAAACUACAAACUUAAAAAAAAAAAAAAAUAUAUAAUAUAUAUAUAUAUAUAUAUAUAUCAAAUGGCCCCUAAAUGCUAUUAAAAAUCUCAAAAAUUAACAGGAAACUAAAACAAAUUAGAAUUUAUUCAUGGUUUCGCAAAUCCCAGCCGGAUAAACUGGUGGCCGUUGUAAGAGAGGACCUCCAGCCGGAUAAACAUUUUCGAGUUAUUUGAUAUUUGUAUAGUAAAAAUACUUUAAUAGCAAGUGCGCGUGAGUGAAGAAAUUGAACUUACUUAUAUUCUUUCGAAUCCCAACCGGAAAAAUUGCAGGCUCUGGGAAGAGCGGACCUCCAGCUCUGCACCUCCUUCACGUCAACGUUAGAACGACCUUCAUGUUUAGCAAAAGCUUCUGCAAAACUUCCCUCGAGUUUACGAAUAUUGGACGGAUCGACUUGGUAGAAAAUGGGGAAUACAAUCUGGUUCUUGGAAUGGUUGCAUUCCAAGAUUUCCACGAGUUCUUUCAAGCACCAUGUGGAUGAAGCAUAGUUUUGAGAGAAAACUACAAUCGAAAUCCUUGACUCUCGAAUCGCUGUCAGGAGCUCGGAAAGGCGGUCGCCUUUUCUGAGGUCUUCGGCAUCAAUGAAGGUGUUGAUUGGUUUCUGACGCAGAGCUUUGUAGAGAUGGCUGACGAAGCCCGUGCGAGUGUCUUCCCCUCUAAAACUGAUGAACACAUCGUAUUCCCAACCAAGGCAAGAAGAAGAAGAAGAAGCAGCCAUUAAUCGAUCUCACCUGGGCAGCGAUGAUCGAGCAGCUAAGACUAAGAGAAUUGUAAGUACAGAAACACUCAAUAGAUCUACAAAUUGGAUCACCAGAAAUUAGUCAAUGAGUCAAUGCAAAAGGGAAAAGGGCAAUUAUGCUUUUUGCGUUUUCACAUCUUCUUCAGGAAAUUUCGGUGUGAAAGGAAUCCGCAUACUUUUGAUUUUUCAACCCAAGAAAAUGCGAAGAAAGGGGACAAAGUAGUAAAUUUAAUCUACAGUUAGUUACCUACUCAAUAACCUCUUGAUUUAAUAUAUAUUUAAUUGGGAAAAGUAGUUUAGAGCAAGGAUGUUAUCUCCUUUUCUUCUCUCUCGAUCAGUCAAUCUUCCCGCGUGCGAUUUAAUCAUGAUUAAAGCUAAGCUUAAUCUUAGGUCGUAUUAUUUAGGUCUAAUUGGAUUCUUAAUUCUUGUGAUAUAGUAGUUGGAAGAUUAAAAAAAAAUUAUGAUUUAAACGUUUGUGAUGAAGUCUGUUACGAUUUAAAUUCAAAAUUGAAAAUUUCGUUAACUCCAUUAAUUGUUAGCACAUGAGACUCACAAAUGAAACUAAAAAUAUAAAGUUAGCCUCACAUGUAAUCUUCACGUGCUAACAAUUAAAAGAGAGUUCCGUUUUAGCUUAAUAUAUGUGACUCACGUGUUAAUAAUUAACAAAAUAUUAACAAAAAUUUUAAUUUUAAGCAUAAAUUCAAAUAAACUUCACCACAUAAGCUUAAAUUCUAAUUUAGAUAUCUUCUAAUUUAGAUAAUUUUUAACUGCAAGAUGUACGAUGAACGGAUAUAAUUCACAAAUCUCCAAAAUCCUUACAAAAAAUAUCCGAAAAAGAGCCAAAUUCAAUGGAAAUAAGCUAAUUUUGAAUCAAAUAACAUUACUUUAUUUUGUAAAUAAAUUAAUUUUGAAUUGAACAACAUUCAUUUAUUAUGUAAGUAAUUCAUUUUGUAUGUAUCAUCAUAUAUAUUAGGCACAUUUUAUCAUAGGUGAUUUUGUGAAAAAUUAAUAAAAAGUUACAAUAUUAACAAUAGAUCAAUAAUAUUUAUGUUAAUUAUAAAUAGGCUAACCAUGUAUUAUGAUACUUAAAUGCAUUUAAAAUAAAUAAAAAUUACAAAAUCUACUACUACAGCUAGCAUUCACUUCAACUAAAGCAAUACGUAGUUUUUAUAUUUGGAAUAAGUCAUACGAAUCAGAGACAUGAAGAGGUGUAAGAACUGUGAAUGUCCAACAACAAAGACUUCGGAGUUUGUUGUCGAAUAUCUGCAGCGCAUCAUUUCUGAUAGAUCAAAUCGAGCCAAUUCCCGCAAACUCCAAUCCCACCACCACCUUUCAAGCCGGACUCAGCCCUCCGGGCGGCAUUUGGCAGGACAGCACUGGAUCAAACAAGAUUGAGACUGGCAGUGGGAGCAAUGAACGAGCACACUCAGCAGGGAAGUCCAUCAUGGGUUCUAACCACACAUUGUUUCUCUACUUUGUGGCUUCCAACACGAUUGGAUUUUUUGUUUCACUUUACAUGAUCAAUGUCCUCACCAGCAAUUUCCCUCUGCAGUUGGAGCUUCAAAUUUGUAUUGUCGCGAUGUACAGCACGUACAACACUGCAGUUUUCAGCAUUGCACCGGAGAACGUGCGCUUCUUCGUCCUUCUGUUCUCUGUAGUUUUCCCAACUUUGGUUACACUUGCUGUCCAAAAUGAUCGUCUUUCGACAUACAUCACAAUGGCGAUCUUUAAUCAUAAUGACUUGUACUGCUCGAUCAAACGAGACGCAUGGAGGCGCGACGUAGGAGCCACGGUGCAGCCCAAACUUUGCAGAUAAGAAAUCUGGUAAUUCACAGCAUCACAAACAUGUUACUGGGUCUCCUGACCAUCGUAGAUGCCAAUGUGUGCACAAGGAAAGGAGUAAGGUAAUCAAAUGCUUGAGUCUUGUGUACCUGUUUCGGUGUUGGUUCGGAUGAACCCAUUGAGUUCUCGAUCCUUAACUUCUGGAAAUGCUCCUGAAAGCAUAAAUAUAUGUACGGAUUUAAACCAAUGGCAAAUGGACAUAAUUUACGGACAAUGAUUGAAGAAAAUACAGAUAUAAACGCCUCAGUAUUCCAUUGACGAAAGUUCUAGAUUUGAUGAAUCAAACGUCCCACGUUGAGACUGCGUUAAGGCAAAUGGUUCUCAAACACAAAGCAAUAGUUUGCUACCGAAAACAACCAAAGUCUGACAAAGGGAACCGUCUUACACCUAACCUGUUUUUCCCUCAUCAAAUGAGCGCGUUGAUCUGCAGGUAUUUUCUGCCAUCUCAAAACCUGUUACAAAGAAAUAUAACGUUGAUGUUGAGCUGGAUAGCAUAUUAUACCAAUUAUGUGUACAAACCUAUUGAAAUAAAGUAGCUGUAGUUGCAUAUUACGACAGAUAUUAACGAAAACAAAAGAAGGCUCGCCUAUUCAAGAUCCUAAAUCCCAUGAUUCUUUUGUUUUUAGUUUCAGAAAUUUUCAGAGCACAAACUGGAAAGUACCAAGAUACUUACAUAUUGGGCAUAAUGAAAUGCAUCUUCAUCUUUCAAGCAAGAUUUCAGUGAGCGCAAACCAUCCUGGGAGUUACAUAAGUCAAUCAGUAAUAUAAAAACGUAGAUGCAUCACAUCCAAACACAAGUAUUCAAACACCAACAACUUCUUCAUGCGGUGAGGCAUGUUAAAAAAUAGGGAAGAACAGUUAUUGAAUAGGAAGUUAAAGGACUAAAUUUAUGACCUUGUGUUUGUAGUUCUUGGCUCGUAUGCGUUCAUCUAUUACAAAACCAAUCUGUAACAGGUACAACAGAAAAUAUAAGCAGUAGUCAGAACAUUAAGCAUCGGCAUUCAAAUUGCCGCCAAUCCAAAGUUAAAAGUCUAAAGGCAAAACAGUAUGAUUCUUAUCUCUCAAACAAAAAUGAAACUAUACCCCGGUCUCAGACAUAAAUGAAAUAAGUUCUACUGCCUCAACUGAGUACUGUGAUUAUAUAUAAAUCCAAUUCACCUUGUCAAGUAAUCUCUUAGGAUCUUGAAAUGCUUGCUUCUUAGCCCAGUCAUUAAAUACAUGCGAGAUAAUCGAUCUCUCAUCCACACUGAAUCUAUUGCACAGUGACAGGAGAAUAAAGUCAAACAUGAACAUAACCAACCAAAAAUGCUAGUUAUAAUAGUACACCCAUAAUUGCAAGCAAAACCUUUUUAAGAAGCCAUUUCCAUGGUUUUCCUCCCCAAAUUCCAUCAAUUCUGCAGAGGCAACGUCAAAUUUACUAUGAUGGAGAUCAUUUUGCACCAUAACAACUUCAGAAGGUAGGAGAUUUGGUUUGAGAUCAUCUGUUGACGGAGUAGUUUCUUUUGAAGUGUCAUGAUGCUUUGAUUGCAAGCCUUCUGUACUUACGUCAGCCUACAAAACAAAAAUUGCAUUCAUCCACACUAGACUUAAUAAGAUUAGAAACACUUCAGAUUCUUCACUAUUUGUAAGUUUGACUAAACAGCAGAACAACUGAGGAUAAUGAACAGUAAUACACACCUGGACUUCUCGUAGAUGAUUUGGAAUUUCUUUCAGAAAUCGCGAAGGUUGAAGCAUCUGAAGGAGCCACCUUCUCAGUCAGAGCAACAACAACAAAUAAGGAGGACAGGAAUUCAAGCUAAAACGAACCUGCCAACUGGAAUCCAUCGUAACAUAAAGAAUGAAAAGCUUUUUUCGAGCACGAGUCAUUGCAACAUAUAAUAGGCGUCUUUCCUCCUAUGAUUAGAGUGGGAUUAUUGAGUUAUUGACCAAAAGAAAAAAGAGUGGAAUUAUUGUGACAAACACUUCAAAGCUCUGCAUAUAACUGAAAAAUGUUGAACAAUUUACCACACACCUCAAUGGAGGUCCCAUUUUCUUUUGCAACGCCAUUGAAUUCAUGCAACAACGGAAUCUCAGAUUCAUUUACCUGUGUUAUUGGCAUGAGCAUUAAAGCAAGCUAAGAUGAUUUGAAGAGGUUGAUAUUGUCAUGAAUAUAGUAGAAUAGAAUACCAAUUUCAAGCCAUCAAUUAGGUAUAGCAUUGGCAUGUUUAAUCCGUAAAUCUAAUGACAGAACACCUCAACUCUACACAUAAAUAAAUAAACAACCUGAAAAAUAUUACAGCCACUUGUUAAGGCAAAUACCUUAAUUAUGAAAACUAUAUCCCACUCUAAACCUUUUGACUGCAAGAGAAUGAAAAAGAAAGACAGUAAGCCAAGAAUGUUUUGUAGAACUCCAAAGGAAGUCCAAUAGGGAAAUCAUCGCAAGUAUAAGAGUUAGCGAGGUUCGCAUAAGAGGAUAUCAAAAAGAUCUAGAACCUGAUGAAUAGUAGUCAAAGUGACAGAACUUUGGUUGUCAUGUCUUCGGGAGUGAAAAUUUUCACUCUCCCGCUCAGAUAUGUAGUCGAUGAAAGCUUUGAGUAAAUUAACGCAGCCUUUUUCUUCUGCUACGACUUCUCUCUCCCCUUUUCCCGCAACAAAAUGAGUUGAUAAGAAAUCAGAUACGUCGUCUAGUAGGUACUGAAGAACCUGCAAUGAGAAUAAUCGCAUCAAAACAACAGGGUUGGACCAAGAUUUAAGUGACAACAAUGAUUAACUAACUAAAAUAGAGAAAUUAUUCAUUUAAGACCUUGUUGACUGAAAAAAGGGUUUUCCAAGCAGCGGGUCAUUUAAGCUUAUUGUAUAAAUGACAAUCAUCACAAACGGCAAACUUACAGAUCUCACGUCAUUGUCUUCAUUCAGCAGUUUUCCUCCAUCUACAUCAACGACUGCACGUUGCUCAAGAAGGUACUUCUAAAAACUGAAAGUCAAACGAUAAAUUAUUAAGAAGCAUUGAAUAUAAGCAUGAAACGAAGAAAAUGUUAUGGAAUGGUGAUCCUCAUCCUCAAAGAUGAUUAAAAGCAAUUUGAUUCAAAAAUGACAUAUCAACUCUGGAGAAAUGGAAGACAAACCUGUGGUACCAUAUUCGCAACUGAGGUUAUGACAGCUGAAAUCGAUUGUUCCUGUGUGCAUUGAUAAGUGAGACUACCAUAGAGAUUCACAACUAAAUAAAGACAGGUAUUCCACAGAACAACCUUUACCUCUUUGGAAACACAGAUCUAACAAAAACUAUAACAUUUUGGAUUAAUAUUGACGAAUCAAGAAUAAUGCAAGGGAGCAAGAGAUACUCUUCCUUCUAAUAACAAGGAGGCGUGAAAAGUUUACAGAGUUCCAACAAUUAGAGAACUAAAAUCAAACUAAAAAAAUCACCAAAGUAGACAGAAUCCCACUUCGCCAAAAAUUUGAAAAUAUAUCCUUUUUAUCCAUUGAGAUUCAUGAACUACUACUACUACAUCAUGCCAAUAAGCAAUGCGUAAGAGGUGCUACAAUUUACCGAAUAUAUUUACCCUGAGAACAAGUUUUGAAAUCAUCUCUAGUGUUAACAGCACCUUGCGUCCUUGGGUAAGCUGAGUCCUAUUAUCAAGUAAAGAGACCAAUCAGUACAUAUCCAAAAGAUCUUAAAUGCUUGUAAUACCAAAUAAGAAAGAAACAUGAGUAUAUCUUGAAUUAACAAUGCAAAAAUGUAAUGUUAAAGCAUCUUGUCAUACAGACCUCUUCAAGGUACCAGAAAUUUUGGCACUAAAGAUGUCACAAGCAGCUGAUAUGAAGCUGCAUUUUCUGUGAGUUGAAAUUUUGUCAAUAUAAUCAAUCACCUGAAGAGAGAGAGAGAGAAAGACAGUGAUAUCCAGAGAUGUGAGCCUAAAUGCUGAGUGUGUAAAAAAAGAAGAUUAAAUGGAUAGCAAGAAUAUACAACUUUAAUGCUGAAAAGAACAUUGAAUAUGAUGCUCAUUCAUCAUUGCCAUUGAACGUGUACCUUCUUCUUUUCCUCUUUCUCAAAAGCAAGUAGAGCCUUGAAGACUCGCCUAUAUGAUCCAUCAUCACAACCAGGCAAAGUUGUUUUAAUCAUAGCAACAAUGGCUCUAACUACCUGCCAUAAGAAACAUGCUACAUCAACAAGAUCACAGAGUGUACCAGAAACCGUAAUGUAGCAAAAUCUUAGAUAAAAUAGCUGGCCAAAAGGGAAUGGAAAAGCAAGCACAAAAAACAAUGAAAAGGACCAGUGAUGCCAAAAUUCUGGUGGAAAAGGUGAAAAGCUUACGUCUAUUACAGUUCUUGUAUGCAUUCUUUAUAACUUAAGUUCUACGCAGCAAAAACCACCUUAUGCACAACAAUAUUGGAAAAAUUAGAUACAUACAACUGAGAAGAUAGGUUUUCAUAGCUGGACAAGUGCUAACUACCUUCUUCCUAUAAACUGCCACUCCAUGAACAUUAAAUGGUAUUUUCCUUUCACGCAAGGCUGUCUGGAAGACUUUUCCUGAUACCUGUAGUAUAAAAUACAAAAGAAAAUGUGAGCAAAAUGUCUUAUAUGAUUCACCUCAUUCACAUUAGCACUAAGGCAAGUACGCUUGACCUGCCUCCGGUAAAGGAUUGCUAUAUUUCCAUAGGAGCACCCUGCUUCUGACCGUUUAGAUGCAGUCUCCAGGAUCUUGUCGACAACAAAGGCGCAUUGUGCAUCCUCAUUGUGACUUUCCUUGAUAAUUACCUACAUUUUGCCAGUAAAACCGGUGUCACUAACUAAAAGGACUGAAAAAUGACAUCAAAUUGUACUUGUUGGAGCAAGGAAAGAUUAAGUACCUUAGACCCAGAAGAAUUGUCCGUGUCAACAUUCUUUAGUUGGCAUCGCUUCUUAUUGUUUUUUAUAACAGAAGAUGCAGCUUCCACAAUAUAGCGUGUGGACCGAAAGUUUUUAUUAAGCCUAAUCUGAACCAUAAAGUUAUGUCAAAUCCCACAGAACCCCAUAAAAUAAAACUUACUUUCCUGUAAUUGUACAAUAUAUUUGUUCUAUACUAUAUAUAAUGAAAAAAGACACUGUGAAUGACAUAAGAUAACAUAGCAGUCAAGUGCGAAGCGAACCUCUUUGUUAUUUGAAAAAUCUUUACGAAAAGAAUCAAAUCCAGAAAUGUCCGCCCCAUUGAAACUGAAAAUGGACUGCAGCAGGAUAUAUGUUAUUUGAUUUAGAAAAGAUAAGGGCUGGAUUAAAAUGAGCUGAGAGAGAGAGAGAGGGAGAGAGGGAGCAAUAACAUUGGAUUUCCAUAAUAAAUCAACAACAUGCCUGAUCAUCAUCACCAACAAUGGUUAUGUGGUUAUGAGAGGCGAGAAUCCGCAAAAGACUAUAUUGCAUAGCACUUGUGUCUUGAAACUCGUCUAUUACAAUAGCUUUCCAUGACUCCUGGCACUCCUUCAACACUAAUUAAAAGAACACCAUGUAUCAACAUUUAGCAUUACUUGUAAAACUAGAUAAAUCAAUGAAAUAUACUUAGAUGAUAGAGACCUUCAGGAAAAUCACUUAGCAGCUUCACAGAGCAGCUAAUUAAGUCGUGGUAGUCCAAAGCGUUGCACGAUUUCAAGAUAUCAUUGUAAUUCCUAAGAAUUUCACCCUGAUUCAGAUUGAGAGCUAAAACUCAUAAGCAAUAGUUUCAAAGAACUGAAAUCAUAUCUGAAAUUCUAGUUCUGAGCGUACUCCUGUCACAUCACCCAUUCUUCGGCAUUCAGCGGGAGUCUUUCCAGAAGCUUUUGCCUGAAACAUAAAUAAAUUUAUUGCCUAAUGCCACAUAUUGUAAGACACACCAUUGUAUUGGUCAUUCUAGCUUGAUUGUAGCUAAUAUUUUUUAAAUCGAAUGAUUAGAGUUCUUAAUCCACAAUAAUCUGAACAUUAAAUUUGGUAUUCAAGACUGACCUGUGUCACAAACUUCAGCCAUUUCUUUGAUGCAUCCUUAAAAUGAUGUGGAGAUGUUACGCCGUUAGACUCUUCCCCAUCUAUAGCAACAUUAAGAUUCGUUUUACUCUUUUCAUCUUCUGAUAAACGCACAGCUUCAAUGAUUGCUCUUCUCUGUUGCCCAUGUCCAUAUAUCAAAAAUUCUGGUCUGCGCUCGAGUCUAAAACACAAGGCAACAUAACAGACUCAGCUAUACCACCAUAUGUAUGGUGUUCAAAAUCAAGGGAGGUGAAUCAAUAGCUUACUUCUCAGCAUGUGAUCGGCAAAGUUGCAAUGAAAAUGAAUGAAAUGUACUGAUUGUUAGUAGUUUGCCGUUGCUUUCCCAGUCACAGAUCCAAUUCGAUCUCUCAUCUCGGAAGCUGCUGCUGUAGUGAAAGUCAUUGCUAGAACGUUCGACGUGCUAAUGCCCUAAGAACACCCAAAAAAAAAAAACGAAUAAGAUUUCGAUCAUAAACAAGAAAUGUAGAGAAACAGACAAUUAUGAAAGAAAAAGUUAAGAGGGAAAGUAGCAACACCUCAUUGAGCAGCAUUAGAACGCGCCCAACUAUCGUUGAAGUCUUUCCACUUCCAGGGCCGGCAACAAUCAUCAAAGGUACUGAACUAUCGCUGCAAGCUGCCUCGAGCUGCCUUUCGUUGAGAGAAAGCAAAUACUUCAAAUACUCAUCCGGCAUGUUAGGCAAUCCAUGGUUAACAGAAUCUGUUUGGUUUUCACUACUCAAAGGCGGCGCUGAUGCGGCACUAACGACACUACCACAACUCCCAAUAUCAUCACGCUGAAUGUCCACACUCGUUUUCUGCUCGAUUAAAGCGUCAAUUUCCUGCAAAAUACUCUCAUCGAAAUCAUCAUCGUUAAGAAUUCCAGAUGCAGAGAAAGAAUCAAAUGAAGUCAGAAACUGCGGUUGUCUGAUUGGAGUUGUGAAAGAAUCCGAUUUUGACACGCUUGAUUCGGUCCGGCUAACGCUUAAGCUCCCGGAACACGAAGCACUGCCAUAUUCACCACGCGCUGAAUUGUACCGGCUUGCGGAAAUCGGAGGCGGUGUUCUUUGAACUCUAUUGAGCUGAGUUGGCGUUUGGAUUCCAUUUCCGCCACAGAUUCUGGAAUUUGAAAAACACAAUUGAAUUGAUUUAAAUUGAAGCAAGAAAACGGCCGAGUAGCAAAAAAAUAGUAAGAAGAUGAAACCUUUGAUUCCUGAACGACUUACUUGGUAUGAGGGAGGUGAUGAUCAGGUGAAACGGCGUCGUUGCGGGGGCGUUUGCGAUCAAUGAGGGCCUUGGCGGCUCUGCAAUUCCGAGAGAUGCGGUUUCUUUGUUCCGCCGUGAGCCCUCCGCCGUACGCCUGAACGUUUUCCUUGGACAUUGCUUCGAAGAUUCCAACGGAGGAUUUGGCCUGACGGCCUGACCAGGCUGAUAACAGUGUAAAACCUUAGGAGCUAAGGAAAAACUAAGAGAGAGAUCGUAGAGAGGGGAAAGUUUUUUGUUUUUUGGAAACUUAGAGAGGGAAAGUUUGUUAAACCUGCAUAAUAUUCUUUUCGUUCAACUUGUCUACAAUAAUUACCACUCUUGGUAUUUAUACAUUUGUAACACACCUCACUAACUAACUAAGACCACUACCAAUCAUACAUAAACACUUGUCAUAAUCCUAUGCACUCAUAGUAUCAUCACUCUAACAUCCCCCUCAAGCUCGUGUGGCAGAUUGCCAAGUAUGAAAUUGGAACAAUUACGAGUGAACUGGGGUGAACACAAGCCUUUGGUGAACAUGUCGGCAUAUUGAUCUGCAGAGGUAACAAACUGCAAAAUAAUUGUCCUUCGAUGAACUCUUUCACGAACAAAGUGGCAAUCAAUCUCUAUAUGUUUGGCUUUAGAGUGCAAUACAGGAUUAGUCGCAAGAGCCAUUGCUGAAAUGUUAUCACAAUUCAAAACUGGAACAGAAGGAUAACCAACAUGCAAAUCUCGAAUAAGUUGUUGUAUCCAGAUAACCUUAGCAGUGGUUGUAGCCAUUGCUCUAUAUUCAGCUUCAGUGGAAGACCUACUCACUGUAUGCUGCUUUUUAGAACUCCAAGAGAUAGGAGUAUCUCCCAAAAAAAUGACAAAACCCGUGGUUGAACGACGAUCAUUGGGAUCCCCUGCCCAAUCAGCAUCUGUAUAAGCUUUCAACUAAGAUGAACCUAAUUUAAAACACAAUCCCAAAGACAUAGUGCCUCUGAGAUAUCGCAGAAUACGUUUCACAGCAGCAAAUAAGUGGCUAAGGGUGAAUGCAUAAACUGACAUACUUGAUUGACAUAAAAAGAAAUAUCUAGUCUUGUAAAUGUUACGUAUUGCAGUGCCCCAACAAUACUUUUAUAAGUGGUAGGAUCAGAAACAGGUUCACUACCAUGAUUCAGAAGCUUCUAAUUAGGAUGACAAGGUGUGGGAAAAGGUUUAUAGUCCAGCAUAUGCAUAUUUUGAAGGAGUUCUUUGACAUACUUGGUCUGAUGAACAAAGAGUCCCUGAUCCUGAUACUCAAUCUGUAAACCAAGAAAAUAAUGCAACACACCUAGAUCUUUCAUGUCAAACUCACUAGUUAACUGACUAAUAACAUUAUGAACCUUCACAUCAUCAUUACUAGUGAGAAUGAUAUCAUCAACAUAUAAUAAGAGAACAAUAAUUGAUGAACAAUCACACUUGACAAAUAAUGAAGGAUCUGCAUAUGAGAUUGAGAGUUACAAGGAAAAGAUAUACAAGACUUAUUAAGUGUUGCAAUGACAAUGGAAUGUGCAGGAUCGCCUAAUCAACAAUGCCACAAUGUAGAAGAAAUCUUUUGACCCACAAAUGCAACUGGAUUAAAAACAGGAGAAAUAGACCUCUGUGGUUUGAUAUGGGAAGUGGAUAGACAACAUUAUUACUCAGCCCUUGGAAUAGCACUCUCCCGAUGACCUUGUCCUAUAGACAGAGAGAAACAUCAUCAAUGAUACAACGACACUAAUUAUCUUUGCACAACUAAUUCAUAGAUAAUAAGUGUUGUGAUAGUUUUGGAACAUGUAACAAAGAGUUUAACUUGAAAUUAUGUGACUUAGUGAGAAGAGAAGAGGAACCAAUAUGUUUGAUAGCUAAACCUUCACCACUAGCAGUGGUCACAGUAUCAUUUGAUGGAUAAAUUUGUUGCCAUGUGCAAGUUUGACAAAUCUGAGGUCAUAUGGUUAGUUGCUCCCAAGUCAAGAAACCAGAAAUCUUGUUGAAGAGUUGAGGAUGAUGCACCAGCUCGUGCUUGCACAGCAAGAGGAGGAUUUUGUGAGGAUAUAAUUGAGAGAUACAUAUGUGGUAUGACAGGAUACUGAAACUCGAAGCUAUUAGACUGUGGAAUCAUGCCUUGUGAAAGACCACAUGGAUUCUAGCUAGGUGCUUCACCAUAUGACCCAGUAGGCAUUGGAGUUGGCAUAGACGAGGAUAAACCCUGAGAGAAAUGCUAUGAUGUGUCUGUGAAAUUCUUAUUCCGAUCAAAGCAAGUAGCAGCAACACGGCAGCCUCUGUGACAAAUUUGACAUCCAUGUUGAAAACAAUUCAAUGCAGAAUGACCUUUGCGAUCACAUAUUUGCAUAAUGGCCUCUGUGAUCACAUAUUUGCAGAAUGGCCUUUGCAACCCUAGAAAGAACAAGGCGCGAAGAAGACCAAAUGUGUACGUUUCUCUUUGUUUUUUUUUCCCUCCUAAUCGUGCUGUUCGAAAUCACGGACCUCGGGCUUGGGCCUAAUGGGCCCAAUUAUGAGGCCUAUUAUCUCCGGUCUUCUCGUUCUACUUCUAGUUACCCAAAUUAAGAACGUGCUGGUUCGCUUUUAGCGCGAGAGAGAAAUGGAGGCCCUGAUUGCCUCGUACGGAAACUCGUCGUCGGGCUCAGACUCCGAGACGCCGGCUCCACCUCCACCACCACCUCCGGAGCUCAACAACCCUCAAGAACCGACCCCUGCGCUGCCUCCACCUCCUCUGUCACUUCUCGACAGCCCCAAUUCCUUCGGUAACCUCUGAUUCCCAUCAAUUUUCAUCUUUUAGCUUUCUGUUGUGAUGGCUUUUUCCGAGUUGCCCACCAAGUGUUUGAUAUUUUGCCUCUGAAGGAUUUCUGGACUUCUCGGCAAGCGUCCAGCCGAGCAGAGUUCGGAACUUUCCUCACGUCGAAGGGAACUACGCAGUACAUGUAUACAUCCCAGGUUAUCAAAAUUCUCGAAAUUUUCAGCUCCAUUAGCAAAUGCGAUCGCUUUGCACUUAGUUUUUGCUUGUUUAAUUGUGUGGUUCCAGUUUAUAUACCACCAGCACCAAGGAAAGAGAUGGCCUUGUUUUUGAACAAGCUAGCUUCUCUGGUGCCUUGUCUCCAUGCGGUUGACGUUGACUUCCCGCUUGACAUUCUGCGUAAGGACGAGCACAAGCUUGAACAAGUUGCUUUAGGCAGAGAGUUCCAUAUAAGUCUCGGAAGAACUGUUCCGAUUCGGGUGCACCAGAUUGAUUCCUUGGUGACAAUGCUGCGGCAGAAGCUUCAGAUUCAGAGGCGGUAUGGUUACAUUUACAUUCUCUUGUCUGCAUUGCGUGAAUUUAGUUCUGUUAUUUAACAUAAUUCUGUAAGCCUGCAAUUUUUUCGUCCAUUUUCGGUUUAACACAUUUUGUUAUUGUGCAACAGGUAUUGGAUUGAUUUUAGCAAGUGGGAGGUUUUUGUUAAUGAUGAUCAGACCCGGACCUUUGUGUCUAUCGAAAUCAUUGCUGCUGGGUUAGCUGAGGUAUGAUUGCUAGCUUUCUCUCUUGGUGCAAUUCUAAAUGUUUUCAGUUGUUAUAUGGGCUUAAGAUUUAGUAAGGACUUGCCGAAAGUCAUGGGAUUUUGAAAUAUCGAUAUCUUGCUUGCUUAUUAGCUUAGAUUUGGUCUUCGAUGCACUUGUAACAUGAAAAACACAAACGAAAACUAAUGCAUGAUAUGCUCAUGGUUUUAACAUGUGUUGUCCUGGCGUAAAUCAUGUUCCUAAUCCUGUCAUGUGAGUAUAAGCCUAUGAAACUCAGGGCAUGUUUGGCGGGCCGGACAAGAUUGGAAUUGGUAUUUCAGACUAGUUAGGUUAGGAUUGAACUGGAUAGGAUAGGUUUUUUUGUCUAAAGAUUGGUGUAGACUGUCUUAACCAGACUAGGAACGAUGGGAUUUAAAACGUGAAACAGAUCCGCGACAUCCCAACGAUGACCCGCCCACCCAACAACUCUGCUCGUGACUUGCAACACCUCUCGUACCCUCCACGCCCCUUGAGGCCCGUCAGACCACUCUGAUAUCCUGGAGGGGUGAAACGUGGUUACUAGAAGCAUACCUGUUUUCGUAUUAAUGCACAGUUGAAGCAGCUUUCAUUGUCUACAAGUCUGAAAUAUUUCAACUUCCAUUGAUUUCAGAUAACAAAGCAGAUUCAAGCUGUGAAUGAGGUGUAUAAGCUUCACAAUCUUCCUGAAUUUUACAAGGUUAGCUUUUUCGUGCUUUUCAAACUCGAAAUUACUUACUGAAUAUAUGACAAUAUAUUGGAGCAAAUGAUUGUGCCUGAAUGCUACUCAUUGCUCAAAAAACUAAAUCACUUCAUGGGGUGUUGGUGAUCACAGGAUCCGCGCCCUCACAUCUCGGUAGCUUGGGCAUUGGGUGACAUCGGCAAUUCCCUGAAGAAAGUGGUUGAAGAAGAAAGACGAAGAUCUACCAUCGGAGGAUCGUUACAGAAAUGUAUUUUUACCAGUAAAUUCAAUGGUAUUGAAUGUAGGAUUGGUAAUAAAACACACAAAAUAUGUAAAUUUUCUGAACAAUAAUGUAGCCAUUUAACUAUAUUGUGAAAUUCCGAGAAUAUAUCGCUGAGCAUUGGAUGAGAAGACAUUUCUUCGUUGGUGUCGAACUUCAUGCCGAAGGUAUAGACACCGUGUAAACGCCAUCAUCCAUGCAGUCUCCUGUGCAUUAUUUAGUAUUGUCUCAGUUUCUCCAAACUUGAAUGCUCCUAUAAACCCACUCUUGACCUUUCCGUCAUCUGCGAUUACCGGAAAGCUGGCAAGGAUGUUGCCGUUAACCUACCUAACCGGCUAGGAUGUUGCCGUCAUCUCCAAACUUUAAAUACCGGAAAGCCGGCUCCAAACUUCAAUGUGCUACUAGUUUUUGUAUGCGAGAGCUCCACCUCCAUUGUUGUAACAGCAUCUGAUGCGGACUAGUCCUUCAUUCCCGUUACUCUUUGCUAUCUCCACUUCGAACUUGGCGUAAUGGCUCCCGGCCUCCUCUCCGGUGAAAUUGAGAAACCCCGGAGCUGGCGUUUUCAUUCUGUUGUCCGUAUAUCUUGUAUUACAAGUAUUUGUUGUGCAAAAUGCAAGCUAAGUUCAAUUUAUGUUUAUGUGUGUGUGUGUGUUGCCACUUUGUCACUUUUCCAACGUUUUCUCCAAAAUUGUGAUUUUGGUGAAUCCUAAUAACAAUUCCCUCGUUAAUCAUUGGGACGAGCACCAAGGCAGUUUUGAUUCCGUGCACAACGGCGAUACCUCGAAAGAAAUUGAUUCUAACCCAGAAAGAUGUUUUAAAUCAAAGUUGAACAAGGGAAGAAAACUUUUGAAUCGCAAUCACAUGUCUGGUCAAAUUCUUGAACAGUUGAUGUAUACAGACGUUCCUUGCUUAUGACACGACUUAUGAGAGGAUGUAUGUAUUGCAUUUGCAUCAAAAAAGAGAGAGAAGGUUGUAAGUGGUAAGGGAACGACUACCGAUGCCGCUCCACUUCUAAUCAAAGGGAUCGAUCCGAGGGUCGUGUUCACUUGCCAUCGCCAUUCCAGUGCAAAGGCAUGUCGGGCACAUUACCUGCCACAUUUACAGACGCAAUGUUAGAUAUAGCUGCCAUUUGGAAGUCACUUCUCAAAAUUUUGCUACUAAAUUAAUCUUAGACUUCAUUUCCAGUGCAAUUUUUUGCUACUAAAUUAAGCUUGUGAAUAUAGUACAUCUAAGCGGCAGGCACUAAAAGGAAUUUAGUAUGCAAUAAACAUUCAACGGACUAACCUUUCCCGCUCCUGAGCAAUUUGAACAUCGUUCAGUUUUUGGCAGAGAUAGGGGUUGGUUUCCGCCAUCAGCUGUCGAUACUGGUUCAGUAAGAACAAGGGUUCCAGUGCUGGAGCAACGAGCACAAGCAAGAUAUCCUGCGUAAGUAUCAAAUACACAGGUAAGUUGACAUAUGAAACCAAUCUGUGUAAACUACACUGUAAUAGCAGAAGAAUAUGCAGUACGAGAGAAAGAGAGAGAGAGAGAUUUAGAGAGAGAAGUUAAUACUUCAUAUGUAAUAUUUUCUAUAUCAUCAAUCUUACAAUAUUAAGACUAUAUACUAUAUGAAACUGCUAACUAACUCUAACAACCUCUCUAACAACCUUUCUAAUCUUUUGACAAGUGUCUUCAUAUUCUACCAUUGGAUUACUAUCCUUAACAUCCCCCCUCAAGCUCAGGAGAGGUAGAAUCCAAACUGAGAUUGCGACAAUGAAUCUGAAAGAGAGGAGCAGAUAAUCCCUUGGUCAGUAUGUCUGCAUAUUGCUCACUGGAAGACACAAACUGAACAAGCAACUGCUUCUUUGCAACUCGUUCGCGAACAAAAUGAAUAUCAACCUCAAUGUGCUUUGUGCGUUGAUGUAGAACUGGAUUGGAUUAAGCAAUUACUGACCUUUGUGCAUCUUACUAUUCCUACUUCACCAGUUUUGUAUUGUGAUAAUAUGUCAGCAAUCGCAUUAACAACCUCUCUAACAACCUUUCUAAUCUUUUGACAAGUGUCUUCAUAUUCUACCAUUGGAUUACUAUCCUUAACAAUCUGAACAUCUCCAUCGUAUAUAUUUAAAGCUACAGUACAUAAAACGAAAAGUCAGAAAUAGAGGACAUUAUCACACCAGUUCCAAGACAAUAUUUGCAUCGUUUAUGCUCCUGCUGUUUCACAUUGUUUAUUUCAACUACCAUCAAUGCUGAGAUCACUCCGACUGCUCCUCCAGAGAAUGACGCCACUAUGGGAUCAACUUGACUGCAGUUUGAAAGUAAAGGAGAUCAAUAAACAAAACUGUUAACAACAUAGUAUCAACAUUAUUUAGCUUCGUUUCAAGAAAUAUGACAUCCUAGGUUUUUCUAAUGUGUAAAAAUUGAGGAUCCUUGACUAUAUCGGUUCCCAAAGCAUUUGAUUCCUACGUUACAGACGGAAAACAGUAACAAUCGAAUUUAAAGAUUCAUAACACGAUAGAUGGUAGGUCUCGGGUUCGAGACUUGGGAGCAGCCUCUCCAUAAAUGGGGGUAAGGCUAGCCGACAUUCACCUCUCCCAGACCCUGCGUAAAGCGGGAGCCUUGUGCACUGGGUACGACCUUUUAUAACACGAUAGAUGGUACAAAUUUUCAAAACGAUAAUUACUAGAGAACAGGAGGGUUAAUAGCCUGAGAUAUGAGCAAUACCUCAACUGCAACGGCAGAUGCAUAUUUACUAUAAAGUCUUUAUAUGAUGUGCCUCCUAUUCCCAGCUUCAACUCCAACUGAAAGAUGUAAAGGUAAUUGUAGGCAAAGAGUUACAAACAUAACCGAAUCCAUGUUUUAUAAGCAACAACUACACUUAUUUUGUUAUGUUUCCUCAUUUUUUACUUGCAAAUUCCGAACCAUAUUGUCGGACCAGUAAAAAGAAAAUAAUGUUUAUGAUAACUGUUAAAACUAAUCACAACAAGUUAAUGCAUAAAGAACUUACGGAGGGUGCUAUGAGGCCACCGAAAAGGAUAAACCCCGCAAUAAUUGAAUAACAAACAGCAUAAUAUUGCUUAAGGUUGUCUGAACUCUGCAAGCAAUGAAUUCACCUUGUGAUUAAUACUUUGCACAAACACUAGUUUUCGCAAUUUUUUAUGAAUCGACAAAAGGCUACAACAAAAUAUGGCUAAAACAUGUGAAAAUACAUGUCUUCACAGGGGCACCAGCUUACCAGGGGAGGCAAAAAUGGAAUGAACGAUGGAAAACUAGGAAGUUCGUUUUCUUGAUCUUCAUUUACCGCUCCAAGCUCUGCACGUUUAAUCCGCUGUUGUAUCCUCAGCCCGCGAACCUACGCAUAUCGAAGCUCAUUCUUAAAGAACACAUUUCUAAUGGCAAUUGGAGAGUAAUUUAAAACAUGCUAAACUGAGAAAGUGGUAGCAACAAGCAAUUGCUCUCACUUCCUCCAUAUGCAAGAAAAUUUUGUUGCGACGACUCCGAAUAUUAUCUUGAAUUUCCUGCAGCUCCAUUGUCGCAAAGUCCUGCACUGUUUCAGGCCCCUCUAUGAUACAAAAUCUGCACAAUUAAGCAUGUAAAAACUAAAAAUUACAGGCUAUAAAACAAUUUCCGUAUCAUUUUUGGGAGCUCUCUCUCUCUCUCAAACCAGAAGGCAGAGCUUUCUGUUUCUCUUGAGGUUUCUUUCACUGGUAAAUUCCAGAGAAGCAGAGAAGAAGGCUCUCUGAGAAAUGGCGAUGGUGCAAGUGGAGACAAAACAAAUGUAUAUCUUGAAGCACCGAAAUUGUGCAGAACACUUGUCAACUACCGAACUCUAGGAUUAGGAGAGAGAGAGAGAGAGAGAGUGAGUGACCGGCAAAAAAAAAAAUGAGGGAAGAAUCACCCACAUUUAAAAAUGAUUUUUAGGGGACCUGGUGUCGUUGGAUUCGAGUAGUUGUUCGGUAUGUCACAUUUAAAAUUUUAUUAUCUGAUGAUAAACGUCGAAACAUAAAGAUAGGUCAUCUCUAACCGAAUGAGGACUAAAAAGUCAUGUUUAGUACUAUAAUCCUGCAAUGAAUUAUAUUUUAAUAAAUAAUAUCAGGUUAUAUUUUAUACCAUAUCUAACCGAGUGGGUCAAAUGAUCAUAUGCCAAACAUAGCCUUUUGACAAAAAACUCAUCUCCAACCGAGGGGGCUAAAUGGUCAUAGACCAAACAUAAUUGCUCAAUAAUUUAUUAUUCUAAUUGAAUUAAUAUGAUUAAUUAAAUUAAAUUACCAUAUUAAAAUAAGAUUUCAUGAUAUAUUUUGAGUGCCACUUGCCACAAUACCGAAGAAAGCAUGGUAUUAUUGCACCUGCCACAAAGUCAAGCUUGACAUUCUGCUGCUGGAGGGCUGGCUGGCUAGCUGAAAAUGGCCAGCCUGCUGGCCUGAUUUGGGAGGUUUUGGCCCAAUGGGGCCCCAAGCCCUUUGGCCUAGCCUUCGGUUGGAAACGGUUUUCGUGUUAUUCUGAGUUAUUUUUAACCCUAUGAUCCUUUGGCCGGAUCGAUUGGAGAUGACCUUAGGUGUGUUGAUUGUCUUUGAGACAUCGGAGGUUCUGUGUGAUUGAAUACUUCACCCUCCUCCAAAGGCGCCACUCUUGAGAAGGUUACUUGCCUCAUGCAAACAUUGUGAAUUGCAAGUGAUGAAUUGUUCUGAUGAUGAGGUUUAUUUUUUAACUCAUUAUGUUUCAAGUUUAAACAUUUUUCCCUCUCUUAGUGUAAAAUAUUGUUUGUGAUAAAAAAACUUAAAAUGAGACACUCUCCUUCAUAUAUAAGAUGAUCAAGUGUGAGAUUAAUACUUUUAAUGAGUGACUCAAUUAACCAUUUUCAUUUCUUACGCGUUCAAAAUUAGACAAAUUCUUUGCAUACAUUUAAAAAAAAAAGAUAUUAAGGAGAGUAUAAAAUUAUUACAUUACGAAGAGAGAGUUUCGAACUCGGGACGUAUGAGUAGAACCCUAACGCCUCUCCACUAGGAUAUUAGACCAAUACUGGUCUUGAAUUUUUUUGGUGCCCGGAGCGAAUGCUCAAAACGUGUCUUUUUCCAGUACAACAUAAAUUAAAAAGAAAUAUUUAUAGAGGGCUAGAACCCAAUCGAAGCUGGGGGACUAGGCCCUUACGCCUAUAUUAUAUUACUUACCUAAUACAAACAUUUCUGAUAGAUUUCAGAGGCUCUAAAUGGUCAAACACUUCGUCCUUCCCAAAACCGUUACUGUUGAGAGGGUUCCUUACCUAAUACAAACAUUUUACGUUUACUUAGAACUAGAAAAAUAAGAAUUGCAGGUGAUGAAUUGCUCUAAUGAUGAUGUUUAUUUUUUAACUUAUUGUGUUUUAAGUUUAAAUAAUUCUGUUUCUUUGAUAUAUAUAUUAGUGUAAAAUCAUUCGUAAUAAUAAAAAAAAAGAAUAAAAAUGAUACUCUCAUUUAUAUACAAGUUGAUCAAGUGUGAGAUUAAUAAUUUUAAUGAGUGAAUUAACUAUUUUCAUUUCUUACGAGUUCAAAAUUACACAAAUUCUUUGCAUACAUUUUUUUUUUAAAUAGAAAAUUUCUAUUAUUAAGGAGAGAGUCCUAAACUAUUAGGUUAUGGAAUGUGAGUAGAAACCUAACGCCUAUCCACUAGGAUAUUAGACCACCAGAGCUGAUCCUGAGAUUUUUGGUGCCUGCGUCAAAAUAUGUCCUUUUCCAGUACAACAAUAUAAAUUAAAAAGAAAUAUUUAAAGAGGGCUGGAACCCAGUCGAAGCUGGGAGGCUAGGCCCUCACGCCCAUAUUCUAUUACUUGAAGAAACAAUAUACAACGGGGGGAAUCAUAGUACCGAAACCCCAACAAUAAAAAACAAAGUCACAUGCAACCACUCCAAGCAGUCAACUUGGCCAUUACAUAUUGAAUCCAAAAGGUUGACGGCCUAUUCUCUGCAUACAAUGCACAGAAGAUAACAAGAUUACUAAUAUAAAAAGAACAUCUGAAAAGAUGAACAUAUGCAUCAACAAAUAAGCAGGGGCGGAUCCACAGUGGGGUCGUCGGGGUCAAACGACCCCUUGGAAACCAUGGAAACAACCUUGAAGCUCCCAUAUGCGACCUCUUGGAGCUGGGGUUGUCGGGGUUGUCAGGAAGAGGAAGAAGAAGACUCGGCAGGAAGAGGAAGAAGAAGCAGCUCGCGCGACGUGUAGGUUCUGUGUAGAGUUUCUGACCUUUAAUUCCCACUUCACAAAGACGAGAGAAAGAGAGAGAGGGAAGGAAAGUCCUCGGGGUGGUGGUGAUGUAGACCUUCGUCGGGGUAGUGGUGUGGGUGUGCGUGGGUGUGGAUUCGAUCGGAGAGAGUGAGAGGGUUAAAGAGUGAAAAAGAGAGAGAGAGAGAGAGAGAGAGAGAGAGAGAGAGAGAGAGAGAGAGAGAGAGAGAGAGAGAGAGAGAGAGAGAGAGGAGAGUUCGGGGAGAUGAGAAGGAGGACAAUGGGGACUUGCCCCGUGGCAAGUUGUGAUAGGUAGGAAAUCCCAAAAAGGGAUCCGGAUAGGGUAAGUAAGUGGGGACCAAAUUGUAAACUUCAUUUAACUGUAGGGAAAUUGUGAAAUUACAAGGAAAUCUUUGGGGAGGGGUUUUACAGAAACCCUUCUCAACACUUAAAAGCAAACUGCGUGCUUUUAAUCAGGUUUGGCUCUAUAAUUGAACUUGUAACCAUGCCUUUCCCUAUGACGGAAUUGUGAUAUGCUUUGCCAGAUAUUCACAAGGAAUUCAUUUUUCUUUUUCCAAUUGCAAAAUAUUAGUGAACAAGUUGUUUCUUCUAUGAGAGAUCCAAGCAUAAUGGUUGGGUAGAUGCAGAUGAGAAAAUCAGCAGUUGCUGUAUUUGGCACAGUAAGAUAUUAACUCUUACAUCUAAAUUGAAAAACAUGAAAAUUUCCUAGUUCUCAAGGUCUCACGUGCAUGCUCAGAUACAUUUGUGCUUCAUAUUUGUGUGUUUGAUUCCGAGAAGGCUGACAAGUUGAAGCAAUCUCUUCCUCCAUGUUUGAACAUUCAGGACCUUUGAACAAGGAUUUUGGAGUAGCUGGUUGCGCUAUCCUACCAAGACCCGAUGAAAUGACGAUAUGCAUGCCGUUUCUGUUAAAAAAAAAUAUCCUUAUUGACCCCCCAAACAUUAUUUCCUGGAUCCGCCACUGCAAAUAAGUAAACCAUUCUAAGUGCAAUUUUAGAAGUGAUACGCUCCAAGUGUGAUAUUGGACAGAAGAGCGGCAGCUUCAACCAGUUCUGCUAUAUCCGGCUGGAUGAGAGCUGCUAAAGACAUGAUUGUUCCCUAAUAACAUGAAUAAAUUGAGUAAACACCAAAAGUAGCGCAGCAAGGGAAGGAGAUUUGAAGUAGAUGAAGAGGUGUAAUACCCGUAUAUGCAGCGCAUCAUUUCUGAUAGAUCAAAUCGAGCCAAUUCCUGCCAACUCCAAUGCCGAUAAUCCUACAGUAAAGCAUAAAUCUUAUUCUCUUCUGAUAAAGAUGUGUGUCCCUGACUCCAACGUGUUUGACGCACAUUCCCUACCCAUACAUUGAAACCUUCAUCUGCAAGGACGAAUCCCAGUUAUUCUUCUGGAGAAUUUAAGAACCAUGAAUCACCUGGUCAAGAAAAGCCAGUAACCAAUUACAAUUGAGUUUGAAGCACAUAAGAGCCUAAUUUAAAAUGUAUCCCAUGGAUGUUCAUCAAUUUACACAAUAGUUAGUUUCAAGAAAGGAAAUUUCAACAGAACCUGAAAACUUCAGAUCAGGGGGCACCAAAUAGUGAGCUAUACAUUCAAAAUUUGAAAUAAUCAACUUAGUGGGACCAAUAUGUUGAAAAAAUUGGAAGGAGCUAUGAAAGUAAGGCUUUUCACUAAUCAGACGUCCAGAGAAUCAAUAUUUUACUCACGGAUCAGUUACGGGGAACACUCCCCACCAAAGCAAACUCUUUCGUCUGAAUCUGGAAAACAAGCAGCAGUGGAUUUUAACAGUCUGGGUAUCUCAAAGUUACUUUAAUCACAAAUUUAACAAUUAAACAUAUAAAUGGGCAUUAUUUAGUGAAAUAUUAGUAUAGUACUCACUGUGUGCUCGGAACAAGAGUACCCAGAAAGCUCAAUGAGCUGCGCACAGAGGACUACAGCGGUGAACGACAGCGACCGAUUCUGUAAAAUUCAGUCGAGUUUUGGGUGAUUUCGGAGGUCAAGAGGCUGAUAAGGAAAGCUGCGACCGAAGGGCACUGGUCUGGAAGAAAAGGCUCAGGUCACUGCUGUCCCAAUUCGCGAAGGAAGUGCCCCCAAAACAAUUUCGGCCCUGGACAGGUGCACUGUUUGCACUGGACCAGGGCCGGCCGGCCCAGGCGAUAACGUCCCCCAAACAGUACAUAUACAGAUGCUAGAAAUAUAUUAAUGUAACCUGAAACUACUAGAACCAUUCAAUUCUAGCGUCUACAGCUUUAGCAUUAGUUGGUACAUGGGACAUUCUUCCAAAGAGGGAGAUGAGCUCGUUGAGGCUCUUAUUUAUUCCCCCUCUUGAUGUGCCCUUCUAGGCUGCUAAUUCCAGACGAUCCAAUCUCAUACAUCUUCCCUGCAAAAGCAUGUGUGCCAGACUUCAAGAUCAAAUUUUUCCAACAAAAGAAACUUAAAGAUCAAACUCGCCAGCGGAAUAAAUGAUGCACAAGGGUGUUAAAAUCUUGACAUAUGUAUAUUUUUGGCAGAUUUUAUGUGAGCAUGCUACUAAAACUGGCAUCACUAAAGAUUGGUGGAAAACUUUAACAGUUUGAGUUGUAACUUCUCCAUUGUAUUUGUUAAGGCAAGAUGGAUGACAUCUAUGCAAUUUUCAGUAGAACUUAAAAGGCUGCAUAGCAGCUCUUGUUCGUUGUAUUGAAUACCGUGGUUUUACUGAUGAAUGCAGAGUUUGUUGAUGAUUCAUACGACAAGCAAUUGAAAAUCCCAUCAUUAUGCCCCACAUAUACCAAAAAAAAAAAGUCAUUUACACAAAUUCAGAGCGUUCAUCCACUGUAAUUUGCAGAUAUAGAAACGUUAAGAUAAAAGGAAAUGCAAAGUACCUUUCACCCAAAUUGGAGGAGCACCGGUGGCAUUAGCAAGUUAGCAACGGGAAUUGACAUACCAAUAUCUUCACAGUUUCUGCACAAGCACAAAUCAAAAGAACCCGGCGGUGGAGUUAUGUACCUCUCCUUGGAAAAUGCCACCUCUUGGGAUUUCAAAAUAUGCAGCCAUGGCUAGCCGUCUGACCACGCCAAUUCCACCAAAGCCACCGCAACGCGGCGUAGUGUCCGAUUGAUUGCUUCAAAACAGAGCUUCGUAUCCAUGUGUUUAUCAGCAGAGAGUACCCAAAACCACUGAAAAUUAUUUCUUUAUUCAGAUAAUAAAAUUUCCCAAAUUUGGAAAUUUAAUUCCGAAUCAAAAGUAGGGUUUGAAUUUUGAUUACCUAGAAAUUGGGGGGUUGGGGUGGAGAGGGACCCGUGCCACGACGGAUCUCUGUGUCUGUUUUAACUCAUGCCAAAUUAUAGAGAGUGUCAGGAAGACUUAAAUACUGAAGCCCCGUAAGCCGUUCAAUCCAGGGGGGAAGCUCUUUGAUAGAUGUUUUAUCCAAGAUAAGAUAUCUUAAUCCUUCCAUAUUUUCUUCAAUGCUUGGAAACACCUCAAAUUUUGUACAACCGGAAACAGAGAGACGGACAAGGGACUUGAGCUGACAAAUGCUGCUUGGAAGGCUCUUUAGUUCCUCGCAGUCGUUUAGCUUCAAAUAAGUCAAUCCCGUGAGAUUAUUAAUCGACCAUGGUAGUUCUUUAAUUUUUGAUCCGGAUAAAUUAAGAAAUUCUAACCCUUCAAUCACUUCUGUAAUCUCUGGAAACAUCUCAAGGCUCGAGCAACCAUAAAGAUCAAAGCUUUUGAGUGAUUUCAUACGAAUGCUGCUGGGAAGACUCUUAAGUUUCUUGCAGUAUAGUAGAUUCAAAUGACUCAACCCCGUAAGAUUAUUAAUUGAUGGGGGCAGUUCUUUAAUUUUUGAGCAGCGUAAAUCAAGCUUUUCUAACCCCUCAAUACCUUUUGACAUCGAUGGAAACAUCUCAAGACUGGAGCAGCCAUGAAGGUUCAAGGUUUUGAGACAUUUCAUACGAAUGCAGCCUGGAAGACUCUUAAGUUCCUUGCAAUCUUUUAGGUUGAAAUGACACAACCCCGUGAGAUUAUUAAUUGACAUGGGCAGUUCUUUAAUUUUUGACUCGGAUAAAUUAAGCUCUUCUAACUCCUCCAUACAUUUUGAAAUCUCUGGAAACAUCACAAGAUUGGAGCAGCCAUAAAGAUUAAAGGUUUUGAGAGAUCUCAUACGAAUUUUGCUGGGUAGACUCUCAAGUUCCUUGGAAAAUUCUAAGUUUAAAUGACUCAAUCCCGUGAGAUUAUUAAUUGACUCGGGCAGUACUUUAAUUUUUGACGCGGUUAAAUUAAGCUCUUCUAACUCCUCCAUACCUUCUGAAAUCUCUGGAAACAUCUCAAGAUUGGUGCAACCUCUUAGAUUAAAGGUUUUGAGAGAUUGCAUGCCAAUGUUGUUGGGUAGAAUCUUAAGUUCAUUGCACCAAUUCAGAUCUAAUAAAACAAGCUUUGUAAGAGUCAAAAUCGACCCGUGAACCUCAACUAAGCGUGUACAACUUUGAACAAUUAGCCUCUCAAGAUUUGGCACAUUUGUGAAGUCAGGGGUUAUCUCAAGGUUUUGACAAUGACUUAAAUUGAUGAAUUUCAACUUUUCCUGCGUCUGUUAAAACAUUCAGGAAAACAUGCAUUACUUAAUAAGACAUCUUACUCAAAGCCCAAACAUUUAAAAGAAACAAAUACAAGUAAAUGAUUGUACAUACCUGGGUUCCUUCCCAAAGUCGGUUAAUGAGACUACAUCGCAUGUCAAGUUCAACAAGAUUUUUGAAUUGAAAGUUGGAUGGCAAAGACUUGAGAGGGAAUUGAAACCAGGAGAGAUACCUCAAGUUAGGUAACUUAAAACGGAGCCCACUCAGGUGGUGUUUCCAGUAAUCACGUUUAAAAACGGAGCCCUCACUACUGAUCUUGAGAAGUCUUAGUUGAGUCAUACUAGCAAAAGCUUUAGCAUUUAAGCAUACCCGGUCUGAGUACGAGAAAUCCACGAUUAUGCUUUCAACUGUUUUCGUAGCCUGUGCAAAUCAAAGUAUUAGAAAAUACAAAGAACCUUAGUUUAGAUUAUGAAAUUAAUGCUUGUUUCUUAGGGAGCUGUUUGAUAAUCAUUUCGUUUUUAGUUUAAUUUUUUUUUCAAUUUUCAAUUAUUCAAACAAUGAAAACUAAAAAUUAAAAAUUGAAAACAAAAAUGGUUAUCAAAUGGCCUAAGAAAUUGAUUUUGGUCAAAAGUUGAAGCUUUCUACUAACAAUUGCAUAAGAAAAAGACUUCUCACCGUAUUUUGAGUUAGCAUUUGAUUAACAUCUUCAUAACUCCACAACCUACUUCGUUUCCCAGGCUCUUUGAUAGAUUCUUGACGGACGAUUUCCCGACCCAUUUCCUCUAAUGAAUCAUGCUUCUCCAGUUCCCCCUCCCCUGAGACAGUUAUGAGAGCAUGAUCGAUUAGAACUCUUAUUCCUAUAUGAGGAUGGAAACCACAAUCGUCCAUAAUUCGGGUUGCACAGUCUUUCUUCAUCCCUUUAAAGAAACAUGCAAUAUCUAGAAAGAUGUCUUUCACUGUGUCAUCUAGUCCAUCGAAGCUUGAUUUAAGCACAUCAUGAAUUCCCCUUUGCGGGAUUUUCCUUAUUUUUUCUAACUCAUCUUCCCACUCACGGAUAGUUUUUUUAAGAAGAAAAGCUCCCAAAACUUUGAGUGCUAAGGGCAGACCUUGAGCAUAUUUUACGACACGCUUAGAGAGAUCAUCAUAAUCUCUGGUGGGUUGGUUUUUUCGGAAGGCGUGCUGCCUAAAGAGUUUCAGAGCUCCAGAAUCACUCAAAGUCUUGGGAUUAUAUAUCACAUCAACUAUGCUUAGUAACUGUGAAUCUCUACUUGUUAUAAUAAUCCUACUUCCACCACCAAAGGAAUGUGGCUCUCCAAGUAAAGCAUCAAUUUGUUCUGAUUUGUCCACAUCAUCAACAACAAUAAGAACUUCUCUGACCAAGGCUUUUUAACAUCACCUGAAAACCUUUGUUCGAUAUGUCAGAGCUCCCCACCUUGUUGUCCGAGAUACUAGAUAGAAGUUGUGUCUGCAUAUGUAGUUCGCCGUGCUUCAUGAAACCCUCCUUGACAUUUUUAAGAAAGCAACAAGUUUCAAAUCGACUAGCGAUUUCAUCAUAAACAGCUCUAGCGAUGGUUGUUUUGCCUAAACCACCCAUACCCCAUAUUCCAACAACGCGAACAUUAUUCGUUUCAACUCCAGGAGGAUGUAAUAAUAAAUGCAUUUCAUGCAUAUGAGAAUCCAUGUCAACCAAGCCAUUCUCUUUCCUUGAUGAUGAUGAGAUGUCAAUCAAUUUCCGAUAAACAUAUUCUACAAUUUCCUCUACGAGCACCGCAUCACUCCUGUCAAAUUAAAAAAAAAAAAUAUAAUAACAACAAAAAAUAAUAAUUAAUAGGUCUUUUUCAUCUGUUAGUUUUAAAAAAACUAGAAAUUAAAACCAAAAUCUUGUUGUGGUCUAUUUUAUCUGACAGAGGGACUAGGGCCGGCGGCAGAGAGAGAGAGGAGAGAGAGGUGUGUUUGUAGAAUUGUAGGGGAAUGUGUGUGUUGUUAUCCCUCCUACAUUGUGCCUUUAUUUAUAGUAGUAAAGGGAGAGAAGAUAUUCCUUCUUCUCCAAGUAAUACAAGUUGUAAUAGGAAAGGAUAACUAGAAUCAAAUCUUAUCUAGGAUUUACACAAUCAUACUUAAACUAGGAAUGUUUACAACACUCCCCCUUGAGUGGGUAAAUACUCAAGGUAGAUUCAGCAUCAUGCAGAAGUUGAGGAAGUCGACUCGUCGGCAUUGAUUCCAAGGAACAACGCUUAUUCUCAAUAAGGUAGGAACUUGCAUAAGUAGUAAGUCUCACUAAAAAACCCUAAGGCUAUGGCAAAAACCCAAGUAGGGACAAAAUCCAUAGUCUAAGGAAAAAUGCGUGAGGAAUGCAAAGUCAAAAGAAACGUCUACAGGACAUCAUCAGGGAUAUGACCAGCCCAAGGUGGGUGCCUCGUUAAAACCUAGUUAGGUAGCAAAAACCCAGUGGGAAAAAUGCUCCUAAUCGUAGGGAAAAAGAGUACAUUAAGAUCAAGCAAGUAUCCAGAAGAAACUCCCCCUGAGUUUGACAUAAUUCCAAAGAGAAAUAGCAAAGUUACAACUCAGAAAGUUUUUACGCAUACCAAUUCCAUGAACAAGCUUCUAAAAACGUCGCCUUCGGUAGUGAUUUGGUGAAGAGGUCGGCCAGAUUGUCUUGUGAUCGGAUUUGCGUGACUUCAAUCUUCUGAUGCUCUUGUUGUUGAUGUGUAAAGAAGAACUUCGGCGCAAUAUGCUUGGUGUUGUCUCCUUUGAUGUAACCCUUCUUGAGCUGUUCGAUGCAAGCUGCGUUGUCUUCAAAAAUCGUCGUCGGGGCAUUAACGGCGGGAUGAAGAUCACAGGAGCUUCGAAUAUGGCCCACUACUGCUCUCAACCAAAAGCAUUCCCGAGUUGCUUCAUGUAAGGCGAGAAUUUCAGCAUGGUUAGACGAAGUGGCAACUAAGGUCUGUUUAGUUGACCUCCAAGAUAUUGCGGUGCCUCCAACGGUAAAGACAUAACCCGUUUGAAGAACGCGCCUUGUGCGGAUCAGAUAAGUAUCCAGUGUCGGCAUAACCAACAAGGCGAGAAUCAACCCGAUGAGCAUAGGGUGCGGCAUCACUCGAGGAUUCGUAGGGAUAAGAUAAAGCCCAAAUCCGUAGUACCCUUAAGGUAACGGAAGAUGUCUUUCACGCCAGUCCAAUGUCUGCGUGUUGGUGCAUUGCUGUAUCUUGCCAAAAGAUUAACAGCGAAGGAGAUGUCGGGUCUAGUGCAUUGAGCUAAGUACAAUAAAGCGCCUAUCGCACUUAGAUAAGGAACUUCAGGCUCCAAAAUCUCUUCAUCAUCCUCCUUCGGACGGAAGGGAUCUCGCUUUGCAUCUAGCGUACGAACGACCAUAGGAGUACUCGAAGGCUUCGCUUUAUCCUCAUUAAAACGGCGCAACACCUUCUGGGUGUAGUUCGAUUGAAGUACUAGGAUUCCAUCCGAACAAUGCUCUAUCUCGAGGCCGAGACAGUAUCGAGUCUUACCUAGAUCUUUCAUCUCAAAUUCCGACUUCAGGUGCGAAGCAGUUCUCGCGAGCUCUUCAGGAGUUCCGAUGAGAUUCAUGUCAUCGACAUAUACUGCAACAAUCGCAAAUCCGGAAUGUGACUUCUUAAUGAACACACAAGGGCAUAGUUCGUUAUUCACAUAUCCCUGACUAGUCAAAUACUCACUUAAACGGUUAUACCACAUUCUUCCGGAUUGUUUCAAACCGUAUAGUGAACGCCUCAGCCGAAUUGAGAGCGUGUUCCGAGGUUUGGAAAUAUUUGAACCAGUCAAUGUAAGUCCUUCGGGAACUUUCAUAUAAAUUUCCGUAUCAAGAUCCCCAUAGAGAUACGCGGUUACUACGUCCAUCAGCUGCAUAUCCAGUUUUUCGGAAACUACCAAACUGAUAAGGUAUCGAAAAGUAAUCACAUCCAUAACGGGUGAGUAAGUUUCGUCAUAGUCAAUCCCGGGGCGUUGUGAGAAACCUUGUGCUACAAGACGAGCUUUGUAACGCACAAUUUCGUUCUUCUCAUUACGCUUCCGAACGAAAACCCACUUGUAGCCAACGGGCUUCACAUGUGGAGGAGUAGGAACUACAGGUCCAAACACCUUACGUUUCGCAAGUGAAUCAAGUUCGACUUGGAUUGCUUGUUUCCAGUUUGACCAAUCAGCUCUACGUCGACAUUCAUCAACGGAACGCGGUUCAAUGUCAUCGCUCAACAUGAUCUCAGUAGCUACUGCAAAUGCUAAUGCAUCGUCGACAAUCAUCUCAUUUCUACGCCACACAUCAUCUAAGCUAGCAUAAUAGACCGAAAUCUCACGAUUCUCGGGAGGAGGAUUCGUCUCUUCAAGGACGCUUCCAUAAUCUAGAAUUUCCUCAUGAGUUGGGUAAAAUGAGUAAGCGAUAGUCGGAUUCACGGUAGGCUCUUCAGGACCUUGUGCCGUGGUUUUCCUCUUCCGGGGGUGUGAAUCCUUUGAACCAAGGGGUCUGCCACGCUUUUGUGUAGGGGCAGAUGAUUGGCUAGCCGCUAAUGUACGUGGAUCACCAGAAUUGGCGUCCCGGGCUUCCAGGAGGGUAGUCCGUCGUACAUUUGGUACAUCCAUCUUUGCAGGCGUUUUCGCAGCUGGAAUAUGUGAUCUUGUCACGCGCGCUAGAUCGGUGAAAGCAUCUGGCAUGCUCUGAGCUAUGCUCUGGAGAUCUAAUAUGCGCUGCACUUCAGCUUCAGACUGAGCGGUGCGGGGAUCUAAAUGAGACAAAGUGGGAGUCAUCCACGAUAAUUCGCGUCGUUCAUUAGGAACGUUGACGUUCUUAUCUCCCCCUAACGACGGGAAGACUGUCUCAUAGAAGUGACAAUCCGCGAAACGAGCGGUAAACAGAUCGCCUGUCAAAGGUUCUAAGUAACGAAUAAUCGAAGGAGAAUCAUAUCCGACAUAGAUUCCCAUCCUUCGCUGAGGCCCCAUUUUUGUACAUAAGGGCGGCGAGAUCGGCACAUAGACCGCACAACCAAAAACGCGCAGAUGAGAUAUGUCGGGUUCGCAUCCGGUGACCAACUGAAGGGCACUAAAUGGUUGUGUCGCAACAGGCCUCAGGCGGACCAACUUUGCUGCGUGCAAUAUUGCAUGGCCCCAAGCAGCGAUCGGGAGCUUGGUACGUAUGACCAACGAUCGAGCAAUCAUUUGUAAACGCUUAAUGAAAGCCUCUGCCAGGCCGUUCUGGGUGUGAACAUGGGGUACAGGAUGUUCAACUUCAACCCCAACCGACAUGCAAUAGUCAUCAAAAGUUUUAGAUGUGAAUUCUCCAGCAUUAUCCAAUCGAAUAGAUUUGAUCGGAUAAUCAGGGUGGUGAGCCCUGAGCUUGAUAACCUGAGCCAACAGUUUGGAGAAUGCAGCGUUCCUUGUGGACAACAAGCACACGUGUGACCAACGUGUAGAAGCGUCAACCAAAACCAUAAAAUAUCUAAAUGGUCCGCAGGGAGGUUGAAUCGGUCUACAAAUGUCCCCCUGAAUCCGUUGUAGAAAAAUGGGAGGAUUCGAACGAAUCUUGUCAUAAGAAGGCUUAGUAAUAAGCUUUCCCAUAGAACAUGUUUGACAUGCAAUUUCAUGGAUCGAACCUAAGCUUCGGGUUAGUGGAUGCCCGUGUGAAGUUUUGAGGAUACGGCGCAUCGCUAUUCGUCCAGGAUGUCCCAAACGAUCAUGCCAAAGUGUAAUUUCGUGCGCGGUCCCUGUGGUAGGGCCGGCCACAUAGUGGCAUUCUAUGGGGCGUAUGGUCGUAGUAUAUAGACCACUCGGGUUACGCGCCAUCUUCUCUAGAAUACGCUUCUGGCCAUAUUCGUAGGAAGUUACGCACAGAAAUUUAACUCCGUUUUCUACGUGGGUUUCAGCGUGGUAAUUGUUAUCUCUAAUGUCCUUGAAACUUAGUAACGUUCUUCCGGAACGUGGAGAAUAGAGUGCCUCAGCAAUGGUCAAGAUUGUACCAUUGGACAACAUUAUACGUGCCUUACCGUAUCCUUCGAUCAGGUUGGAUGGGCCUGAGGGGGUUGUCAGAGGUGCAUUCUUAGGUACGAAGUUAGUGAAAUAGAUGCGUUCACGCAAAACAGUAUGCGUGGUUGCACUAUCUGCCAGACAACUAACUUUCCCACUAUUCAUACCUAGAAUUAAUUUGAAUUGGUCACAUGCAUAAAAGUUUAUAAAACAAGUAUCAAUUCAAAAUAAUUUCAUUUAUUCAAGGAAAAAACUUAAUAUCCAAAAUAAAUCGCCAACUAAUAAUCCAAAACAUAAAGGAAAAUUGUUCAAAAUCAACCAAAAACAAGGUGGGGUUCGGCCACUAGGUGGAAUUCGGCCCCAAUUGUCUUAUUUUAACUGAAAAAUAAGUCUAUGUCUAAGAUUCUAAUCUUCCAUAGGAGUGGUAUCCUCCUGAAAAUCAGAAACCUCCAUCUUUGUAAUCUCCGGUUCGUCCACUUGCAGGAAGUUUGAUUCAAACUUCGUACAACGAGAAUGAUAUGCAUCCACAACCUUCUUGGGAGUACGGCAAAUACGGGACCAAUGGUCCUUGGAACCACAACGAUAGCACAUAUCGUCAUUCAUUGUGGCAGGUGCUUUGCCCUUAUUCUUGAAGUUCGGGGCCUUGGGAGUGAGGUUUGGGCGCUUCUGGGCUUUGUUUCCUCCCUUGGAUGGGCCUUGGCUCUGUUGACCUUGGUGGGAUGGCUUCUGGCCGCCCUUACCACGCCUCUUUUGGCGUUUUGGGUGCUGAUUAGUGCUAUAAUGUGCUUCAGGCACAGCAGUAGCCCCAGUAGGUCGAGCUUGAUGAUUUUUCAUCAACAGCUGGUUCUGCUUUUCAGCAAGAAGUAAAACAGAGAUCAAAUCAGAGAACUUAGUGAACUUCUGAGCUCUAUAUUGUUGCUGCAGGACAAUAUUAGAAGCAGAGAAGGUCGAGUAGGUCUUCUCCAGGAGAUCCUCUUCAGUCAAAGUUUCAUUGCAAAACUUGAGAAGUGAUCGGAUUCGACAAACUUCAGAAUUAUAUUCAUUCACAGACUUAAAGUCUUGGAAGCGCAAGUGCUGCCAGUCGUGUCUUGCUUCAGGCAAGAAUAUGUCCUUUUGGUGAUUGAAACGAUCAGCCAAAGCGACCCAUAAUGCACGUGGAUCCUCCUCAGCAAGGUACUCAGUUUGUAGAGCGUCAUGGAUAUGUCUUCGGAUGAAGAUCAUAGCAGUGGCUUUUUCAGCCUCGCCAACAGGUUUAUCUGUUACUUCUUCAAUAGCAGGACGCAAGUUCUUUGCAGUGAGGUGGAGCUUCACAUCUUGAACCCACUUGAGGUAGUUCCUUCCAGAAACCUCCAAAGCGGUGAAGUCGAGUUUGUUCAAAUUCGACAUGUUCCUAUCACAAAAUGGAUGAACAAGAUGUGGUUAGUGUAAUGGAGAAAAAUCAAUCCAUUCACAUAGGAGUAGAACAUACAGGUUCUAAUAGACAUGUAUUGGUUUAAUUUUGCAUGAAAAACUUCGGGUUUUCAUGGGUGAUAUAUUUAAGUGAAAACUUCGGGUUUUCAAACAAGGCAUGUGUAUAAGAAACUUUGGGUUUCAAAGUAAUUAUGAACUUCAGGUUCAUAUAUUCCUGCAGGCAAACACAAAUAUAUAUGCAAACAAAUAUGCAAAGAAUAUAUGUAGAAAUAUUGUAUAAUGAUAAGUGAAUUAAUUUAUUUUUGGUCUUCGGGGCCAAAUUAAAGUGUGGGUGAAAAUAUAAAAACCCAUAUUAUUUAAAAAAAAUUAAAUAAUAAAAUCUCGGGGCCUAAAAAUAUAGGCCAAGAACCCUCGGGUGGGAUUACAGGCCCACGGGGUGAGAAAAGGGGAAUGGGCUGCUGUGUGCAGCCCUAAAAUUUUUUUUUUCUCGGGCCGUUCCAGGCGAGCCCAUAAUUUUUUUUUUCUUUUCGGGCCGUUCCAGGCGAGCCCAGAAACUUUUUUUUUUUUUUUUUAAUUUAGAUGCAUAUAUAAUUCAAUGAAUCACAUAUUUACUUUGAUGCAUAUGCAAAUAAUAGUUUCAAUGCAUGUACAUAUGUAAGAUUCAAUUCAUGGCAAAUAUCAAAUUCACAUAAUUGUAGCAAUUUUGAUUAUGAAGCAUACACAAUUUAUGUAGAAUCUAAAAUACGUAAAACGUAAAGUUGGGUCAUGCAUCAUGGUGAAUGUUCAUGCUAUCAGGGCUUGCAAAAUAUCGAGUUAAAAGCCGUUGUUUGGAAAGAACCUGAUUGCGUGAUGAUAUGGAUGAACUGGUUUGAUGCAGAAAAAAUCUCCAACGUCAGAUUCCUAAGCGCAACGGUAGGAGCGUGCUGAUAACGUGUUGUGGUCUAUUUUAUCUGACAGAGGGACUAGGGCCGGCGGCAGAGAGAGAGAGGAGAGAGAGGUGUGUUUGUAGAAUUGUAGGGGAAUGUGUGUGUUGUUAUCCCUCCUACAUUGUGCCUUUAUUUAUAGUAGUAAAGGGAGAGAAGAUAUUCCUUCUUCUCCAAGUAAUACAAGUUGUAAUAGGAAAGGAUAACUAGAAUCAAAUCUUAUCUAGGAUUUACACAAUCAUACUUAAACUAGGAAUGUUUACAACAAAUCUAAAUAUUUGUCAAAUUAUCUAAAUAUAUAAAGAGAGAGCCCCAGUUUGGUGAAGCAUUCCAAAAUGCCAAGAAUAUCCCUAUGUUUCCUUCACAAUCAAAAUCCAAAAAAUCCAAAAAAAAGGAGGACAAACUGGUAAAAAACUUAUAACCGAACAUAAAAUUGUAUUGAAAGAAAAAACUAAAUUUUUACUAAAAAUUGAGAGCAAGAAAUACAAAAAAAAAAAACAAAAAAAAGGGAAAUUAAACCGAAUACUGGUAGAACAAGUCCACGUAAUUGAUAAUUGACGAAUGCAAUGUUGGUAACUGGUCUUGAUUUAAAAUAAAAAGUUGAAAACACAAAGAGACAGAUGCAGUAAAAAACACCAAUAAAAAACAAAAUAAAAAAAAAAAUAUUGGAAACUGAGGAAAGAAACGUGGGAGAGAGACUGCUGUUUUCAAACUGCAUUAAGUUUAAAGGCUCUCAUGUUAUUGCUAAUGGAAUAAAACAAAAAAGAAAAUAAAAAGAGACCUAAUACGUUUAGAAUAGAACUGCUAUUCGACAGUUGCAGGCUUGAAGUGUGUGAAGGAAACAGUUUUGAAGAACGAUAAACUCGAACGUUCAUGAAAAUAAAAGCGAACGUGGGAGAGGAACCAGUUUUGCGGGACAUGUAAAUAAAACACAAAAUAAAAUAACCUCAAGAGAAUAAAUUGAAAUUGUUGUGCCAGAGCCUGAAGGAGAAGAUCAAAUUGGCGAAAACCAACAAGAACUGGUAGUUCUGUAGUUCUCAAUUAUUAAAUUUGUGUGUUUUGUUCUCUAUCAAAAUGCUUCUUAUUCCUUAAUCUUCUCAUGCAUUUUCACAUGAUUAUUGAAAAUUCUGCACGUUAAUUGUAAUGGUUUGAUUGUGGUUUUUGUUCUCUGCAGGUUUUUCUUCCCUUAUCUUAUCAAAUAAAUCAAUUGAUAGGUUAGGCUUUCAUUUUUUUUUCUUCACAGGACUUUUAAGGACAUCCUCAAGUCAAAGUGAUGGAAUCAAAGUCUUCAGGUUUGGAUGCUUUUUUCCUUCUCUUUUUAGAGUAAUUUUCGAGUUUCUUCUCGCAUUUUUCGGGUUCCUUUCCCCAGUCCCCCAAAAUAACAAUAACAAAUUAGGCUUCUUCAUUUUUAGACUCUCUUGGGGUUGGCAGAUAAGGGGUUGCUUGCAUUUAAACCUCACCGUCCGGCUUCUUCUUUCUUAUGAAUUUUUAUCCCUUUCCUACGGCCAGUUCGUGAAGGCCGUUUUCAAAUUGAGGUUUUGUAUAUUCUGUCUCUUAAGAUUUGAUUCUUUCUAUUUUGGAUUAUUUUUUGUCUGAUUUCUCAAACAAUUUGGCUAAUGAAGAGUUUAUGGAUAUACAAUGGGACAAUAUUAUUUUCUCUCUGUUUUAUGUGUUUAUUUAGUUUUACUGUAGUUUUCAUCUAUGCCUUGAGUUUUGGCUUCUCUAUCUUUUUAUCUUUUGUAGCGUUCCAGGUAAAUGGUGAGAAUUAUUCAAGUAUGCGACAUCAUUUUAGUUUCAUGUGAAAAAUCUUCUCUUAUAAUUUUGUUUGAGUGAUUGAAUGUGCAUAUGUGAGCUCUAAGGUUUGGUUCCAUAUUUAUUGUUGAAGAAAAACAGGAAGUGAGGAACACAAUAACCCUACCACGAUUAUGUAUGAAAUAAAUUGGAUCUAUUAAAAACUCAUAUUUUGGGUGUGUUGUUAGGAAGAAAUGCCUAAACUCCGAAUUUGUAUGGAACAUACUCAUUAUAGAAUAGAUUAAUUGUAUGUGUUAUUGCUUUUAGUACUAAAAUUGACUUAUUUGCCCUCCUACAAGUCAUAGCUUUGCUAAUAAAUUGAGAACAAUGUCUGAUUUAGUUUUUUUUUUUUGUCGAAAUGUCUUAUUAGUUUAACUCUUUUCAUUUGAUAAUUCUCUUGCCCUUGGUUUGAGAUAUAAAGUAUUUCAUUUCAGUCAUCAAGUGUCACAGCCUGUCCCGAAAUAUUUUAUUGAUGUUGUGAAAUGACGAAACUGCCUUUGAGCGUUUUUUGACAUUUAAACUUUAGGGUUUGUUUUGGUAACCAUGGUUGUGUUUAGGGUUAGGUGGAAGUGUGAGGACACACACAUCACCCUUUCCCUUUCUUUCUCUUCUCUCCCGUGCACUCUCUCUCUCUCGGAAACACUCUCCCUCUCGGAAACACUCUCCCUCUCUUCCUUCUUUGUACGGACAACAUCAAAACCCUCUCAAACCUUGUAGAUCGAGGGUGUAAAGAACACCAUUGGGUUCGUGAGGAUCAUACAAGUCAAAAGGUACCAGUUUCAGGUAAGGAAACCUUCGAUUUCCCGUGAAAACCCUAACCCUCCGAUUUUGUCACUGUUUAUGCUCAUGUAAAACCUUGUGUUUUAGGGGAUUUUAAGCUCAUAGGGAGCUUUAGGAGGUCCUAAGGAAGAUCAGAGUGGUUUGUUGGAAGAAUUUGGACGUCGAAAUAGUGAGAUCGACGAGUUGCAGGGUUUGGCCUGAUUAUCGAGGUUUUUUUCCAGCGAGUUGGAGGUCGAGGCAUGUAUGGUUUUGUUCGUCUUUGUGAGAUCUUCAAAUUGGUUCAAAUUUCAUUGAAAAUGGUGCAAAAAUGAAGAAGUUAUAGGCAUUAGAAAUUUUUCCAUAAACCGGUGACUCACCGGAGAAGAAAGGAGUUGACGGAAUAUACUAACGGCGUCAUGUAUCUUUAACAGAUUCAGUUAGUUUUAACGGAAUAUUCCUGACGGCGUUAACUGACGCCGUCAGUGUGCCAAGCACAUGGGCGCACGUGGGGGCGCAUCUGGCCGUGCCUUGGCCACGUGGGUGAUCAGAAAAUUAUUCUAAAAAUAUGGGGAUGUUUCUGAGGUUGUGUAGAUCAUUUUGGUAUAUUCAAACACCCCGAUUGAGCAUUGUAUGAGAAGUUGUUACCAAGUUUUGUGUUUGUGCUUUAAAAGUAACGUUUAUAUAGUUGUUUCGCAUAUAGGUGAGACCUAUCCCGAGGACGAGCGAAGUCAGGGGCAACUCGGGGGUUACGACCCUUCCACAUACCAGUGAGUAUAUAUAUAUAUUGAAUAUUUUCCUAGAAAAGCGAUUUAAAUGUGUGAAAUCCCGUUUCUGGAUUUCAUUGUUAUCACCUACAUAUUUGUAUUAUUGAGAUUUUAUAUUAUUUCUCGAGAAUUUAUUUUAAUUUGUUUGAAUUUAAAUUUAAAUUAAAUUAGUUAUUAACGUUUGAAGUUUGAGGCAUUUUAGAAAUAAAUAGAAAAAUCUGAAAUUUUCUUAUGAAAUCUGGUGUGCCACAUGGGUGGCCCAGAUUCAAUGGAAAGGAAAAUGGAUGGUGGAGAUGCAAAGGAAAGGAUUUAAAAGAGAGUGGGCGCUGCCCAGUUAGGAGGGGGGAGAGAAAGAGGUGACCAAUUGGGCGAAGAGGAAAGGAGAGUAAGGAGAGAAGAAGAGGAAGAGGGAACCGGCCGGGGUUUACUAUGGCCCAUGACCCGACCCGGUUAUAUCUCCCAACUCCGGCCACCAUGGACGGCUAGGAUGGUGUCAAAAUGAUCCUUAGCUCGAGGCCAAUCGAUCUCUCUUCCAUUUCUACACUUAAAACGACGAGGGGGAGUCCAAUUUUGAGGAAAUACCACGGUGGGUGCGUCGGGCUUAUGUGGAAAUCCAUUAAAUCUUGAAACGUUUUCUUCCAAUUACAACCACCCAUAGCAUCCUCAUGAGGCCUAGAACAAAGCCCAGACAAGUUUGGGGGCGGCAGAGUUGUUUUCGAGUCGGAUCGAACACACCUAAAAACAAGGGUUCCGUACGGUUCGAGUGAAAUUGGGGAUUUUCCCGGCCAAAUUGGACUUGGCCACAGGUAUAAAAAUUGCUAUACUCAUUGAAAUCUUCAUUUCUGUAAAUUUUGAUAAUUUUUAAAAAUAGUUGAAUUUUUCCGGCAAGUCGGGGCGGCCGACGGCCACCCGUGGCGGCGAGUGCGGCGGUUUCCUGGCCAGUGGGCCGAAAAUAUCAUUUUAAGUUCAAUUAGAUGUCUUGAUUUCAUAAUUGAUAUCCUUAUGAUAUGGUUUGAUUGUUUGAACCUAAUUUCAUUACGAUACGUGGUUAGGUCAAAAUAUGAUUCGACGAUCCUACCGUUGGAUCGUCACCAAACCUUAAUGCGUGAUAGAACAUAAUAUUUUUGGAUCAUAGAAACUUACGGAUCGAGAAUCUGACGUACGGAUCUUCCCUAAUUGGAUUUCUAAGUUUGUAAAAUUAAAUGUCGACCGCCACUUGAAUUUUGAAAUUGGCGGAGAUCCAACUGUCGGAUCAUGUUGAGAUUUCAGUAUGUUGUUAUUUGAGCAUAAUGUGGACUUUGGAAAGUUUCGGAUCGGAAAUCCGAGGUGCGGAUCUUCCGAAUCAAAUUACAUAAGUUUGUGGACCCUACUGUUGAUCGAGAGUUGACUUUUGCUCAACAUGUCAUGAAACGUCCUAAUUACUAAAAUUAGUACUACAGGGGAACUAGGUGAAGUCUAGUGGGCAUGCAUUGAUUAGAGAGUGACUUGAAUAUAUGUGAUAUGAUUAUUACCUUAAUUUCCUAUUAGUAUCCUUUGUGAAGAUGAAUUGGUUUUAUAAAUGUGAUUUCUAUUGAAAUGUGAUUUUUAUAUAUUUAGCCAUAGGCCUAUGAUUAUUAAACAUGAUUUGGCUUGGUACUGAUGAUGGUUGUGACAUAUGUGAGUUAAAUUAUCUUUUUAGUAAUGUGAAUGAUGUGUAUGAUUAUUUUCAUGACAAUGUGAUCCUAGAAUCCUAUUAAAAGUAUGUUGUAGCACUUAUAUGCUUGGGUGCCAUAUUAGUGGUGACCUUGAGAAGUUGAUGGUGUAGGUGACUACGUUGUAACUCAUAGGGUUGAGAUGUGAUGUGGAUAAGUUGAGGUGUUGAAAUUACUACACCAUGUAGUAGUUGUACAUUGAUGGUCCUGCUUGGUAUAUCCGCAUUGGGGGACCAUACGCAUUCUAGGAGUGAUCAUGCUUGGUAUAUCUGCAUUGGGUGAUCACUACCUACCUGAUUAUCUUGACCCUGCUUGGUUAAUCCGCAUUGGGGGGUCACAAGUGGUCCUGCUUGGUUAACCCGCAUUGGGGGACCAUACUUUAUAUGGAUCGCGCUUGGUUAAACCGCGUUGGGCGAUCCUUAUGGCCAUGUAUGCUUAGGAGUGAUCAUGCUUGGUAUAUCCGUAUUGGGUGAUCACUGCCUAGGAUAUUAAACUAUGCAUACGGUUUUGCUUGGUAUAUCCGCGUUGGGGGACCAUAUGCAUUCUAAAAGUAAGGAGGAUUAGUUGUGUUGAUGCACAAAAUCAGCGAAGACUUUGGUACAACAGAAAGUGUCAGGUUUUGUGACCUUCGCUUGGUUGCUUCGGUCACUAGUGAGGAUAAAUACGUAAAUAAAUAGAGACAGAGAAGCAAACACAGGAUGUACGUGGUUCACCCAGAUUGGCUACGUCCACGGAGUAGAGGAGUUCUUAUUAGUAGUGAAGGGCUUACACAAGUACAAAGGAUCAAGCUCUCAAUUUAGUGAGUUCUUGUGAAUGAUUUACACAAAAUGGCAUUAGGCAAUAUUGUGGGGGAAUGACCCCUAUUUAUAGAAAAACUUGUAGCUUUGUCACAUUGACAUGUGUCAUGUUAUGAUUGGUUCUUGAUGUUGACACGUGCUGCGCUCUGAUUGGCUUCUAAUCCUGACACGUGUCGAGUAGUGAUUGGCCUCCUGGUCGGAGGGGAACUCUUCUGGGUCCUUGACAGUAUAGCGUUGGCUGGUACUCGGUAGUUUCGGGAUUGGUCAAGUAUGGUACAAACAGUGCUCCCCUAAGUUCCCGAGUGAGGGAAACUCCUCGGUUGGGGACUUGCAAGAUCCAAUCCCUUGAGUAAUCACGAAACUUCUAAGUACCGAAGUGUGGUCUGAUCUUCAUCUGCCCUUCUCUGGAAGUACCUUUCCUCCAUCCGGGAAUGGUGUAUUUAGCUGAUGUUGACGCACAAGCUAAUGUAUCAAUUUCACUUGAAGCUUAGUUGUAGUUUCGGGCUUAGUCAAGUGUGAUACAAACCCUAUAGUAGGAGUCCCCCAAGUCGCCGAGCUAGGAGAUCUGCCGAAAGAGGUGACAGACAAGGUAAGCAGUCAAACUUCCAAGUAAGCAACCCAGGAUCAGAGGUUUGACUUCGGCUUCCGGUUGAUUGUUCUCAUUCUCCUUGUCUCUCAUUCAACUGCCAGGAUAAGGAGAAGCAAAUGGAUAAGAGAUGAUAUGAGAUACUUUUGCUUUUGAAGAAGUAACUUUCCACAGGCUUAUUCUUGAACUGUGCUGGAGGGUUUUCUGGUGCCCUUCAGAGUAUAAGGCCAACUCAAAAAUUUGAGGGUCAAAACAAGUCCAUCAAAUCUAGAGUACGUUCGACCUUGAUGAUAUGGGAUACUUUUGCUGUUGACGGAAUAAUGAAUGUGGUAUGGAAAGGUGUCGUGCUGUAGUGAUCUGUUUCAGCUCACCGUUUGAACCUUCUGCUUCAAUCUUUUGCAUGGCAGAAGUGGUGUGCAACCUUUGCAUUUAAAUGGUCCUUCAGAACAUUCCUUCAUAGUGACUCAUCCACGCUUGGCAGCUUCAGUGUAAAGAGCCAAUAUCUGAUCAACUGUCAUGAGGUAUUUGCCGGUGGAAUUCGUGACCUUGACAGCAGUUGAGGAUGAGUACUCGAGAGCAAUGCUAAGUAAGCAACCAGGCAAAGGCUCCAGGCAGUCAGUUCCAAAUUGGAGGUUUGAUUUCAGGUUCCGACUGACUGCUCUCUUUCUCCUUGUCCUGCAGGUGUGGACAAGGACAAAGACAAAGACAGGGAGAAAGCAUGAUAUGGGAUACUCUUGCUUUCGAUCCUGAUGAUAUGAGAUACUCUUGUUCUUGGUGUGGCUUAUUUGCUGAGGUAUUAUCGGGGGGAAAUAAAGCUGAGUAUUUCGAGAGGUUAUGUUGAGGGUGCCUUUUCGAAUGCGAGAAAGGGUUGAGCAUUUUUGCAGGUUUGCCUGUCCGUUGAGGAGGGAGGUCAAUGUAUAUAGGGAUUUCCCAAUAACAAGUAGUAAUGCUAUUCCUUUACCCUUCUUGGUCACAGCAAUGUAGUGGGAGCUGCCAGCUUCACGUGUUUUAAUUUUGUCAGAGCACUUUGAAAAAAGUGGUAUGUGGUAUCUGGAAAGCUGAUGUUACGUGUGAAGAUUACAGACAAGCUUUAUCUAAGGAAAUCUGGCUCUCGAAGUUCUGAGAGUUGUGCCUCUUCGGUUUUCGAACAAGCAAUCCCGUCGAGGAUCUGACUCUCGAGAUUCGGAAAGCGGUGCUACUCCGGUUUUUUAGAAAGUAAUUAUGUUGGGAGUCUUUUCUUGAAUGUGAGUAAAGGUUGGACGUUCUUGCCAACCUGUCUUGCCGCAAAACACGGAGGUCGACACACAUAGGGACUUUCCAGUUGUCAAGCAGUGGUGCUGUUCCUUUACCCUUAUGGGUAAUAGUAGGGUAGCUGGAACUUCGAAAUUCUCGUGCCUAAACUUUGUCAGAGAUCUUUGACAAAGUUAUAUGUGGUACCCGAUGAGUUGAUGGUGCAUAUGGAGAGCGGUGAUUGAACAGUAAGAUUCACGUGCUUUCUACUUCACCAGAAAUCUUCGACAGAUUGCCCGUAAUUUCUGCAAAGCUGAGUGUGCAUGUGACAGGUGCUGACGAGGCUGAAAAAGCAGGUGCUUCUUUGAUUUCUGAGAUCGGCCCUCGUGGUCUCUGAGCAGCCCAGCUUUUGAGAAAGCAAACGCCUCUUCGAUUUCUGAAGCUCCGUCGAGUGCAGAUUUUUAUAGAGGCUGGCAUUAAGUUCCACAGCACACUUGAAUCUCUACCAGUAGAAGCUCAUUUCUUGCACUUCUAAGAUCUUGAUUUGUCUGACCUCUUCCCUCUUCAACACAUUUGAAAAUGUCUGGACCCUCCGACCGUCGUUUUGACUUGAACCUUGGAGAAGAGACAGCCACGCCUUCUCCAGACAACAUAUGGCGCCCAUCAUUCAUAUCCCCUACCGGUCCUCUUACCGUUGGGGAUUCUGUGAUGAAGAAUGAUAUGACCGCUGCAGUGGUGGCCAGGAACCUUCUCACUCCCAAAGAUAACAUACUACUUUCCAAACGGUCUGAUGAGUUGGCUGUUAAGGACUCUUUGGCCCUUAGUGUUCAGUGUGCAGGUUCUGUGUCUAAUAUGGCCCAACGCCUAUUUGCUAGAACCCGCCAAGUUGAAUCAUAUUGGCUGCUGAAGUGAUGAGUCUCAAACAGGAGAUUAGAGGGCUCAAGCAUGAGAAUAAGCAGUUGCACCGGCUCGCCCAUGACUAUGCUACAAACAUGAAGAGGAAGCUUGACCAGAUGAAGGAAUCUGAUGGUAAGGUUUUACUUGAUCAUCAGCGGUUUGUGGGUUUGUUCCAAAGGCAUUUAUUGCCUUCGUUCCUCUGGGGCUGUACCUGGUAAUGAAGCUUCAAAUGAUGAACCUCCAAUGCCUCCUCCUUCUGGGGUUUUGUCAAGUACUGAGGCUCCGGAUAACCACCCUCCGGUGCUUUCUCUUUCUGGGGCUCUACCGACUGCUGAGACUUCCCCUAAGCAACCUUUGUGAAGGCUCCCUUUUGUUUGUUUAUUUUGACUCAUGUAUAUGUACAUAUUUGUGGCUUAUCGAAAAUAUUAAUAAAAUAAGCUUUGCUUCAUUUCAACAUAUUGUGUUAAAUACACCAAAGCCUUCUUCAUAAAGUUCUUUGAAUUUUUGCUUUUGUUGAAACCUGUAUUGUUGAAGCUUUGUGAGUGAAGCAUGUAGUUUGAGGUAGUGUUCCCUUAAUUUCUCGAGUGAGGAAAACUUCUCGGUUGGAGACUUGAAAAAUCCAAGUCACUGAGUGGUUGUGAGACUGCCGAGUAUCAAGGUGCAGUAGCAUAUGGUGGGAGUCCCCCAAGUCUUCAGGCGAAGAGAGUUGCCGAAUGAGGUGUCUCGCGUGUUACUAAUUUGUCAAAGUAACGAAUUCUUGUUUCGAUGUCACACAUUCGUAUAUGCUUUAUCUAAAAAAUAUUUCCAACUUUUGUGUGUGUUUGAUGCUGCAUGCUAUUGACUAGACAAGAUCAAGUGCAAUUAGUAGCUUUCUCUCUUUUUCAUCUUUUCUUUGGUGGAAUUGCUUUUCGUUUCCACUAAUCAGCCUGAGUGGAUGCAAGAUAACACCUUUCUCUAUAGCUCAGAUUGCAAAGUCGUCUUCAUGAAAGUUUUUCCUUAUCUUGUGAACUACAAUAUAUCCAAAUUUGAGAUCCAUCGGAGUAGUACAACUUCAGAAAUUCAAGUAUGAUGAGUAACUGUUCAUCAAUGUUCUGUUAAUCCGUCAGACUUGUUGUGAGCUUCGAAACUCCAUUUUCUCUUGUUCAGAUCAACAUACUUUCUUUCUUCAUCGAAGUUGUUCCUCAGCUUGUGAACUACAACAUAUCCAAAUUUGAGAUCCCUCGGAGCAGUAUAACUCCAGAAAUCCAGGUAUGAUGAAUGACUGGUUAUUAUUUUUCUGUCAACCCGUCAGAUUUGUUGUGAGCUUCGAAACUCCAUUUUCUCUUGUUCAGAUCGGUAUGCUUUUCUUCAUUGAAGUUGUUCCUCAGCUCGUGAACUACAACAUAUCCAAAUUUGAGAUCCCUCGGAGCAGUAUAACUCCAGAAAUCCAGGUAUGAUGAAUGACUGGUUAUUAUUUUUCUGUCAACCCGUCAGAUUUGUUGUGAGCUUCGAAACUCCAUUUUCUAUUGUUCAGAUCGGCAUGCUUUCUUCAUUGAAGUUGUUCCUCAUCGUCUCUUUCAUAACAUAUCAAAAAUUCAGAAUGAACUAAUGGUUAAAUAUUUCCAGAUCUUUGAAACAUCACAGCAGCUUCGAAAUCUGCAAGAAUCCGACUGUCAUGUUUGGAACUUCAACACUUUAAUUUCCGUCGCUCAAACAGAAAUGGUUCCUUCUUGAAAGUUGUUCAUAUGCUCAAGAACUAUAGGGUGUCCAAAAUUCAGCUCCAUUGGAGAAGAGCAGAGGUUGCAGAAAUUUGAUAGAUGAAAGGAGGCGGAAGAGGGAGAGAGAGAAAAAGUCUCUUGGGUUGGAUUUCUAUUUUGGGGCAGAUUCCAAUUUUUGUAGCACCUUCAUUAUUGAUGAAUUGCUUGUACUUUUGUCCAUUAUGAAACUUGGGACUUUGGCUUGUUGUUGGAUCUAUUAUAAUAUGUUUGGGAACAUAUAUAAGUGAAUAAAUAAGAAGGAAAAUUUUGGGCCCUUGUGGGUGUAAAACAAAAAAUGUUUAUGUUUACCCAAGUGGUUUUGUGAACAAAAUUUGUUUAUUUGGAGCAAGGUUUUGUGUUGAAGCUUUGUAGGUGAAGCUUUGUAGAUGAAGCUUUCGAGGUGAAGCUUUGAUGGUGAAGCUUUGUAGAUGAAGCUUUCUGGGUGAAGCUUUGAUGGUGAAGCUUUGUAGAUGAAGCUUUCGAGGUGAAGCUUUGAUGGUGAAGCUUUGUAGAUGAAGCUUUCUGGGUGAAGCUUUGAUGGUGAAGCUUUGUAGAUGAAAGUAUGUAGAGGGAGCUUUCUAGGUGAAGAUUUUUUAGGUGAAGCUUUGUAGGUGAAGCUUUUUUAAGUGAAGCUUUUCGGGUGAAGUUUUUGUUGGGUGAAGCUUUGUGGGUGAAGCUUUUUAGGUGAAGCUUUGUGGGUGAAGCUUUGGAGGUGAAGCUUUUCGGGUGAAGCUUUUUGGAUGAAGCUUUUUUUUUUUUUUUUUUUUUUUUUUUUUUUUUUUUUGGCGCUUGACACGGUCUUCAUUUGCUUGUUUUGUAGUGACUGUGGAAGACGGAUUGCUUUCUGAAUUGAGAAGGGUUCCGGCAUCGCUUGCUAUGAAUGUAAAAGAGUGAGGGCUGAGUUGGCUAAAUUACCUCUUUAUUGAAUUCAUUGCCAAAUGGCCUUCAUUACAUAGGAUGCCGAACGGCUAUAGCUCAACACUUGUACAUCGUGAGUCUAUUUGUAGUAGUACUUCAAGUGAUCAGCGUUCCAUGGAUGGCCAAGGGUCUUGCCAUCGGAGCUUCUAAGUGUGUAAGAGCCAGGGCGACUGAUGCCAAUGACUUCAUACGGUCCAUCCCAGUUUGGACUAAGUGUGCCUUCACUCGGGACUCUGUCGCAGAGUAAUCUUUUCUUUUAAGACCCAGUCUCCUAUUUUGAAAGAACGAGGCUUGACCCUAGAGUCAUAAUAGUUGGAGAUGCGCUGCUUGUAGGCGACAUUCCUCAAGUGAGCUUGGUUUCUGUGUUCCUCGACUAAAUCCAAGUUGAGGGUGAGUUGUUUGUCAUUUUCACUUUGAAUGUAGUUCUGGACUCGGAAUGUUGCUUGCUCGAGCUCAACAGGGACAACCGCCUCUGUGCCAAAGGCAAGUGAGAAUGGAGUUUCUCCUGUUGAAGUCCGAUAUGAAGUGCGAUAUGACCAAAGAACUUGGGGUACAAAUUCUGGCCAACAGCCUUUAGCUUUGUCCAAGCUGGUUUUCAAAGUGCGCUUGAUUAUUUUGUUGAUGGCCUCAACUUGUCCAUUAGACUGGGGAUGAGCUGGAGAGGCAAAGCAUAAGUUGAUGUUGAACUUAGAGCAGAACAACCUGAACUUCUUGUUGUCAAACUGUCGCCCAUUGUCAGUGACUAUCGCAUUGGGAAUGCCGAAUCUACAAAGGAUGUUCUUCCACACGAAGUCUUCUAUCUUUGCCUCAGUAAUGGUUGCCAAGGGUUCUACUUCGGCCCACUUUGUGAAGUAGUCCACUGCAACGACUGCGUAACAGACUUUGCCCUUCCCUGCCGGCAUUGGGCCGAUCAAAUCAAGUCCCCACUGGGCGAAGGGCCAAGGGCUGAUCAUAGGAGUAAGAGGCUCUGGAGGGGAAUGAGGAAUAGUUGCAUAUCGUUGACAUUUGUCACAUGAGCGGGAUACUUUGAUGGCAUCCUGGUGGAGUGUUGGCCAGUAAUAUCCUUGGCGAAAAGUCUUGUGUGCUAGGGACCGAGAUCCAGCAUGAUCUCCACAGACUCCCUCAUGUAUUUCCCGAAGGACGAUUUCCGCCUCGGCAGGCGUAAGACACCUUAAGUAUGGCAGGCUAAAACCUCGCUUAUAGAGUUGAUCAUUGAUGAUCAGGUAGCGGGUAGACUUGUAUCGAAUUUGCUUAGCCUGGACUUUAUCAUUUGGGAGGGUGCCAUGAGCAAGGAAAUUAUAGAUCGGGGUGAUCCAACUAUCCCCCUGUUGUAAGUUGCAUACUUCUGCGGCCAUGGUGCUUGGUGUUGCCAACAGUUCGACAUGAAUUUUUCUUCCAAUCUUGUCUUCCACAGCUGAGGCGAGGCGAGCCAGGGCGUCUGCAUGACUGUUUGCCGCUCGAGGAACUUGGGUGAUCUGGUAGUGGAAGUGCUUGAGUAAAAGUUGUGUUUGCGCAAGAUAUGCUGCCAUGGAGCUGUCCUUAGCAUCAAAGUUGUUGGUAACCUGGUUGACCACUAAUUGGGAGUCACUGAAAAUAUCAAUUUGUUUAACCCCGAGGUGUUUGGCCAAACGUAAUCCUGCUAGAAGGGCUUCAUACUCGGCCUCAUUAUUUGAUGCCUUGAAUUUGAAACGAAGAGCAUACUCCAUUGCUACUUUGUCGGGUGUAGUCAAGACUAGUCCCGCUCCACAGCCCUGUUGGUUGGAUGAGCCAUCAACAUACAGACUCCAUGCUGGGGUUGUUGGUUCUAUCUUCUGAGCUUCCGGGGGUAAUGAAGCCACUGUUUCAGGUGUAGAAGCAAUGUCAACCGGAUAUGUGAAGUCGGCAAUGAAGUCUGCCACUGCUUGGCCCUUCUCAGCUGGCUUUGGUUGGUAGGAGAUGUCAAACUCACCCAACGCUAUUGCCCAUUUGAUCAUUCGCCCUGAAGUGUCAGGACUUUGGAGUAUCUGUCGAAGAGGAUAAUUGGUAAGCACGAUGAUGGAGUGCGCUUGGAAGUAAGGGCGGAGUUUUCGAGCAGACAUGACCAAUGCCAGAGCCAAUUUCUCAAUGUUAGAGUACCGUGUCUCCGCAUCUUGUAAGGCUUUGCUAGCGUAGUAGACAGGUCGCUCAAUAUUCCCAUCCUUUCGAAUGAGAACGGAACUUACGGCUGAAGCUGAUACCGAUAGGUAGAUAAUGAGAAUGUCUCCUACCUCGGGCUUGGUGAGUAGAGGGGCUUUACUCAUGUACUCCUUGAGGUUUUUGAAUGCCUCGGCACAUUCAUCAGUCCAUGUAAUGUACUUCCUACUUCCCUUAAGUGCUUUAAAAAAGGGAGCACAUUUGUCUGUGGCCUUAGAAAUGAACCUGGUUAAGGCUGCCACCUUGCCAGUAAGGCUCUGGAUGUCCUUUGAAGUUACCGGUUCCUUCAUGUCGAGGAUUGCUUUGAUCUUCUCGGGAUUAGCUUCAAUGCCUCGUUGGCUAAUCAUGAAACCUAAGAAUUUGCCAGAGCCUACGCCGAAGGCACAUUUGUUGGGGUUUAACCUCAUUCGAUACCUCUUCAAAAUAGUGAAAGUUUCAGAUAGGUUGGUGAUGUGUUGGUCAGCAUGUUUGCUCUUGACUAACAUAUCAUCAACGUAAACUUCCAUGCUCUUCCCAAUCUGCUCGGCGAACAUUGAGUUGACUAGUCUCUGAUAAGUCGCUCCUGCAUUCUUUAGGCCGAAAGGCAUGACUUUAUAGCAGUAUAGUCCUCUGUCGGUAGUGAAGGCUGUGUGUUCUUGAUCCGAAGGGUUCAUGAGGAUUUGGUUGUAUCCUGAGUAAGCAUCCAUGAAGCUCAGGAGUUCACACCCGGCCGUAGAGUCUAUAAGUCUGUCAAUAAGAGGAAGAGGGAAGCUAUCUUUCGGACACCCUUUGUUUAGGUCGGUGUAGUCAACACACAUUCUCCACAAGACCUUUUGAAGCGAAAGACUUUCUUUGGUCGGAUUUUUCCUAACAAGGACCACAUUUGCUACCCAUGUCGGGUAAUUGACUUCGCGGACAAAGCCUAUGCCUUUGAGUUUUUCAACUUCUGCUUUCAUUGCCUCGUAUCGUUCAGCGUCAUAAGAUCUUCGCUUCUGUCUCACCGGCUUGAUCUUGGGGUCAAUACUCAAACGAUGACAGAUGACAUCGGGAGAGAUGCCUGGCAUGUCCUCGUAUGACCAGGCGAAGACUUCAGUGUUCUCUUUCAAAAAAGAUAUCAAUGCUAACCGAAGGGGUGGUGACAAUGUGGUGCCAAUCUUCACCAUGUGAUCUGGAUAAUCUCUUGAGAUAGGUACCUUCUCCAACUCUUCAGCAGGUUGGGCUUGCUGGGUGAAAGAGUCAUCUCGAGGAUCAUCGGGUUGAUUGUUGCUAUCAGGAAGAUCCAAGUUCGCUUCAUCUAGGCUGGUCUUUGUGACUUGGUCAUGUACAGACAGGGUUUCCUUGGGUCCGGGCAAGUGUUGUUGCUUAACUGAAGUGUUGUAACAUGAUCGUGCACUAAGCUGAUCUCCUCUGAUGUAGCCGUUGCCAUGGGGGGUUGGAAAUUUCAUCAACAGCAUAUGCGUGGAUACCAUAGCCUUGAGAUCAUUGAUGCCUGUGCGCCCAAAGAUGACAUUGUAUGCCGUUGGGCAGUCAACCACUAGGAAGUUAGUGGUAAUGGUAGCCGUGUAAGGGCCUGUACCAAUAGUAAAGGGUAAAUGUAUGCUCCCUAAGGGUUGCACGAUAUCACCGGAGAAGCUUAUCAGAGGAGAAAUCGAGCGAUCGAGCAAGUGUUCAGCUACACUGAGUGCCCUGAAAGCUUCGGCAAACAUGAUAUUGACCGAAGCCCCUGUGUCUACGAGGAUUCGUCGAACAUCAAAGUUGGCUAUGUGAGCCUCCACGAUCAAUGGGUCGUUAUGAGGGUAGAUGAUGCCUCUUUCUUCCUCAGGGUAGAAACAUAUCGGAUCCCAGUUAGGCUUUUGAUACUUCCCUCCCCUGAUGUCUUCCACGUGAAACACUUGGUGACCAGGCCUCAGAAUUCGUUCACUGUUUUUCAUGGCCCUAUUGGAAGAUUCAGAUAUGGGUGUGCCGCCGCUUAUGGAAUAUAUGACAUUCACCUGGCGUUGGUUACGGUUAUCCCUUUGAGGGUGAAGGAGGAAUUGAUCAAUUUUUCCUUCUCGUGCCAAAGCUUCAAUACGAUCACGGAGGAUGAUACAUUUCUCGCUAUCAUGGCCGUUAUGCUCAUGGUAGCAACAAAACAUGCCCGCGUUAUUCGGGGGCGUGUAAUCUGGGUGCCUCGGCUUUGGCUUUGGUAUCAGGUGAGCUAUGCUGGGGUAAAUGGCCGCGCAUGUGGCAUUCAAGGGCGUGUAUGUCUCAUACCUUGGGGUAGGGGGUAUCUUGACGCGGGUUUGACCCACUGCAUUGACUGCCUGGGGGCGAGCGUUAUUGUGGCGAUACCCUUGGUUAUCGGGAUAGUGUCCCUUACUCUUUUUUACUGAAAUGAGAGUGGUGAGGAUGGAAAUCCUUCCUCUUGCCUUGAAAUUGAUAUGUCUGUUGAUUCGGCGAAGCAUUAUGCAAGGCAUGGGGAGGUGCCACUGCUGUUUGGAAAGUCGAGGUCUUCUCAUUUAGGUGAGUCUGGCUUCCACCUCCCACUUGUUGAUAAAGGAUGGUUGUAGGGGGUUUCUCCUGAUAUGUCUUUGCCUCGGCGGAGGCAUGGUUAUAAGCCUGCGCCAUCACCUCAGAGUAAGUCUUCCAAGUAUUGGCAUUGAUCAUGUAUUUAAAGAAACAAUCACGUAGGCCUGCCGUGAAGGCUUUGAGGGCAGUCUUGUCGUCUGCCUCGGCACACCGGGAGUAUUCAUGGCUGAAGCGGCCAGCAUACAUACGUAAUGACUCGUCUGGCUUCUGGCGGAUAGUGUACAGGUCAUCUGCAGAGUGCAAGCGAUCGGUUUGGAAAAUGUGUUGGGAAACAAAUAGUUUCCUCAAUUCCUCAAAUGAGUCUACCGUCUCAGGUGUAAGACGACAAUACCAAUUUAGAGCUCCGCCAGAGAGGGUGGAGGGGAAGAGAAGACAUCGCUCUUCGUCGGUGUGCAUCCGGUAUGCCAUGGUGGACUCAAAGAGGUUAAGGUGCUCAAUCGGGUCCUCUUUUCCAGUAUAAAGUUGCAAGCCAAGCUUUUUGCUUUGUCUUUGCUUGAAGGGGGGUGUUGAGGAUCCUCCUUGUAAGAGGGCCAGGCCUGGGUUGGUUCCAGUCAGGUAUUUCAGCCUGACGUUCAGCCUUCAACUUGUUUACUUCCUCAAGAAGUUGUAGGACAAGGGGGUCCUGAGCGGAGUUAUGUGCCACUGGAGCUUUCUUUCGUAAAUCUCCAUCUUCUCUUGGAAUUAGGAAGGUUUGAUCAAGGGCAUGUGAUUUUUCCCUGGACUCGCUGUACUGGCUUCCAGGGUAUGUCUGUCGGAACACCUCUGAGUCCCCUGUACCCUCAUGUCUCUCUAGGACUUGUUGCCCCUUCCCCAAAUUGGUGGCCGGCUUGGGCCGUGGCAGGGGACCGAGUCUCUCAGAAAUCCUUGGGUCAUUAAUCUUUGAGCUUAUAUGGAUGGAAUUCUCUCGACGUUGCUUCAGGAAAUCCCGACAAUAGCGAAAGACAGCUUUCGAUCCUUCUGCCCCUUCAGCAAAGAGGUGUCUCCCUCCACUUCUCAUGGUUCGGGUUGAAGCAACUGGGUUAAGAGAAGCCUCAUGUUGAUUAUCAAGUCGAGGGGUAAUCUGUUCCCUAUCAGGGAUAUCUAUGUCGAAUGCAUGUGACCCUCCAUGUUGGAGGGCACCCAGUUGAUGGUUGACUUCCACGGGGGCAACAAGCUCGCGUGUCUGAGCUUGCCUAGCUUCGUGGAGUGUCUCGAAGAGCUUCUCAUAUUGCUCCUGGAGGACCUCAUUCCUCAUUGCUAUCUUGUUGUUCUGAGCUUCCAACUCAUCGACUUUAGCUUGAAGAAGAACUCGUUUUCCUUCCUUCUUUCGUUGUUUCGCACUAUGUGCAAGGGGGGUGUCAUUCUGUGUGCUGUGGCUUCCUUCGCUUCCCAUGUUGGAGAGGGAUGCCUGGUCAAAAGAAAGUGUACGAAUGAUAGAAACCAGCUUGACACAGCUGAAGAGAGUAGGAAUAAGUGUCGUUUCCCACAGACGGCGCCAAAUGUUGAUUAUCAAAAUCAGCGAAGACUUUGGUACAACAGAAAGUGUCAGGUUUUGUGACCUUCGCUUGGUUGCUUCGGUCACUAGUGAGGAUAAAUACGUAAAUAAAUAGAGACAGAGAAGCAAACACAGGAUGUACGUGGUUCACCCAGAUUGGCUACGUCCACGGAGUAGAGGAGUUCUUAUUAGUAGUGAAGGGCUUACACAAGUACAAAGGAUCAAGCUCUCAAUUUAGUGAGUUCUUGUGAAUGAUUUAACACAAAAUGGCAUUAGGCAAUAUUGUGGGGGAAUGACCCCUAUUUAUAGAAAAACUUGUAGCUUUGUCACAUUGACAUGUGUCAUGUUAUGAUUGGUUCUUGAUGUUGACACGUGAUGCGCUCUGAUUGGCUUCUAAUCCUGACACGUGUCGAGUAGUGAUUGGCCUCCUGGUCGGAGGGGAACUCUUCUGGGUCCUUGACAGUAUAGCGUUGGCCGGUGCUCGGUAGUUUCGGGAUUGGUCAAGUAUGGUACAAACAAGUUGUACUUAGUACAUUUGAUGGGCAAUCAUAUUUUAGUUGGUUCCGUUGAGUGGUCCGGAAUCCUUUUUGGUGUCUUGGUUCCGUUGAGAGGUCCGGAACCCGAUGCUGAUGGAUUUCGUUGAGGGGUCCGAAAUUGCAUCAUUUGAUUCAUUUAAGACAGCUUCAGCAAUGUAGACUUAUGUCGAAUUGUGUCGCUCUAACCCGGCAUUCCGAUGAAUUGUAUGUGUUAUUGAUGAUAUGGUGAUUGGCAUUAUUGAUUGAUGUGAUAAUUGGAUGGUAAUGGAAUGCAUAUGUGAGGAUGAAUGACGUUAUGAGUAGAGAUUAUUAUUGUGCUUUGUUAAAUGUUCCUUAAGGUGCUACAUAAUUGAAUUGUGGUAUUAUGUUGAGACCUAGUGGUCUAUGUGACGAAUGUUCGAUAGUAGUGAAAUGUGAACUACGAAUGACUUGAUCCCUGUUGAGGGUACGUAGGUAGUCUAACGAGGAGGUUAGAUGCAGUCAUAAAAUACACAAAAAUUACAACGAAAUUCGAAUAUUGAAUUAUGCUUUGUAAAUAUUUCGGGCGGGAUAUGUGAGAUAUACGGGUUUUUAAUGACGUCACGUGCUGAUCUUGGACGUAUGUCGGGAUCAGGGCGUGACAAAAUGAGUUUUAUGAAAUGAAAUGGCAUGCCAAUUAUAUUUAUAUUAAGAAUGUGCAUAUGUGAUUAUAUAUGUUGUGAUUCGAUGCUAUGGGCGCUCAGGUAAGUUUCAAGUAAGUUUAUGUGUUGAGUUUAAGGUGUGGAAAAAUGAUGAUUGUUGAGAUGUGUUGAGAGCUCAUUAACCUGCACCCGGGUGUUAGUGCUCCUGCCCAUGGUUAGGGGCACAGUCUUUCACGUGAUGUUUACCUCCCGUAGCACACGCUCAUCUUGGAUCCAAGUUAGGUGCACAAUCCUGUUGUAUAGACCACUUUCAGUGGGUUCGACUCGUUGGUGACCUGCAAUCAUUCGCACAGUCUUCACGUGAUUGUAGCAUUAGAGCAUAUUUGUUUUACACCCAGUCAUGUCGUAUAGACCACUAUAGGUGGGUUCGACUCGUGUGCAGACAUGAUUUAUGAGAUAGAAUUCAGUUGAUUUGAUAUUCUCACAUGUUAUCACUCCUUGGGGUACUUACCUUGUUAUUUGAGAUGAUUGGCAUGGUAUAUUCACGUUUUGACUUUGGAUUUUGAUAUUGCUGGAUAUGUUGAGAUUACGAGUAUAUGUAUAUGCUAUUUGCUGGGAAAUUAUACAGGUUUUACAGAGAGGGGUUAUACUUUUGAGAAAUGAAAUGAUUUUGAAAAGUUUUGUUUUUUGCCCACUCACGCGUUUUGUUUUGCGCCCCUCUAGGUUUUAGGUAGCGUUGUUGGUGGCUUACGAGUUUUCAGCGGAGGUUCUGACAGACCAUCACUUAUGUAGAAUCACCUUUGGGUGUUGUUAUUUAGUACUUUUAUGCUUGACUGCACUUAGGCUAGUUAAGCUCUGAUUGUGUAUUCACACUUAAUUUCCACUCUUGCAUCUUAGUCUUGUCUAGUACUAUCAGGAUUUGGUUUCUAUUCAAUUGUAUUUCUCUAUAUUAAUCUUGCUUCCGCACUGUGCAUAUGGCUACGUCACCCUCACGUGACGGUUAGCAUGUCUCGAUCUUGGUCGGGGUGUGUCAUCAAGUCACCUUUUAACUUCUAUUAUGUUGAUUUUUGUCUGUAGGUACACAAAAAUAUGCAGAUUUGGCUUUCAAAUUGAGAGGCCUAAGGACAAUCUCUGUUCAUAGAAAAAAAAGUUGGACAUAGAAGGCAUGGGUAUGGGAACAUGAUUGGUUGUUAUAUUGCUUUGGGACGUUUUGAUAUUUUAGAGAUUAAUGAGUUUGUGGAGAUUUUGUUUUUCACAUCUUGCUUUGUAUUUGAACUUAAGCACUAUAACUGAACUUACUUUAAAAUUAUAGGACUUCAAAACGCGACCGCGGUUAGGAUUAGAAAGGGCCAAGUAUAUAUGUUGAGAAACUAGGCAUUGCAAGCAUAUAAAUUCCAAUUUUAUUAUUGCUAAACCAUAUAUCAAAUGUAGUUAGGAAUUAAAUUAAGUACAAACUACAUGGGGAUGGAGAAAGUUAUGUAUAGGUGAGAGCCUAAAAAUACUUGAGAAUCAAAUACUGCACAAAUUUGUGAUAAGUUAGAUGAGUAAAGAUCGCCUUUUGUCAAGCAGUUUUUGACUUUUCUGCAUUCUUUUAUAUAGUUUUUUCUUUUUUUCUUCCUAUUUUGUCAGAUUAGAUAGAUAGGGGCGCUAAUAAAAAAAAAGAAAGAAAGUAUUUUUGCAUUUUGCUGCACGUGAUGAUGUUGAUGAUAUACAAUAUUCAAUGACUAAACCCUAUUCCCUAUACUAUAGCAAAAAAUGAAGCAUAAUUAUACAAUAGCUACACACAAAACAUUGAAAGUAUACAUGCGUGCAGUAAGAAUGAAUGGUAAAAAUGCCAUGUUCCUUUUAACAUUGCGAAUUACCGAGCUUUAUGGAGGGAGUAUAAAUACGAAUGCUCUUGGUGGUCUUCAUCUAAUUUCUUAUUAGUAUCAUCUCGAUGUUUUGGAACUUUUGACAGCCCUCUCACCGAACAUAUAAUUUUUAGGGGCGCGCAGCGCUCGUAAUUAAAAAAACGCGCAUGCGGAGAGGCUGGUAUAUACUAAAGUCCUACGCCCAAAAAUGCUGUUCAUAAGAGCAGUGUAAAGACGCAAAUACCCCUCCUCAACUGAUCUUUUCCUUCCUAUAUUUCAUGAGGCUACAGUAAAAAGACGAAAAACCAUGUUGCACACGUGGCGUGCUAGCGAGAUUUCUCUCUUCCACCGCUUCCUUCCUCUGCAGUCUACACCUCUUGCGUUUUUGCCUUUCCUCUCCAGCUGUCGGCCAUCACAGAGUCUUAUGGCAUCUUCCCGUUCUUUUCGCUGUUUUUCCUUCGGUUGCUUUUCACUUCUUUUCCUCUAAUUUGACUUCGUUUGUUUUGUGUUAUGUGGUUUUUAUUGAUUUUCAAUGUGUAUUGAUUGAUACUAACAAUUACAAGAUGAAACUUAUAUAUAGGGAAAGAAAGAUGACAUAAGCCUAACUUGCCUAACUUGCCUAACUUACACAAAGAAAGUUGACUAGCCUAACUUCACUAGUCAUCCAAUACAAUUGUUCCAACAUGUUUAUUUCAUGCAUUUUAACACUCCCCCUCAAGUUGGAGUGUGGAUGUCAAUGAUACCCAACUUGCUAAGUAAGACCUCAAAUUGCGCCGAGCUUAGUGGUUUGGUGAACAAAUCUGCAGGUUGAUUCGAGGUUCGUAUGUAAGCUGUUUGCACCAUUCCCAUCUGAAUCUUCUCACGUACUAAGUGACAGUCGAUCUCUAUAUGCUUCGUUCGUUCAUGAAACACUGGGUUCGAAGCAAUGUGCAUGGCAUCUUGAUUAUCACAAAACAAUGUGACUGGUUGUGCAUGAUUCACUCGUAAGUCCUUCAAAAGGUUUCUUAGCCAUAUAACUUCACAACAGGUGAUAGCCAUAGAACGAUAUUCUGCCUCUGCACUAGAACGAGAUACUGUGCUUUGCUUCUUUGUUUUCCAAGAUAUCGGUGCUUGCCCAAGGAAGAUACAAUAACCGGUUAUUGACCUUCUAGUGUCUUUACACCGAGCCCAAUCAGCAUCACAAAAAGCUUGUAAUUGUAGUGAACCUGUAGAAGGCAAAAGAAUUCCCUGGCCAGGAGAUUGUUUGAUGUAUCUGAGAACCUUAUACACUGCAUCAAGGUGUGGUUGUCGCGGCUUGUCCAUGAAUUGGCUUAACAUAUUAACCACGUAAGUCAGGUCAGGCCUCAUGAUGGUUAAGUAAAUUAGCCUCCCUACGAGUCUCCUAUAUGAAGAAGGAUCAUGUAGGAGCGUCCCUUCAGUUUAUGUAAGGGACAAGUUUGGUUCCAUGGGCAAUCGUGAGGGCUUCGCACCAAGGAACCCAACAUCUUCUAGUAUCUCCAACGCAUAUUUGCGUUGGCACAAGGCAAUCCCUUGUUUAGAUCUUGCAACUUCUAUCCCCAAAAAAUAUUUGAUUUUUCCCAAAUCCUUUAGCUUAAAAUGUUGGGAAAUGAAGAGUUUAGUCUCUUCAAUUUCUCUCAAAUUGUUACCUGCAAGUAUUACGUCAUCAACAUACACAAGUAAUGCCAUGAAACUGCCUUGAUUGAUGAAAACCAGCAGUCUUGAGAGCACUAGACAGCUUAAUAAACCACUGUCUUGAGGCCUGUUUUAAACCAUAAAUGGAUUUGUGUAAUUUGCAUAGUUGUGUCUCCCCCUUUCGUCCGAACCCAGGAGGUAUAUAAACCUCAUCGUAUAAGUCACCAUGCAAAAAUGCGUUGUUUACAUCAAGUUGGUGAAGAUGCCAACCACAGAUGAAGGCAAUACUGAGGAGGACAUGGACGGUGGUGAGCUUGGCAACUGGAGCAAAUGUUUCCCGAUAAUCAAGCCCUUCAAUUUGACUAUAGCCUUUAGCAACGAGACGGGCUUUGUAGCGUUCAACACUGCCGUCAAGUUUAAGCUUCACCUUAUAGAUCCAUUUGCAGCCUAUGGGAUGUUUGUGAGGUGGUAAGGGCACAAGAGUCCAAGUGCGAUUGUCAUGGAGGGCAUCAAUCUCUUUUUGCAUGGCGUCACGCCAUUUUGGAUCCUGAACAGCCUGCGAAAAACUGGUGGGUUCUUUGAUAAUGGUGAGGGUGGUGAGAAAGGUUUUGUGAGGGGGGAUACAUGGUCAUAGGAUAAAUAACGAGAUAGGGAGUGAGAUGUACCUGAGGACUGAACCAUGCUUGUGGAAGAUGUGGGUGCAACACGGGAUGGGAGGGCCACCUCAACAUGAAAGUCUUGCAAAAAUAUGGAAGUUUUGGUUGGUCGAGUGCUAGGACGGAGUGCAGGGGUUGGAUCUGGUGAUGGAGUGGUUGGAGGUGGGGAAGAGUGUAGGGUAGGUGAAGGUGUUGAUAAGGUAUCUGGUGGUGGAGUUGUAGAGGGUAAAGGAGAUGAGGGUGGUGUGAUGUCGGCAAGUGUGGGAGAUGUGGUGUUUAUGUCUGCUGGUGCAAGGCUUGAAUGCGACUCAAUGGGAGAGGUCGAGUCAAACGGGAUAGGUGUAGUGUUUGAUGGAGACGGGGCAACGGAAGUGUUACAAUGUUGGAAUGGAAAAUGAUCUUCAAAAAAUACGACAUCCCUAGAAACAAAAGUCUUAUUGUGUUUUAUAUCAAACAAUUUAUAACCCUUUUGACCAUAAGGAUACCCAAGAAAAAUGCAUUGGAUUGCACGAGGGUCAAAUUUAGAGGGCCUUUGGGCAUGUGUAGAAGCAAAACACAAGCUACCGAAAACCUUCAAAUGAGAAUAGUUAGGUGCUUUGUGAAACAGUUUUUCGUAUGGUGUUUUACCUUGGAGAAGUGGAGUGGGUGUUCUAUUGAUGAGGUAGGCUGAGGUUAGGAUUGCAUCUCCCCAAAAACAUUUUGGCAGACAAGCUUGAAAGAGCAAAGCCCGAGCAACAUUGAGCAAGUGCCGGUGUUUACGUUCGGCAACACCAUUUUGUUGUGGUGUGUUGACUCAACUAGAUUGAUGUAUGAUGCCUUUGAGAGCAUAAAAUUGCUCAAGUUUAAACUCAGGGCCAUUGUCACUUCGUAUGAUUUGAACUCUGGUAUUGAAUUGAGUCUCAAUCAUUUGAAUGAAUUUGACUAAAAUGUCUUUUGUGUCAGAUUUAUGUUUCAUCAAAUGAACCCAAGUGCUUCUAGUGUAGUCAUCUACGAUGGUAAGGAAAUACUUGGCACCUGAAAUAGAAGCAACUUGAUAACCACCCUAAAUAUCAAUAUGCAAUAAUUCAAAACAUGAUUUGGUAGAAAUAGAGCUCAAAGGAAAGGGUGAUCGUGUUUGUUUGGCCAAUGGGCAAAUUGAACAUUUUUCCAAAUCACAAGCUUUAUUGUUAAAGAAAGGUAAUAACGAAGUGGCUUUAUGAGAUGGGUGUCCUAGGCGUUGGUGCCAAAGCUUUGGUGCGAUGGUUUGAAUAUUGUUGCAUGUUCUUUUCCUUGAUGAGUCGAGGUAGUAGAGUCCAUCCCUUUCAGUUCCCAUCCCAAUCAUCUUCCCCGAGCGAAGGUUCUGAAUGACACAAAAUUGGGUGAAGAAAAUUGUGACAUAUAAGGAAUCAUAGGCUAGUUUACUGAUGGAUAUUAAAUUUAAUUUAAAGAAUGGCACACAUAGGACAUUGUCAAGGAUAAGAUUAUGAGAGAAAACAACUUGUCCAAUGUGAGUGACUUUGGCAACGGAACCAUUUGGCAGUUCAACUGUAUGAUUUUCAACAGCUCGUGAGUGUGUAAAGAGACUAGGGUUGAAAGUUCUUCAUGACUAGAAGGAUUACCGACUUGAUUGGCAAAUGAUGAUUUGUUCUUGUUCAACAUUUGAAGGAUUUGCUUGCAAUCCUCCUGAGAGAACGGGAAAUUGGGCAACAUCUCUUGCUUGUUACUUUGUGAAACUUGAUUCCCUUUUGAAGAAAAAGGACGACUGCUUUCCGUUUCUGUGGCUGCUUUUCGUUUUCGACAGAAAUCGAAGGUGUGACCUUUCCAUCCACAAAAAGUGCACUUGAGAUGUGCACGACAGUUUUUGGUGAUGUGAUUUGUUCUAUUGCACUUUCCACAUCGCAUCUCUUUGUCUUCCGGUGUAGGUUCUUGCGACAAAUUCUUCACUCCAAAGACAACAGCCUCUGGUUGUGUACUCUUCCCAUUGGAAACCUCUGCCUGGCGUUCAUGUCGAAGGACCAACGCAUAUGCCUUGUUCACCGUAGGCUGUGGUUCAAGAAGAAGGGUAUUGCUUCGAACCGUAGCAUACGAUUCGUUCAAUCCCAUAAGGAACUUCAUGGUUUUCUGAGUUUCAACAUAUGAGUUCAUCUCAUUCUUUGUUCCACAACUGCAUGCUGGAAUGGAACACAAAGUAUCACGUUCAUCCCAUAAACUUUUAAGUUUAGUGCAGUAAGAACUUACACUCAUAUUGCUUUAGACGCAAUCAUGGAUCUCGUUCUUAACAUGGAACAGCUGAACUAUAUUCACAUGUGAGAACCUCUCCUGCAGAUCGGUCCACAUUUGUCGAGCAUCCUUGUAGUUGAUGACACUCCUUGAAAUCUCCUUUGACAUGGAGCCUAGUAGCCAUGUCUUGACCAAGUUGUUGCAGCGAUUCCAUUGUUGCAACUCCUCAGAAUUGUCCUCACUUGGUUUGUUGAUUGUCCCAUCAACAAAACCAAGUUUGUUCUUGACCGUUAAGGCCAUACUCAUGGAUUGAACCCAUGUGCUGUAGUUGUCUUCCACCAAUGGUUGUGGUACGAGGAUUGCACCAGGUUGGUCCGAGUGGUGGAGAUAGAGUGGGUGGUUGGGAUUUUCCCAUUUUGAAUGAGAAGCCAUGCCUGGAAUGGUUGACCUCAUGACUGCCUUAGAGCUUGUGUUUUGUGGUUUUCCCAGAUCACAGCUCUGAUACCAUAUUGAUUUUCAAUGUGUAUUGAUUGAUACUAACAAUUACAAGAUGAAACUUAUAUAUAGGGAAAGAAAGAGGACAUAAGCCUAACUUGCCUAACUUGCCUAACUUACACAAAGAAAGUUGACUAGCCUAACUUCACUAGUCAUCCAAUACAAUUGUUCCAAUACAAUUGUUCCAACAUGUUUAUUUCAUGCAUUUUAACAGUUUUGGUUUCGUUUGCUCUCUUUCCCUUCUUCUCUGUUGGUUUCUGUUGCUUCUCCAUCAGUUCACCCAAACCACCGCUUGCUUCUCCACCAGUUCACCCAAAUCCGACGAAGGGCGCCACAACAAACGUGCCAAUCUUCCUGCACCACCGGUCUCCGCAACGUUUUCCAAAACCCGCUUGACCGAAGGUAAGCGAAUUUGGUGUUCUGGAUUAUAUCGGAAUUGAAAUAGGUUUGGUUUCAUUAACUUUUUGGGUUAAUAAAUUUGUAUGCUCUGAUUCUUUUGAAUUUGAGUUUGGAUUGGAAUUUAAUUUUGAUUUACAAAUCUCUGAUAAAACCUCAACAAGAAACUUAAACCCUCAGCAAGAAACUUAAACCCAAUGCAUCAUCCUAUUAAUUCCAACAUCUCCUCAAUAAGUAUUCUAAGAUAUAAAUAUUACAAUUCUGGUGAUCAUAGAAAAAUGCAUAUUUGAGUGAUCAUGGAACACUGUUAGUAGCUACACAUAUCAUAAUAAUUUAGGAUAUGGACGUUAAAUUAUCUUAAACUGCAGAAUGUGGCUUUUACAUUGUUAUAUGGAAUUUCCCCUAGGAAGAAAUAGCAUUGAACUUAUAGGAUGGAUACAUAAAUAGCCUAUGUACGCAUUACAAAAUGAUUUAGUUGUUUGGGAUUAAACAAAGUUUGGUUUUUCAUGGUGAGUUCUCAACUGGGUUUUACUUAUUUUUUUGCCUCCGAUAUAAGUUUUAGAUGCUUUUCUUUGUUUUUCGCUAAUUUUUAAAUUUAUUUUUUUUACUAUUUAGUGUGAGAAAAUGGCUUCAAAAUUGGAUUUCCAAUGUCUGGGCAGAGGAAAACAGGAAGAGAACACCAAUGGUGGUUACGAAGGAGAAUCCCUUCUUUGCGGUGGAAAUUGACGGUCCAUGUGCAACAUUCAACCCAGUUUAUAAGAGCAGGGGUCAAUAUGAAGAACCAAUGACAUGGGGUUUUGUUUAAUUUUAUUAAGUUUUGUACUGAGGUAAAAUUCUCCCCAUUUAACAUAGUUUUAAAUGUUGAUUAGUAUAUGUGUAAAUAGGAUUGUGAGUAUGGUUGUAUAUGUAGUAGUAGAAUUGAAAACAUUGUUGUAAUUAUGUGUAAGUAGAGUUGUAAACCCGACGCAUCGCGCGGGCCUUUUUGCUUGUUACCCCUAAACGUUACAAAAAUCCCAAAAAUUAAAAGGAAACUAAAAAAAAUUAGAAUUUACCCAUAGUUUCGCGAAUCCCAGCCGGAUGAACUGGUGGCAGUUGUAAGAGCGGAUCUCCAGCUCCGAACCUCUUCUAUUUCAGCGUUAGAAUCAUGGUCGUGCUGAUCAAAAGCUUUCGCGAAACUUCCCUUUAGUUUACGACAUCAGACGGAUCAACUUCAUAGAAAAUGGGGAGUACAAUCUGUUUAUUGGUAUCCUCGCAUUCCAGGAUUUGCACGAGUUCUUUCAAGCACCAAGUGGAAGAAGCAUAGUUUUGAGAGAAAACUACAAUCGAAAUCCUUGACUCUCGAAUGGCUGACAGGAGCUUGGAAAGGCGGUCGCCUUUUCUGAGGUCUUCGGCAUCAAUGAAGGCGUUGAUUGGUUUCUGACGCAGGGCUUUGUAGAGAUGGCUGACGAAGCCCCUGCGAGUGUCUUCCCCUCUGAAAUUGAUGAACACAUCGUAUUUCCAACCAAGGCCAGAAGAAGAAGAAGAAGCAGCCAUUAAUCGAUCGAGCAGCUAAGUCCUAGAGUAAUGUAAGAACAGAAAUACUCGAUUGAUCAAUAAAUUGAAUCACAGAAAAAACUGGUCUGAUCGAUACGAAGUCAACGAGGACAGAAAAUUAUGCUUUAUGUGUUUUCACAUCUUCUUCCGGGAAAUUUAACGAAAAUAAUUUUCUUGCCGGCAAAAUUGACUUCAAAAUAUAAAAAUAUUCUUCCAGGUAUGGACAUAUGAAGUUUCAGUGUGAAACGAAUCUGCAUACUUUGGUUUGGUUUUGACCCAAGAAAAUGCUAAGAAAGGAUGGUUUAGCAGCUUUGCAUGAGGGGACUGGGUCAAAGUACUCUGUUGAAUCUGCCCUUGCCUACCCAACAACUUCUUUGUAAGUCGGAAAUAAAUCCCGAUCUUCCUAUUCACACGAAAAAUGAGUGGGGUGACAGGAAAUAUUUCUUGUUAAAUGUAAGCAUCUCACACAUGUGGUAUAUUCAAAGGUAUUGAGGCGACAAACGAGCGAUUAAUAGUUUGGCUUUUAAUUUGAUGUCACGGUAGUAACGGUACUUACUAUGAAAUCUUUGAUAUAUUUGCUUUUAGCUACAAAACAACUAAAACUCCACAAAUUGCUUAUGAAAAUAAAAAAUAUUGACAAGAUUUGAACUUGUAUUAUCUACAUCUUCACUACACAUUGUUGCUCCGCUCGUGUUCUGAAGUUGACAAUAGCUAGAAGGUCACAGCAAGAAGCAGAGGAGGCUAACUGUUACAGAAAAUUUGUUUAUUCAAAGCAUUAAUAAAAACACAUUGAAAUUAAUUCACGCAAAAAAUAAAUAAUACAGUGAAGGAUUUACAGUGGUGGCAGCCACACUUCAAAAAUAGGGCGUCUCACCCUGUGGAGAAAGCAUUUUUUGCUAUGAAUAAAAAUUCCACUGCGUAACAAAACAGGAGAUUAAUGAUUGAGUGAUAGCUGAGUUGUUUGCAAUGAGAGAGAUGUUUUUACUUUUAUUGAUAAGGAGUCUACAUAUGCGAUGUUCUCAUAGUAUAAAACUUCGCCGACAACAAUUAUAACUUGUUUGUGUUGAUAAAUUUUGAAUGACAUUAAUAUUGUCUAAUAUCUAAAAGAAUUUGGAUGGCUACAUUUUUUUUUUUUGGAAAACCUUUUAACCUUAUAAAUUGCGGGCUUCUUCCGACAAUUCCUAACUUCGUCACUGCUUCAGUCAACUCGAAGUCCUAGUGGUUCUUGUCCAUGAUAUCAAUAUCCCUACAAUAAACGGUGACUUCAAUAUGAGCUACACUCAGUCUAACAAAAAGUUUGUAUAGAGAAGAUAUGCAUGAAAAAAUGGCAAUGGUUGUGUUUGUGUUGCUGAACGAAUGAUACUGAAAUACCUAAACCCAAGUCAAGCUCCUUUAGUCCACGAAAACAAAAGUUUAGAAUACAAUAAUGUUUGCAUAUAGACUAGAGAAACGACAUACCGCAGGCCAGGAAGGUGCAGUGAAAGAGAGAGGAAGAGAGGAAAAGAGGAAAGAAACAAACAUGAAAUGACAAAGACUAUCAAAUAGAUUAUAACAAUGACUUCUUAGCGAUGGUUACAACUAUUUAACUAUCGAUAAUGCAUUAUUUUAGUUUGAAACGUGGAAGCAUUUGAGAAGUAGCAUGUCAACAACCAUUACACAAUAAUAUUGUCUAAUAUCUAAAAGAAUUUGGAAGUCUACAUUUUUUGGAACCUUUUACCCUUAUAAAUUUUGCGCCUCUCCUGACAAUUUCUAGUUUCGUCGUUGCUUCAGUCAACUCCAAGUUCUAGUGGUUCUUGUCUAUGAUAUCAAUAGCCCCACCGUAAAUGGUGACUUCAGUAUAAGCUACACUUAGUAUAAGUGUAUGGGGGACAUAUAUGUAUGAAAAAAUGGCAGUGGUUGUAUCUGUGUUGACUAACGGAUGGUACUGGAAUACCUAAACCCAAGUCAAGCUCCUUCAGUCCACAAAAAUCAAAAGUUUAUAAUAUAAUAAUGUUUGCAUAUAGACUUGAGAAAAGACAUACCGCCAGCCGGGAAGGUGCAAUGAACAAGAGAGGAAAAGAGGAAAUAAACGAACAAGAAAGGACAAAGACUAUCCAAUAGAUUAUAACAAUGACUUCUUAGUAGUGAAGUGAUUAAGCUAUUCCACUAUUAAUAAUGCAUUAUUCUUAGAUUGAAAUGGUUCAGAAAUUUAAAAGCCAGAAUUGACUUAUAUAAAAUCAAUUUUUAAUUGGGUAGAUGUAAUUUGUAAAACAAAAAUGUUUAUAAAAAAAAAUUUCUCUUGAAAAUGUAUUCUGGUGCCAGGAUUUAAACCUGGAUGAAAACUCUUAACCGUAAGACUUUUUGUAGUGAGCAACACUGGACUAGUUGAUAGACUAUGAUGAAAUAAACCAUUUAAAUGUACUCCUUACGUUAUGCAGUGCGCAUACUGGAUAAACAAUUAGUGCACAUAAUGUGGUUAUCUGAUUUGUGGGGAAUGGUGAUGCUCACCGCUGACUUUUGGUUUACUGACAGGCUCUCAAAGUUAAAUAUAUCAGAUUUUGUUUGACAUUCGUAACAUAUUUUAAUAUUUUCACCACAACAACAACAACAACAACAAAGUCUUUUCCCACUAAGUGGGGUCGGCUAUAUGAAUCCUAGAACGCCAUUGCGCUCGGUUUUGUGUCAUGUCCUCUGUUAGAUCCAAGUACUCUAAGUCUUUUCUUAGAGUCUCUUCUAAAGUUUUCCUAGGUCUUCCUCUACUCCUUCGGCCUUGAACCUCUGUCUCGUAGUCACAUCUUCGAACCGGAGCGUCAAUAGGCCUUCUUUGCACAUGUCCAAAUCACCGGAACCGAUUUUCUCUCAUCUUUCCUUCAAUUUCGGCUACUCCUACUUUACCUCGGAUAUCCUCAUUCCCAAUCUUAUCCUUUCUCGUGUGCCCACACAUCCCACGAAGCAUCCUCAUCUCCACUACACCCAUUUUGUGUACGUGUUGAUGUUUCACCGCCCAACAUUCUGUGCCAUACAACAUCGCUGGCCUUAUUGUCGUCCUAUAAAAUUUUCCCUUGAGCUUCAGUGGCUUACGACGGUCACACAACACGCCGGAUGCACUCUUACACUUCAUCCAUCCAGCUUGUAUUCUAUGGUUGAGAUCUCCAUCUAAUUCUCCGUUCUCUUGCAAGAUAGAUCCUAGGUAGCGAAAACGGUCGCUUUUUGUGAUCUUCGCUAGAUUACUCCGGUCAUUAGCGUGGAUAAGUAUAUAAAUGGAUAGAGAUAGGAAAGCAAACACAAGAUGUACGUGGUUCACCCAGAUUGGCUACAUCCACGGAAUAGAGGAGUUCUCAUUAAUUGUGAAGGGUUUACACAAGUACAUAGGUUCAAGCUCUCCUUUAGUGAGUACAAGUGAAUGAUUUAGUACAAAUGACAUUAUGAAAUAUUGUGGGAGAAUGAUCUCGUAAUCAUGAAACUUCUAAGUAUCGGAGUGUGGUAUCGUCUUGACUUGCCUUAUCUGUCUCAUAGGUAGAUGUGGCAUCUUCUCUGGAAGUACUCUUCCUCCAUCCAUGGGUGGUAUCUUUAACUGGUGGAGAUGCAUAAGGUAAUGUAUCAAUUUCACUUGAAGCUUACUUGUAGUUUCAGGCUUGGUCAAGCGCGAUACAAACCAUGUAGUAGGAGUCCCCCAAGUCGCCGAGCUAGGGGAUUUGCUGAAAGAGGUGACAGACAAGGUAAGCAAUCAGAGCUCCGGCUGAUUGUUCACAUUCUCCCUAUCUUGCAGGCAGCAUGAAGGAUAAAGAGAAGAAAAAAUGAGAAGAGAUGAUAUGGGAUACUUUUGCUUUUGAAGAAGUAACUUUCCACAGGCUUAUUCUUGAACUGAAGCUGGAGGGUUUUCUGGUUUCCUCCAGAGUAUAAGGCCGACUGAAGAAUUUGAGGGUCAAAACAAGUCCAUCAAAUCUAGAGUACGUUCGACCCUGCUGAUAUGGGAUACUUUUGCUUUUGACAGAGUAAUGGAUGUAUCGGCACGUGUGCUGUUACGCUUGUCUCUCCACAUGCUUCCUUGUAUCCUUCUCACUUGCCCUAUCUGUUCCUCAAGGCAAGAUGCGGUAUCUUCCCUGGAAGCAUAAGAUGUUGAAGAUGAGUACUCGAGAGCAAUGCCAGGUAAGUAAUCAGGUAAGGGGUUCCAGGCAGUCAGUUCCUAGCUGGAAGCUUGAUUCCAAGUGCUGACUGAUUGCUCUCUUUCUCCUUGUCUUGCAGGUAAAGAACAAGGCCAAAGGAAAAGACAGGGAAAAAGCAUGAUAUGGGAUAUACUCUUGCUUUUUAACCCUGAUGAUAUGAGAUAUUCUUGCUCUAGUAUAGCUUGUUUGUAGAGGUAUUAUCGGGGGGAAAGAAAGCUGAAUAUUUCGAAAGGCUUCGUUGGGAGUGCCCUCUCAGAUAUGAGAAAGGGUUGAGCAUUUUUGCAGGUCUGCCUGUCCGUUGGGGAUGGAGGUCGACAUAUAUAGGAGUCUCCCUAAUAACAAGUAGUAAUGUUAUUCCUUUACCCUGCUUGGUCAUAGCACGAUAGUUGGAGCUGCCAGCUUCACAUGUUUUAACUCUGUCAGAGCACUUUGAAAAAGUGGUCUGUGGUAUCUGGAAAGCUGAUGUUGCGUGUGAAGAUUACAGACAAGCUUUACCCAAGGAGAUUUGGUUCUUGAAGUUGGGAAAAUGGUGCCUUUUCGGUUUUCGAACAAGCAAUCCUAUCGGGGAUCUGGCUCUCGAGAUUUGGAGAACGAUGCCUCUUCGAUUUUUGAGAAAGCAAUCAUGCUGGGGGUCUAGCUCUCGAGAUUCGGAGAGCGGUGUCUCUUCGAUUUUUGAGAAAGUAAUCAUGUUGGGAGUCUGGCUCUCGAGAUUCGGAGGACGGUGCCUCUUCGAUUUUGGAGCAAGCAAUCUUGUUGAGAAUGUUUUCUCGAAUGUGAGUAAAGGUUGGGCAUGUUUGCUAGUCUACCUUGCCACGAAGCACAGAGGUUGACACACAGGGACUUUCCAAUUAUCCAGCAAUGGUACUGUUCCUUUACCCUCUUUUCGAUUUUUGAGAAAGUAGGCAUGUUGGGAGUCUGGCUCUCGAGAUUCGGAGGACGGUGCCUCUUCGAUUUUGGAGCAAGCAAUCUUGUAAUCUUGUUGGGAGUGUUUUCUCGAAUGUGAGUAAAGGUUGGGCAUGUUUGCUAGUCUACCUUGCCACGAAGCACAGAGGUUGACACACAGGGACUUUCCAAUUAUCCAGCAGUGGUACUGUUCCUUUACCCUCGUGGGUAAUAAUAUGGUAGCUAGACCUUCAAAAUUUAUGUGUCUAAACUUUGUUAGUGUUGUUUCUUUGCUAUUCUUUUACCCUUCUUGGUCAGAGCGAUGUAGUGGGAGCUGCAAGCUUCACGUGCUCAACUUUGGCAGAGAACUUUGGUAAAGUUAUCUGUGGUACCCAUGAGCUACUGUUGCGUGUGGGAAGUGGGUGAUUGAACAGUAAGAUUCAUGUGCCUUCUACUUCACCAGAAGUCUUCGACAUAAUGCCCAUAAUUUCCGCAAAGCUGAGUGUGCGUGUGACAGGUGCUGACAAGGCUGGAAAAGUAGGUGCCUCUUUGAUUUCUGAGAUCGACCCUCAUGGUCUCUGAGCAGCCCAGCUUUUGAGAAAGCAAGCGCCUCUUCGAUUUCUGAGAUCGGCCUUCGUGGUCUUUGAGCAACCCAGCUUUUGAGAAAGCAAACGCCUCUUCGGUUUCUGAGAUCAACCCUCGUGGUCUCUGAGAGUAAAGGUUGGGCAUGUUUGCUAGUCUACCUUGCCAUGAAGCACAUAGGUUGACACAUUCGGAGAGCGGUGUCUCUUCGAUUUUUGAGAAAGUAGUCAUGUUGGGAGUCUGGCUCUCGAGAUUCGGAGGACGGUGCCUCUUCGAUUUUGGAGCAAGCAAUCUUAUUGGGAGUGUUUUCUCAAAUGUGAGUAAAGGUUGGGCAUGUUUGCUAGUCUACCUUGCCACGAAGCACAGAGGUUGACACACAGGGACUUUCCAAUUAUCCAGCAGUGGUACUGUUCCUUUACCCUUAUGGGUAAUAAUAUGGUAGCUAGACCUUCAAAAUUUAUGUGUCUAAACUUUGUUAGUACUAUUUCUUUGCUAUUCUUUUACCCUUCUUGGUCAGAGCGAUGUAGUGGGAGCUGCAAGCUUCACGUGCUCAACUUUGGCAGAGAACUUUGGCAAAGUUAUCUGUGGUACCCAUGAGCUACUGUUGCGUGUGGGAAAUGGGUGAUUGAACAGUAAGAUUCAUGUGCUUUCUACUUCACCAGAAGUCUUCGACAGAAUGCCCAUAAUUUUCGCAAAGCUGAGUGUGCAUGUGACAGGUGCUGACAAGGUUGGAAAGGUAGGUGCCUCUUCGAUUUCUGAGAUCGGCCCUCGUGGUCUCUGAGCAGCCCAGCUUUUGAGAAAGCAAGCGCCUCUUCGAUUUCUGAGAUCAGCCUUCGUGGUCUUUGAGCAGCCCAGCUUUUGAAAAAGCAAACGCCUCUUCGAUUUCUGAGAUCAACCCUCGUGGUCUCUGAGCAGCCCAGCUUUUGAGAAAGCAAACGCCUCUUCGAUUUUUGAAGCUCCGUCGAGUGUAUAUUUUUAUAGGGGCUGGCAUUAAGUUCCAAAGCACACUUGAAUCUCCACCAGUAGAAGCUCCAUUCUUGUACUUCUAAGAUCUUGAUUUGUCCGACUUCUUCUCUCUUCAACACCUUUGAAAAUGUCUGGCCCCUCCGACCGUCGUUUUGACUUGAACCUUGUUGAAGAUGCAGCCCCGCCUUCUCAAGACAACAUAUGGCGCCCAUCCUUCGUCUCCCCUACUGGUCCUCUUACCGUUGGGGAUUCCGUGAUGAAGAAUGAUAUGACCGUUGCGGUGGUGGCCAGGAACCUUCUCACUCCCAAAGAUAACAGACUACUUUCCAAACGGUCUGAUGAGUUAGCUGUUAAGGAUUCUCUGGCUCUCAGUGUUCAGUAUGCAAGUUCUGUGUCUAAUAUGGCCCAACACCUAUUUGCUCGAACCCGUCAAGUUGAAUCAUUGGCGGCUGAAGUGAUGAGUCUCAAACAGGAGAUUAGAGGGCUCAAGCAUGAGAAUAAACAGUUGCACCGGCUCGCACAUGACUAUGCUACAAACAUGAAGAUGAAGCUUGACCAGAUGAAGGAAUCUGAUGGUCAGGUUUUACUUGAUCAUCAGAGAUUUGUGGGUUUGUUCCAAAGGCAUUUAUUGCCUUCGUCUUCUGGGGCUGUAUCGCGUAAUGAAGCUCUAAAUGAUCAACCUCUGAUGCCUCCUCCUUCUAGGGUUCUGUCCAGUACUGAGGCUCCGAAUGAUCCCCCUCCGGUGCCUUCUCUUUCUGGGGCUCUACCGACUGCUGAGACUUCUCCUAAGCAACCUUUGUGAAGGCUCCCUCUUGUUUGUUUAUUUUGACUCAUGUAUAUGUAUGUGUAGCUUAUCGGGGAUAUCAAUAAAUAAGCUUUCCUUCAUUUCAACAUAUUGUGUUAAAUACACCAAAGCCUUCUUCGCUAAGUUCUUUGAAUUUUCUUUUGUUGAAGCUUGUAUGUUGAAACUUUGUGAGUGGAUCAUGUAGGUUAAGGUAGUGUUCCCUUAUUUUCAUCAAUAUUGAUAUUUUAAACAAUGACAAUUCUUAGAAUACUGGAAUUCAUGUCAUUUUCAUAAACAAAUAAAUGGUUAAGAAAUGUAUAUAUUAGAAAAUUAAGAGCCAGAUUUAACUAAUAUUAAAUCGAUUUUAAAUCGGGUAGUAAAACAAAAUUAGGAAUCUGUGUCCUUUUCAUAAAUAAAUAAAUGGUUACAAAAUUUAUAUAUCAUAAAUUUAAAAGCCAGAAUUGACUUAUAUAAAAUCGAUUUUUAAUUGGGUAGAUGUAAUUUGUAAAACAAAAAUGUUUAAAAAACAAUUCUCUUAAAAAUGGUAUUCUGGUGCCAGGAUUCGAACCUGGAUGAAAACUCUUAACCGUAAGACUUUUUGUAGUGAGCAACAUCAGAUGAGUUGAUAGAUUAUGUAACGCCCCGCGCCCGAAAUAUUUAUUUUCAUAAAAUAAUUCCAAUGAUAAGCCUAAAUUAAAUUUUUUAUUUACAUUACAACCAAUAAUCACGAUUCCUUAUUUAAUUUUCUUAAUCCCUCACAAAAACUAUAACCCAUAAUUAACUUACCAAAACAUACGAUUAAAUUUUCAUAAUUUGUCACCAACUUCUACUCUUAAAACAACUUCCCAACUAAAGAUUAAAUCUCAAUUAUUAAGGCUACAUCUAACUCUUGUUAGACUGCCUACAUACCCUUUAGCGGGAUCAAGGCUUUCGUAGUUCAUAAAUCCGUUUAAAUCCAUUCUUAUAGCCGUUUCUGAAAAUAUUCUAGAAUUGGAAAUAUUCAACAUUAGCUUUCACAAUCGAAUCACAUCAAAUGAUUACCAAUUAUGGAUUUAAAUUGUCUAAAUUAGUAUUAAAAGGCAGCGUCGGCCCACUGGCCACGCGCCACCACGGGUGGCGAUCUCCAGUGAUCGGAAACCCCAAUUUCCGACAAACUCUACAAAUUACCAAAUUUUAUAGGGUUGUAGAGUUCAAUUAUAGGAACAACUUUCAUACUUGGGACGAAGUCCAAUUCGGCCAAGAAAAGCCCCAAUUUCACUCAAUUCCGUCUGAACCCUAGAAUUUGGGUGUCCUCAAUUAGUCAUCUCCCGUGCCCCGCCGCCCCAAACAAGGCUUGGUAGAUGUUCCUGGGUUCACAAGGAGUCUAACCAUGGUGGUAGUCAAUGGUGGUGGCUUCACAAACGGGAGAUCGCAGAAACGGACCCAUCGCACCCACCAAUGUAGGUUUCACUAAAUUAAAGCAUAUUUCCAUCGAAAUUGGGAUGGAAUUGGUGAAGGUAUCAAUUGGUAUCGAAGGGAGGGUUAUUUUUGGCACCGUUCCCAUCAUCAACGAUGGUCGGAAUAAAAAACAAUGGUCAGGUCGGGUCGGCGGGUUGAAGGAAGGUCUGGUUCCCUUCUCUCCUUUCCCUCCCUACCUCCCCCUCUGGUUGGUCCGUGUCUCUCGCCUUCUCUCCUUCCCUUUCCAUCACAGCCACACACGUGGCUUCUCAGAUCCUUGCUCCAGCAAAUCUGGAGCCUUUUAGAUAUUGGUCAAAUGACCAUUUUACUCCUAACUUCAAUUGUUAAUAACUUCUUCGUUAUAACUCCGUUUCAUGAACGGUUUUCGUCUACAUGUUCGUAGGGCCAUCCUUUAUCCAAAUAUAUCAAGAAAUCCGAUAAAAUAUAUGAGGAUAAAAUACAUCCUUGUAUAAUUACGUCAAACUAGUUAGGGCAUUUUCUUCUUUUCUACUUAACGAUAAAUUUUACUACGUAAAUUAUAAAAUUUCCGGAAACAAAACUUUAAAAGUUCACAAUUUUUUUUUCUUUCAUAACCAUAAAUUGAUUUAUUGUCGAUUUUUCUUCACAUAUUCAUAUAUUUAAAUUUUCAGGGUAUUACAGAUUAUGACAAAAUAAACCAUUUAAAUGUUCUCCUUACGUUAUGCAUUGCGCAUAUUGGAUAAACAAUUAGUGCACAUAAUGUGGUUAUCUGAUUUGUGGGGAAAGGUGAUGCUCACCGCUGACUUUUGGUUUAGAGACAGGCUCUCAAACUUAAAUAUAUCAGAUUUUGUUUGACAUUCGUAACAUAUUUUAAUAUUUUCACCGUUAUUGAUAUUUUAAACAAUGACAAUUCUUAGAAUACUGGAAUUCAUGUCCUUUUCAAUUUUCAUAAACAAAUAAAUGGUUAAGAAAUGUAUAUAUUAGAAAAUUAAGAGCUAGAAUUGACUAAUAUUAAAUCGAUUUUAAAUCGGGUAGUAAAACAAAAUUAGGAAUCCAUGUCCUUUUCAUAAAUAAAUAAAUGGUUAAGAAAUUUAUAUAUCAGAAAUUUAAAAACCAAAAUUGACUUAUAUAAAAUCGAUUUUUAAAUGGGUAGAUGUAAUUUGUAAAACAAUUUUUUUUUUAAAUAAUUCUCUUAUAAAUGGUAUUCCGGUGCCACGAUUCAAACCUGGAUGAAAACUCUUAACCGUAAAACUUUUUGUAUUGAGCAACACCGAACGAGUUGAUAGAUUAUGACGAAAUAAAAACAUAAUAAUUUCUUUCAAACUUAGUGAAUAACCUUCAGAAAAUAAAAACACCGAACGAGUUCAUAGAUUAUGACAAAUUAGUGGAUAAACACCUUCAGAAAAUAAAAACACCGAACGAGUUCAGCGGUGAGCAUCACCAUUCCCCACAAAUCAGAUAACCACAUUAUGCGCACAAAGAAUCAAUCAAAACAUAAUAAUUGAAUGAACGAGGAUUUCUUUCAUUUUUUCCAAAUUUUCUGAAGGUUUUUUCUAUAAGAACUUUUCUCUGACCAAUGCUUUCUAACAUUUCAUCAUUUUUUUUUAAAUUACACAAAUUCUUUGCAUACAUUGUUGUUAAAAAGAAAAUUUCUAUUAUUAAGGAGAGAGUUCGAAACUAUUGAAUUAUGGAAGAUGGACUUUUGAACUCGAGACACGGGUAGAAACCUAACACCUAUCCACUAGGACAUUAGAUCACCAGAGGUGGUCCUGGUUUUUUGGUGCCGACUGCCCAUGAACACUCAAAAUGUGCUUUUUUCCAGUACAACAUAAAUUAAACUGAAAGAUUUAAAAAGGGCUGGAGCCAGUCGAAGCUGUUGGGACAUUCUUCCAAAGAGGGAGAUGAAAUCGUUGAGGCUCUUACAGAUCCCACGUCACUGUCUUCAUUCAGCAGUUUUCCUCCAUCUACAUCAACAACUGCACGUUGCUCAAGAAGGUACUUCUAAAAAUUGAAAGUCAAACGAUAAAUUAUUAAGAAACAUUGAAUAUAAGCAUGAAACAAAGAAAAUGUUACGGAAUGGUGAUCCUCAUCCUCAAAGAUGAUUAAAAGCAAUUUGAUUCAAAAAUGACAUAUCAACUCUGGAGAAAUGGAAGACAAACAUGUGGUACCAUAUUCGCAACAGAGGUUAUGAAAGCUGAAAUCGAUUGUUCCUGUGUGCAUUGAUAAGUAAGACUACCGUAGAGAUUCACAACUAAGUAAAGACAGGUAUUCCACAGAACAACCCUGACCUCUUUGGAAACACAGAUCUAACAAAAACUAAAACAUUUUGGAUUAAUAUUGACUAAUCAAGAAUAAUGCAAGGGAGCAAAAGAGAUACUCUUCCUUCUAAUAACAAGAAGGCAUAAAAAGUAUACAGAGUUCCAACAAUUAGAGAACUUAAAUCAAACUAAAAAAAUCACCAAAGUAGACAGAAUUUCACUUCGCCAAAAAUUUGAAAAUAUAUCCUUUUUAUCCACUGAGAAUCAUAAACUACUACUACUACAUCAUGCCAAUAAGCAAUGCGUAAGAGGUGCUACAAUUUACCAAUAUAUUUACCCUGAGAACAAGUUUUGAAAUCAUCUCUAGUGUUAACAGCACCUUGCGUCCUUGGGUAAGCUGAGUCCUAGUAUCAAGUAAAGAGACCAAUCAGUACAUAUCCAAAAGAUCUUAAAUGCUUGUAAUACCAAAUAAGAAAGAAACAUGAGUAUAUCUUGAGUUAACCAUGCAAAAAUGUAAUGUUAAGGCAUCUUGUCAUACAGACCUCUUCAAGGUACCAGAAAUUUUUGCACUAAAGAUGUCACAAGCGGCUGAUAUGAAGCUGCAUUUUCUGUGAGUUGAGAUUUUGUCAAUAUAAUCGAUCACCUGAAGAGAGAGAGAGAGAGAGAGAGAGAGAGAGAGAGAAAGACAGUGAUAUCCAGAGAUGUGAGCCUAAAGGCUGAGUGUGUAAAAAAUAAGAUUAAAUGGAUAGCAAGAAUAUACAACUUUAAUGCCGAAAAGAACAUUAUAUGAUGCUCAUUCAUCAUUGCCAUUGAACGUGUACCUUCUUCUUUUCCUCUUUCUCAAAAGGAAGUAGACCCUUGAAGACUUGCCUAUAUGAUCCAUCAUCACAACCAGGCAAAGUCAUUUUAAUCAUAGCAACAAUGGCUCUAACUACCUGCCAUAAGAAACAUGCUACAUCAACAAGAUCACAGAGUGUACCAGAAACCGUAAUGUAGCAAAAUCUUAGAUAGAAUAGCUGGCCAAAAGGGAAUGGAAAAGCAAGCACAAAAAACAAUGAAAAGGACCAGUGAUGCCAAAAUUCAGGUGUUUAUAACUUUAAGUUCUACGUAGCAAAAACCACCUUAUGCACAACAAUAUUGGAAAAAUUAGAUACAUACAACUGAGAAGAUAGGUUUUCAUAAUCUGGACAAGUGCUAACUACCUUCUUCCUAUAAACUGCCACUCCAUGAACAUUAAAUGGUAUUUUCGUUUCACGCAAGGCUGUCUGGAAGACUUUUCCUGAUACCUGUAGUAUAAAAUACAAAAGAAAAUGUGACCAAAAUGUCUUAUAUGAUUCACCUCAUUCACAUUAGCACUAGGGCAAGCAAGCUUGACCUGCCUCCGGUAAAGGAUUGCUAUAUUUCCAUAGGAGCACCCUGCUUCUGACAGUUAGAUGCAGUCUCCAGGAUCUUGUCGACAACAAAGGCGCAUUAUGCAUCCUCAUUGUGACUUUCCUUGAUAAUUACCUACAUUUUGCCAGUAAAACCAGUGUCACUAACUAAAAAGACUGAAAAAUGACAUCAAAUUGUACUUGUUGGAGCAAGGAAAGAUUAGGUACAUUAGACCCAGAAGAAUUGUCGGUGUCAACAUUCUUUAGUUGGCAUCACUUCUUAUUGUUUUUUAUAACAGAAGAUGCAGCUUCCACAAUAUAGCGUGUGGACCGAUAGUUUUUAUUAAGCCUAAUCUGAACCAUAAAGUUAUGUCAAAUCCCACAGAACCCCAUAAAAUAAAACUUACUUUCCUGUAAUUAUACAAUAUAUUUGUUCUAUACUAUAUAUAAUGAAAAAAGACACUGAAUGACAUAAGAUAAACAUAGCAGUUAAGUGCGAAGGAACCUCUUUGUAAUUUGAAAAAUCUUUACAAAAAGAAUCAAAUCCAGAACUGUCCGCCCCGUUGAAACUGAAAAUGGACUGCAGCAGGAUAUAUGUUAUUUGAUUUAGAACAGAUAAGGGCUGGAUUAGAAUGAGCUGAGAGAGAGAGAGAGGGAGAGAGGGAGCAAUAAGAUUGGAUUUCCAUAAUAAAUCAACAACAUGCCUGAUCAUCAUCACCAACAAUGGUUAUGUGGUUAUGAGAGGCGAGAAUCCGCAAAAGACUAUACUGCAUAGCACUUGUGUCUUGAAACUCGUCUAUUACAAUAGCUUUCCAUGACUCCUGGCACUCCUCCGACACUAAUUAAGAGAACACCAUGUAUCAACAUUUAGCAUUACUUGUAAAACUAGAUAAAUCAAUUUAAUAUACUUAGAUGAUAGAGACCUUCAGGAAAAUCACUUAGCAGCUAAUUAAGUCAUGGUAGUCCAAAGCGUUGCACGAUUCCUAAGAAUUUCACCCUGAUUCAGAUUGAGAUCUAAAACUCAUAAGCAAUAGUUUCAGAGAACUGAAAUGAUAACUGAAAUUCUAGAACUGAAAUGAUAACUGAACAACAACAAAAACAACAACAAAGCCUUUUCCCACUAAGUGGGGUCGGCUAUAUGAAUCCUAGAACGCCAUUGCGCUCGGUUUUGUGUCAUGUCCUCCGUUAGAUCCAAGUACUCUAAGUCUUUUCUUAGAGUCUCUUCCAAAGUUUUCCUAGGUCUUCCUCUACCCCUUCGGCCUUGAACCUCUGUCCCGUAGUCACAUCUUCGAACCGGAGCGUCAGUAGGCCUUCUUUGCACAUGUCCAAAUCACCGGAACCGAUUUUCUCUCAUCUUUCCUUCAAUUUCGGCUACUACUACUUUACCUCGGAUAUCCUCAUUCCCAAUCUUAUCCUUUCUCGUGUGCCCACACAUCCCACGAAGCAUCCUCAUCUCCGCUACACCCAUUUUGUGUACGUGUUGAUGCUUCACCGCCCAACAUUCUGUGCCAUACAACAUCGCUGGCCUUAUUGCCGUCCUAUAAAAUUUUCCCUUGAGCUUCAGUGGCCUACGACGGUCACACAACACGCCGGAUGCACUCUUACACUUCAUCCAUCCAGCUUGUACUCUAUGGUUGAGAUCUCCAUUUAAUUCUCCGUUCUCUUGCAAGAUAGAUCCUAGGUAGCGGAAACGGUCGCUUUUUGUGAUCUUCGCUAGAUUGCUCCGGUCAUUAGUGUGGAAUGGAUAGUGAUAGGAAAGCAAACACAAGAUGUACGUGGUUCACCCAGAUUGGCUACGUCCACGGAAUAGAGUUCUCAUUAAUUGUGGAGGGUUUACACAAGUACAUAGGUUCAAGCUCUCCUUUAGUGAGUACAAGUGAAUAAUUUAGUACAAAUGACAUUAGGAAAUAUUGUGGGAGAAUGAUCUCGUAAUCACGAAACUUCUAAGUAUCGGAGUGUGGUAUCGUCUUGACUCGCCUUAUCUGUCUCAUAGGUAGAUGUGGCAUCUUCUCUGGAAGUACUCUUCCUCCAUCCAGAGGUGGUAUCUUUAACUGGUGGAGAUGCAGAAGGUAAUGUAUCAAUUUCACUUGAAGCUUACUUGUAGUUUCAGGCUUGGUCAAGCGCGAUACAAACCAUGUAGUAGGAGUCCCCCAAGUCGCCGAGCUAGGGGAUCUGCUGAAAGAGGUGACAGACAAGGUAAGCAAUCAGAGCUCCGGCUGAUUGUUCACAUUCUCCCUAUCUUGCAGGCAGCAUGAAGGAUAAAGAGAAGAAAAAUGAGAAAAGAUGAUAUGGGAUACUUUUGCUUUUGAAGAAGUAACUUUCCACAGGCUUAUUCUUGAACUGAGCUGGAGGGUUUUCUGGUUUCCUCCAGAGUAUAAGGCCGACUGAAGAAUUUGAGGGUCAAAACAAGUCCAUCAAAUCUAGAGUACGUUCGACCCUGCUGAUAUAGGAUACUUUUGCUUUUGACAGAGUAAUGGAUGUAUCGGCACGUGUGCUGUUACGCUUGUCUCCACAUGCUUCCUUGUAUCCUUCUCACUUGCCCUAUCUGUUCCUCAGGCAGAUGCGAUAUCUUCCCUGGAAGCAUAAGAUGUUGAAGAUGAGUACUCGAGAGCAAUGCCAGGUAAGUAAUCAGGUAAGGGGUUCCAGGCAAUCAGUUCCUAGCUGGAAGCUUGAUUCCAAGUGCUGAUUGAUUGCUCUCUUUCUCCUUGUCUUGCAGGUAAGAACAAGGUCAAAGGAAAAGACAGGGAAAAAGCAUGAUAUGGGAUACUCUUGCUUUUUAACCCUGAUGAUAUGAGAUAUUCUUGCUCUAGUAUAGCUUGUUUGCAGAGGUAUUAUCGGGGGGAAAGAAAGCUGAAUAUUUCGAAAGGCUUCGUUGGGAAUGCCCUCUCAGAUAUGAGGAAGGGUUGAGCAUUUUUGCAGGUCUGCCUGUCCGUUGGGGAUGGAGGUCGACAUAUAUAGGAGUCUCCCUAACAACAAGUAGUAAUGCUAUUCCUUUAACCUGCUUGGUCAUAGCACGGUAGUUGGAGCUGCCAGCUUCACAUGUUUUAACUUUGUCAGAGCACUUUGAAAAAGUUGUCUGUGGUAUCUGGAAAGCUGAUGUUGCAUGUGAAGAUUACAGACAAGCUUUAUCCAAGGAGAUCCGGCUCUUGAAGUUGGGAAAAUUGUGCCUCUUCGGUUUUCGAACAAGCAAUCCUAUCGGGGAUCUGGCUCUCGAGAUUCGGAGAACGAUGUCACUUCGAUUUUUGAGAAAGCAAUCAUGCUGGGGGUCUGGCUCUCGAGAUUCGAAGAGCGGUCUCUUCGAUUUUUGAGAAAGUAAUCAUGUUGGGAGUCUGGCUCUCGAGAUUCGGAGGACGGUGCCUCUUCGAUUUUGGAGCAAGCAAUCUUGUUGGGAGUGUUUUCUCGAAUGUGAGUAAAGGUUGGGCAUGUUUGUUAGUCUACCUUGCCACGAAGCAUAGAGGUUGACACACAGGGACUUUCCAAUUAUCCAGCAAUGGUACUGUUCCUUUACCCUCUCUUCGAUUUUUGAGAAAGUAGUCAUGUUGGGAGUCUGGCUCUCGAGAUUCGGAAGACGGUGCCUGUUCGAUUUUGGAGCAAGCAAUCUUGUAAUCUUGUUGGGAGUGUUUUCUCGAAUGUGAGUAAAGGUUGGGCAUGUUUGCUAGUCUACCUUGCCACGAAGCACAGAGGUUGACACACAGGGACUUUCCAAUUAUCCAGCAGUGGUACUAUUCCUUUACCCUUGUGGGUAAUAAUAUGGUAGCUAGACCUUCAAAAUUUAUGCGUCUAAACUUUUAGUUGUGUUUUCUUUGCUAUUCUUUUACCCUUCUUGGUCAAAGCGAUGUAGUGGGAGCUGCAAGCUUCACGUGCUCAACUUUGGCAGAGAACUUUGGCAAAGUUAUCUGUGGUACCCAUGAGCUACUGUUGCGUGUGGGAAGUGGGUGAUUGAACAGUAAGAUUCAUGUGCUUUCUACUUCACCAGAAUGCCCAUAAUUUCCGCAAAGCUGAGUGUGCGUGUGACAGGUGCUGACAAGGCUGGAAAAGUAGGUGCCUCUUCGAUUUCUGAGAUCGGCCCUCAUGGUCUCUGAGCAGCCCAGCUUUUGAGAAAGCAAGUGCCUCUUCGAUUUCUGAGAUCGGCCUUCGUGGUCUUUGAGCAUCCCAACUUUUGAGAAAGAAAACGCCUCUUCGAUUUCUGAGAUCAACCCUCGUGGUCUCUGAGAGUAAAGGUUGGACAAGUUUGCUAGUCUACCUUGCCAUGAAGCACAGAGGUUGACACACAGGGAAUUUCCAAUUAUCCAGCAAUGGUACUGUUCCUUUACCCUUAUGGGUAAUAAUAUGGUAGCUAGACCUUCAAAAUUUAUGUGUCUAAACUUUGUUAGUGCUGUUUCUUUGCUAUUCUUUUACCCUUCUUGGUCAGAACGAUGUAGUGGGAGCUGCAAGCUUCACGUGCUCAACUUUGGCAGAGAACUUUGGCAAAGUUAUCUGUGGUACCCAUGCGCUACUGUUGCGUGUGGGAAGUGGGUGAUUGAACAGUAAGAUUCAUGUGCUUUCUACUUCACCAGAAGUCUUCGACAAAAUGCCCAUAAUUUCCACAAAGCUGAGUGUGCGUGUAAUAGGUGCUGACAAGGCUGGAAAAGUAGGUGCCUCUUCGAUUUCUGAGAUCGGCCCUCGUGGUCUCUGAGCAGCCCAUCUUUUGAGAAAGCAAGCGUCUCUUUGAUUUCUGAGAUCGGCCUUCGUGGUCUUUGAACAGCCCAGCUUUUGAGAAAGCAAACUUCUCUUCGAUUUCUGAGAUCAACCCUCGUGGUCUCUGAGCAGCUCAGCUUUUGAGAAAGCAAACGCCUCUUCGAUUUUUGAGCAGACGCCUCUUCGAUUUCUGAAGCUCCGUCGAGUGCAGAUUUUUAUAGGGGCUGACAUUAAGUUCCAAAGCACACUUGAAUCUCCACCAGUAGAAGCUCCAUUCUUGCACUUCUAAGAUCUUGAUUUGUCCGACCUCUUCUCUCUUCAACACCUUUGAAAAUGUCUAGCCCCUCCGACCGUCGUUUUGACUUGAACCUUGUUGAAGAGGCAGCCCCGCCUUCUCCAGACAACAUAUGGCGCCCAUCCUUCGUCUCCCCUACUGGUCCUCUUACCGUUGGGGAUUCCGUGAUAAAGAAUAAUAUGACCGCUGCGGUGGUGGCCAGGAACCUUCUCACUCCCAAAGAUAACAGACUACUUUCCAAACGAUCUGAUGAGUUAGCUGUUAAGGAUUCUCUGGCUCUCAGUGUUCAGUGUGCAGGUUCUGUGUCUAAUAUGGCCCAACGCCUAUUUGCUCGAACCCGUUAAGUUGAAUCAUUGGCGGCUGAAGUGAUGAGUCUCAAACAGGAGAUUAGAGGGCUCAAGCAUGAGAAUAAACAGUUGCACCGGCUCGCACAUGACUAUGCUACAAACAUGAAGAGGAAGCUUGACCAGAUGAAGGAAUCUGAUGGUCAGGUUUUACUUGAUCAUCAAAGAUUUGUGGGUUUGUUCCAAAGGCAUUUAUUGCCUUCGUCUUCUGGGGCGGUACCGCGUAAUGAAGCUCCAAAUGAUCAACCUCUGAUGCCUCCUCCUUCUAGGGUUCUAUCCAGUACUGAGGCUCCGAAUGAUCCCCCUCCGGUGCCUUCUCUUUCUGGGGCUCUACCGACUGCGAGACUUGUCCUAAGCAACCUUUGUGAAGGCUCCCUCUAGUUUGUUUAUUUUGACUCAUGUAUAUGUACAUAUUUGUAGCCUAUCAGGGAUAUCAAUAAAUAAGUUUUCCUUCAUUUCAACAUAUUGUGUUAAAUACACCAAAGCCUUCUUCGCUAAGUUCUUUGAAUUUUCUUUUGUUGAAGCUUGUAUGUUGAAGCUUUGUGAGUGGAGCAUGUAGGUUGAGGUAGUGUUCCUUUAAUUUCCCGAGUGAGGAAAACUUCUCGGUUGGAGACUUGAAAAAUCCAAGUCACUGAGUGGGAUCGGCUAUAUGAAUCUUAGAACGCCAUUGUGCUCGGUCCCGUGUCAUGUCCUUCGUUAGAUCCAAGUACUCUUAAGUCUUUUCUUAGAGUCUCUUCCAAAGUUUUCCUAGGUCUUCCUCUACCACUUCGGCCCUGAACCUCUGUCCCAUAGUCGCAUCUUCUAAUCGGAGCGUCAGUAGGCCUUCUUUGCACAUGUCCAAACCACCAUAACCGAUUUUCUCUCAUCUUUCCUUCAAUUUCGGCUACUCCUACUUUACCCCGGAUAUCCUCAUUCCUAAUCUUAUCCUUUCUCGUGUGCUCACACAUCCAACGAAGCAUCCUCAUCUCCGCUACACCCAUUUUGUGUACGUGUUGAUGUUUCACCGCCCAACAUUCUGUGCCAUACAGCAUCGCCGGCCUUAUUGCAGUCCUAUAAAAUUUUCCCUUGAGCUUCAGUGGCAUACGGCGGUCACAUAACACGCCGAAUGCACUCUUCCACUUCAUCCAUCCAGCUUGUAUUCUAUGGUUGAUAUCUCCAUCUAAUUCUCCGUUCUUUUGCAAGAUAGAUCCUAGGUAACGAAAACGAUCGCUCUUUGGUAUUUCUUGAUCUCCGAUCCUCACCCCUAACUCGUUUUGGCCUCCAUUUGCACUGAACUUGCACUCCAUAUAUUCUGUCUUUGAUCGGCUUAGGCGAAGACCUUUAGAUUCCAACGCUUCUCUCCAAAGGUUAAGCUUUGCAUUUACCCCUUCCUGAGUUUCAUCUAUCAACACUAUAUCGUCUGCGAAAAGCAUACACCAAAGAAUAUCAUCUUGAAUAUGUCCUGUUAACUCAUCCAUUACCAACGCAAAAAGGUAAGGACUUAAGGAUGAGCCUUGAUGUAAUCCUACAGUUAUGGGAAAGCUUUCGGUUUGUCUUUCAUGAGUUCUUACAGCAGUCUUUGCUCCUUCAUACAUAUCUUUUAUAGCUUGGAUAUAUGCUACUCGUACUCCUUUCUUCUCUAAAAUCCUCCAAAGAAUGUCUCUUGGGACCCUAUCAUACGCUUUUUCCAAAUCUAUAAAGACCAUGUGUAAAUCCUUUUUCCCAUCUCUAUAUCUUUCCAUCAAUCUUCGUAAGAGAUAGAUUGCCUCCAUGGUUGAGCGCCCUGGCAUGAACCCGAAUUGGUUGUCCGAAACCCGUGUCUCUUGCCUCAAUCUAUGCUCAAUGACUCUCUCUCAGAGCUUCAUUGUAUGACUCAUUAACUUAAUACCCCUAUAGUUCAUGUAAUUUUGUACGUCGCCCUUAUUCUUGUAGAUAGGCACCAAAAUGCUCGUUCGCCACUCAUUUGGCAUCUUCUUCGUUUUCAAAAUCCUAUUGAAAAGGUCAGUGAGCCAUGUUAUACCUGUCUCUUCCAAAACUUUCCACACUUCGAUUGGUAUAUCGUUUGGGCCUAUUGCUUUUCUAUGUUUCAUCUUCUUCAAAGCUACAACUACUUGGAAAAAGCGUAUCAUACGCUCCCAAACAACUUUGAGUGGAAUCGUUCGAAAAGAAGUUUCUAUGGCCCCCUUGCUCAUUUAACACUGCAUCCGGAUGCUGAUGGAGAUACAGCGACCCUUGCUCACUUAUCACUGUGCUCGGGCCACACAGCGCGCCACUUACGGGUGACGCCCUAGAUUUAGCGCGAUUUCGUUCUGGAUUCAUUUUCAUAAGGAUUCGACGUGAUCAUGGAGUGCCGGCUGUCGACUACCUGACGCCCUCCCCCUCCUCCUUUAUCCGGGCUUGGGACCGGCAAUGUAAGAACAUAGGCGGAGUUAACUGAAAUGAUAACUGAAACAUAAAUAAAUUUAGAAUUCAAGACUAACCUGUGUAGCUAAUAUAUUCUAGCUUGAUUGUAGCUAAUAUUUUUUAAAUCGAAUGAAUGUUGUUCUUAAUCCACUAUAAUCUGAACAUUAAAUUUGGUAUUCAUGACUAACCUGUGUCACGAACUUUAGCCAUUUCUUUGAUGGAUCCUUAAAAUGAUGUGGAGAUGUUACGCCAUUACUCUUCCCCAUCUAUAGCAACAUUAAGAUUCGUUUUACUCUUUUCAUCUUCUGAUAACCGCACAGCUUCAAUGACUGCUCUUCUCUGUUGCCCAUGUCCAUAUAUAAAAAAUUCUGGUGUGCGCUCAAGUCUAAAACACAAGCCAACAUAACAGACUCAGCUAUACCACCAUAGGUAUGGUGUUCAAAAUCAAGGGAGGUGAAUCAAUAGCUUACUUCUCAGCAUGUGAUCGGCAAAGUUGCAAUGAAAAUGAAUGAAAUGUACUGAUUGUUAGUAGUUUUGCCGUUCCUUUCCCAGUCACAGAUCCAAUUCGAUCUCUCAUCUCGGAAGCUGCUGCUGUAGUGAAAGUCAUUGCUAGAAUGUUAGACGCGCUCAUGCCCUAAGAACACAAAAAAAAAAGGAAUAAGAUUUCGAUCAUAAACAAGAAAUGUAGAGAAACAGACAAUUAAGAAAGAAAAAGUUAGAGGGAAAGUGGCAACACCUCAUUGAGCAGCAUUAGAACCCGCCCAACCAUCGUUGAAGUCUUUCCACUUCCAGGGCCGGCAACAAUCAUCAAAGGUACUGAAAUAUCGCUGCAAGCUGCCUCCCGCUGCCUUUCGUUGAGAGAAAGCAAAUACUUCGAAUACUCAUCCGGCAUGUUAGGCAAUCCAUGGUUAACAGAAUCUGUUUGGUUUUCACUACUCAGAGGUGGCGCUGAUGCGGCAUUAACAUCGCUACCACAACUCCCAAUAUCAUCACGCUGAAUGUCCCCACUCGGUUUCUGCUCAAUUAAAGCGUCAAUUUCCUGCAAAAUACUCUCAUCGAAAUCAUCAUCCUCGAGAAUUCCAGACGCAGAGAAAGAAUCGAAUGAAGUCGGAAACUGCGGUUGUUUGAUUGGAAUUGUGAAAGAAUCCGAUUUUGACACGCUUGAUUCAGUCCGGCUAGCGCUUAAGCUCCCGGAACACGACGCACUGCCAUAUUCAGUCCGGCUUGUAGAAAUCGGAGGCGGUGUGUUCAUCGGUAGCUCGGCAAGAGGAGUUCUGUGAACUCUAUUGAGCUGAGCUGGCGUUUGGAUUCCAUUUCCGCCACAAAUUCUGGAAUUUGAAAAACACAAUUGAAUUGAUUUAAAUUGAAUCAAGAAAACAGCCGAGUACCAAAAAAGUAGUAAGAAGAUGAAAUCUUUGAUUCCUGAACGACUUACUUGGUAUGAGGGAGGUGAUGAUCAGUCAAAACGGCGUCGUUGCGGGGGCGUUUGCGAUCAAUGAGGGCCUUGGCGGCUCUGAAAUUCCCAGAGAUGCGGUUUCUUUUGAUAGGAUCACAGAUCUCAGGACCCUAUUCAACCUACAAGCAGCAAUAGAAAUGACAAAUGGAGAAGACGAAGUAGAAGGGAGCAGGGCUCCAAUAUAUUUUUUUGGUUUUGUAUUUCUGUUUGUAAAAUCUGAUCUGCUACAUUUGAGGGAGCUGGACUCCUUUUAUACAAACUCUACUUCUUAAAAUGCCAGCUGGCAUAUUUAACAAUUCUUAACAAAUCAAUUAAAGCAUAAAACCUCAGUAAUAAUUUGGGUCAUAACAAUACUUCCCCCUUGAAGAACAACCUUGUCCUCAAGGUUGAAAGUUGAAAAACUUAUUUGAACGAGUAGAAACUAGGAGUCUUGCAACAGAAGGGAAGCUGCAGGGACUGCAAAUACAAUCUGCAUGUAGCUCUCAACUUUUGGAGAUGAGCCUGACAGCACCCCUGUACUUGUUAUGGCAGCUCCCCACAACUUGGUAAGUGAGCACUUGUUACCCGUAGCCUCUUCAUAAAUUUCAACCCACGAUAUCAUUUCAACUUCCAUGCUAGUUGCCAAAAAGCAUGCAGCAUCAAAUGGAGAAAAUGGGCCAACUCCCAGGGAACCUGCCAGAGGAUCAUUCUCAACGAAUGCAGCUACUAAAGCAAUUGGACCCUUGCCAAGAAUUAUAACCUUAGAGAUGGUUAUGAGCCUGAUAUCCUCAAAAGCAAGACGAGCGGUCUGAUUGAUAAGAGACUGCCUAAGAUUAACUAUCCUCUUCUUAGGUCCAACACACCAUUCCUUGCUCCGAAUGUAGCCAUCCUUCAUCACACCAAACCGAGGGAAGCCACCCAUGGGAGUGAUGUCUUUCUCAGUCAUCUUCCCCUCAUGGAGGCACAUUUCAUAGUUUUUUUCAGUGAAACUAGGACCACCUAAUGUCGGAUUGUCAAAAAACUCCUGAAAUAAGCUGAUGGAUGGGAGCAGUCUAUAUUGGAUAUUGAAACUUGCAAUUCUUUCUGAAUCAUUGAAAUCACUGUACUUUAAACUGUCAUUAGCAACACCGAUAUUAUGCAUGGAAGAUUUAAAGGACCUGAGCAAACCCAAAGCUUCAACCAUGUCCUUCAUCACCUCUGUUAAGGUGUACAAUUGGCAUUUGAAUUCAUAUGAUGGCUCAAUAGUAUCAAGUUCCAAAAAUUUAAACAACUCAUUUUGCCAACUUACACUCACGGUAAGACAAACAUGCAAAAACCAUGCAAAGACAAAUAUGUUGGACAUCCUUUCUGAAGAACAGGCAAAGAAAUAACACCAACAGCAACCAAAUGAAAUAACACCAGCAGCAACCAAUACAUUGAUGUGUACCAUAUUGUCUAACAAAAUUACUUUAAGCUGAUGACUGACUUUGCAGAUACGUCCAUAAUCGUACAACCAUGCAUAAACACUAGCACCAUCAAAUCUUAGAUUUGGCCUGAAUACUAUUACCUCUUCACUACCAAAAGUGAGCAUCUGAAUACGUCUGCCGGUUUUCUUAUGAUGCAACUCCAGCUCUACCAACAUCCAUCUUUUACCAAUCACAUAAGAGAAAACAUAAUGACUUACACAAUGUUGCUCAGGUACAGUCAUAUAUGGUGUUGUCCGAGAUUUCCAUUGCUCCUUGAAAUGCAUUCCAUAAACCAAGAAAAAUAAGAUUGAAGUAGUAGUUGUUCCAUCCUCCUUGAAAGAGAUGAGAAUGCAGGGCCUCUCCAUCAACCAUAUUGUAUAAUUCCUCUGAUUGAAGACAACCCUUUGAGAAGAUAUAUUGUCACAAGGAUUAGUGAGAGUGUGACACCAACCCGGUUGCUGGAAAAUCUGGUCAUUCGCUACGCAAUUAGGAAAGAAAACAGUAUCGAGGUGUACAUCAACACUAUUACAUAAUUCCGGAUUCAAUUUCGAUAACAAGCUGGUGAGAAUAGAAUAGUCAAGCUGGGAAAUGGCCAUGACUGUUAAUGCACAUCUGUGUAACAGUGAUAAGCAGAGGAACUGCUUGAUAGCAUUGAUAUAACCCAAAGUCCCAUUCUCCUCAGUCAAACUAGCUGCAAGAUCUUUAGGCAAAGAACGACAAACAAGUACAACAAUAUCCAAAGCUUCCAGGUUGCUACUCAAUGACAUAUUCUCCAUAUUAUGCCUCUUAGACAUUUCAUCAAAUAGAUGCAAUGCAUAGAAAUUCUUCUUCACAAAUUUACCCACAAGGUACCAAUUAACCCAGCCAUACUUAGCAUUCAAAAAAACAUGAUAUACAAUCGCAUUAUGACCAGUAUAGCAUGCAAUUACACCAUACAAAAGCAAUACCUCAUGUCCACGUACCAUUCCUAACUCCCAUAGCCCACUAGGUAGCUGAUACCAAACAUGAAGUUUCUUCUUGAUGAAAUAUCCAAUGUUGUCAUCGUAAACCGACUGUGUAAUCUUCUCUCCCAGUCUCAUUCGACAAUCUUCCAGUGGCCUAAUUUUGGAGCCUCCACCCUUAUCCCGAAUGCCAUUGCAGUAGCACAUGUCACGAUUGAGAACAACAUAGCCACUUGAGUCUGGAAUUUCAUCAAACAGGUUCCAUGCACAAAAAUCCUCAGGUCCAUUUUUCGUAGUAUCAGAGAACGAGUGCUUAUGGAGUAGCCGCGGAGCAGAGGUCAUCGUCUUCGAUCCCGGAAGCAAAAUUGUAGCUGCAUCAGAGUUGUUCGAGUGUGGCUUCACGGGCGGAGUUGCCAGUGCUUGCAACAACGGUGAAGAUGAGAGUAACGGCGGAACGGAAUGGACUUCAAUUGGCGAUGGAAUUCUCGGUGGAUUGUCGUCUCCUUGAAGUCCGGGAUGAUCGAGAUUGAUUGAUUGAAUCGUUGGGGUAGGAUCGGAAACUUCCCCGACACCAAGAGUCAAGUGAUGGCGGAACAGAGCAAGGUCACGGCGGACUGCGGCGGCUAUUGAAUCUAUAGCCUUGUGGAAAGCCUCCUCCGUACGCCUGAAUGUUUUCCUUGGACAUUGCUUCGAAGAUUCCGACGGAAGAUUUGGCCUGACAGCCUGACCAGGCAACCCUAGAAAGAAGAAGGAGCGAAGAAGACCAAAUGUGUCCGUUUUUCCUUUGGUUUUUUUCCCUCCUAAUCGAGUUGUUCGAAAUAAUUGGGCCUGGGCCUAGUGGGCCCAAUUGUCAGGCCCAUUAUCUCCUGUCUUCUAGUUCUACUUCCAAUUUCCCAAGUUAACAACGUACUGGUUCGCUUUUAGCGCGAGAGAGAAAUGGAGGCCCUGAUUGCCUCGUACGGAGACUCGUCGUCGGACUCAGACUCCGAGUCGCCGGCUCCACCUCCACCGCCACCUCCGGAGCUCAAAAACUCUCAAGAAUCGACCACUGCGCUGCCUCCACCUCCUCUGUCACUUCUCGACAGCCCAAUUCCUUCGGUAACCUCUGAUUCCCAUAAAUAUUCUAUCUUUUAACUUUCUGUUGUGAUGGCUUUUUCCGAGUUGCCCACCAAGUGUUUGAUGUUUUGCCUCUAAAGGAUUUCUGGACUUCUCCCCAAGCGCCCAGCCGAGCAGAGUUCGGAACUUUCCUCACGUCGAAGGGAACUACGCAGUACAUGUAUACAUCCCAGGUAAUCAAAAUUCUCGAAAUUUUCAGCUCCAUUAGCAAAUGCGAUCCCUUUGCACUUAGAUUUUGCUUGUUUAAUUGUGUGGUUCCAGUUUAUAUACCACCAGCACCAAGGAAAGAGAUGGCCUUGUUUUUGAACAAGCUUGCUUCUCUGGUGCCUGGUCUCCACGCCGUUGACGUUGACGUCCCGCUUGACAUUCUGCGUAAGGACGAGCAUAAGCUUGAACAAGUUGCUUUAGGCAGAGAGUUCCAUAUAAGUCUCGGAAGAACUGUUCCGAUUCGGGUGCACCAGAUUAAUUCCUUGGUGACAAUGCUGCGGCAGAAGCUUCAGAUUCAGAGGCGGUAUGGUUGCAUUUACCUUCUCUUGUGUGCAUUGCGUGAAUUUAGUUCUGUUAUUUAACAUAAUUGUUUAAGCCUGCAGAUAUUUUGUCCAUUUUUGGUUUUUAACACAUUUGGUUAUUGUGGAACAGGUAUUGGAUUGAUUUUUGCAAGUAGGAGGUUUUUGUUAACGAUGAUCAGACCCGGACCUUUGUGUCGAUCGAAGUCAUUGCUGCUGGGUUAGCUGAGGUAUGAUUGCUAGCUUUCUCUCUUGGUGCAAUUCAAAAUGUUUUGAGUUGUUUAUGGACUUAAGAUUUAGCAAGUACUUGCCGAAGGUCAUGGGAUUUUGAAAUAUCGAUAUCUUGCUUAUAGAUUGUUUGGUCUUCGAUGCACUUGUUACCUGAAAAGUAAAAAUGUAAAAGAUCAUGAAAAGUCCAAACGAAACAUAAUGGAUGUAUGAUAUGCUCAUGCUUCUAACAUGUGUUGUCCUGGCAUAAAUUAUGUUCCAAAUACCGUCAUUUGCGUGUAAGCCUAUGAACUUAGAGCACGUUUGGUAUGCCGGGUAAGAUUGGAUUUGGUAUUUCAGACUGCUUAGGUUAGGAUUGGAUUGGGUAGGUUAGGUUUUUUGUCUAAUGUUUGGUGUAGACUGUCGCAACAACGCUCGUGAGCCUCCACAUCCAUUGCAAUCUUGCACCACUCUGAUGUCCUGGAGGAGCGAAACAUGGUUACUUGAAGCAUACCUGUUUUCGUAUUAAUACAUGGUUGAAUCAGCUUUCAUUGUCAAUCAGUCUGUAAUAUUUCAACUUCCAUUGAUUUCAGAUAACAAAGCAGAUUCAAGCUGUCAAUGAGGUGUAUAUGCUUCACAAUCUUCCUGAAUUUUACAAGGUUAGCAUUUCGUGUUUUUCAAACUUGAAUCACUUCCUGAACAUAUGACAAUAUAUUGGAGCAAAUGGUUGUGCAUGAAUACUACUCAUUGCUCAGAGGGUGUUGCUGAUCACAGGAUCCGCGUCCUCAUAUUUCGGUAGCUUAGGCAUUGGGUGACAUCAGCAAUUCCCUGAAGAAAGUGGUUGAAGAAGAAAGACGAAGAUCUACCAUCGGAGGAUCGUUACAGAAAUGUAUUUUUACCAGUAAAUUCAAUGGUAUCGAAUGUAGGAUUGGUAAUAAAACACACAAAAUAUGUAAAUUUUCUGAAGAAUAAUGUAGCCAUUUAACUAUAUUGUGAAAUUCCGAGAAUAUAUCGCUGAGCAUUGGAUGAGAAGACAUUUCUUCGUUGGUGUCGAACUUCAUGUUGAAGGUAUUGACACCAGUGUAAACGCCAUCAUCCAUGUUGAUGGUAAUUACUUCCCAGCUACUAAGGGUGUCGGAACAACCUUGCACGCAGCCUCCUGUGCAUUACUUAGUAUUGUCUCAGUUUCUCCAAACUUGAAUGCUCCUGUAAACCCACUUUUGACCUUUCCGUCAUCUGUGAUUACCGGAAUGCUGGCUAGGAUGUUGCCGUUGACCUCCCAAACUUAAAAUACCGGAAAGCCGGCUCCAAUGUAUGCGAGAGCUCCACCUCUAUUGUUGUAACAGCAUCUGAUGCGUACUAGUCCUUUAUUCCCGUUACUCUUUGCCAUCUCCACUUGGAACUUGGCGUAAUGGCUCCCGGCCUCCUCUCCGGUGAAAUUGAGCAACCCCGGAGCUGGCGUGCCAUCAAGAUUUCCGUCAUGUCUGUAGCGAAAGUAUUCGCUGUUGUGGUUUGGUUUCACCACUAUAAAUCUUGGCAGAGUUGGCAUUUUCAUUUCUGUUGUCUGUAUAUCUUGAUAUUACAAGUAUUUGUUGUGCAAUAUGCAUGCUAUGUUCAUGUUAUGCGUAUAUACAUAUAUAAGUGUUUUAACACUUUGCAAACGUUUUCUCCAAAAUUUUGAUUUUGGUGGUGUUCUAACUUUUGUGAAUGCUAAUAACAAUUCCCUCAUUAACUGUUAGGACGAGCAACAAAACAGUUUUGAUUCUGUGCACAAAGGCGAUCCCUCGUAAGAAAUUGAUUCUUCAACAGAAAGAUGUUUUAAAACAAAUUUGAAGGGAAGGAAAUAUUUGAAUCGCAUUCAGAUGUCUGGUCAAAUUCUUGAACAGUUGAUAUACACAGAAGUUCCUUGUUUAUGUCACUACUUAUGAGAGGAUGUACGCAUUGCAUUCGCAUCAAAAGAGAGAGAGAGAGAGAGAGAGAGAGAGAGAGAGAGAGAGAGAGAGAGAGAGAGAGAGAGAGAGAGAGAAGGUUGUCAGUGGUAAGGGAACGAAUAACGAUGGCGUUGCGCUUCUAAUCAAAGGGGUCGAUCCGAGGGUCGUGUUCACUUGCCAUCGCCAUUCCAGUGCAAAGGCAUGUAGGGCACAUUACCUGCCACAUUAAAAACGCGAUGUUAGAUAUACUCGCCAUUUGGAAGUCAACCCUCAAAAUUUGCUACUAAAUUAUCUUAAACUCCAUUUCCAGUCAAUUUUUUUUCUUCCGAAAUGUCUUUCACGUGCUUAGGGAUAGGCAAAUACCCAUUGGUUAUAGGUAAUCGCGGUUACUCGCCCAUUUAAAUUAAACAGUUACGGUUAUGGCUAACUGUUUAGAUAAAUAAACGGUUAUGGGUAUAACCGUUUACCCGUAAAAUUUAAAUGGAUGGUUAUGAGUAUUAACCAUGGUUAUAAACGAGUAACCGUUUACCCAUUUAUUUUAUAUAUGUAAAGCUAACACAAAUCAUGUUCUCCAUCCAAUAAUACUUAGCACCCAAUAAAUUAGCAAGGAAUUCAUCGAUCAUUCUCUCAAUAACACUACUACAUGAAUGAUGAUUCCCAUCAUCAAGGAAUUUGCCAAAUUAAUUUAAAUUCCUUGUGGGUAACCGUGAAAUUGACAGAAAUACUUUAACAAAAAUGUCUUCUAAACAAUUUUUGUAACCCAAUAAUACUUAGCAAAUAUUAUAUUUACCUUCAUUGGUAACAGUUAAAAAUAUCGUCCGUAAACUAUUAUUUCAAUUAUUGGAAUGGUAUAAAGACUUAAAAAAUUAAAAUAUAAAAAUGUAUGACGAAUGUACCUAUAACGGUGUUUAAUUGUCAAAAAAAAAAUUAUGACAAUUUUUUUUAAUUUUCAAGUUGUUAAAAAACAUGUAGACUGGUGAAAAAAAGGUAAUGGUAAAAAGAAAAGAUAAACGGAUUAAAAAUGAUAAAUGGUAUACGGGUAUUAAAUUGUUACGGUUAAAUGGCUAUGCGGUUAUGGGUAUGGUUAACCGUUUAUAAAUGGUUAUGAGUAUGAGUAUAACCAUUUAGGCAAUUACCCAACGGGUAAACGGUUAUGUAGGUAUGAGCAUAAACGGUUAUGGGUAAAUUAACCGCGGUUACCCGCCCGCAUAACCAUCCCUACACGUGCUCGACAAACACAACAGUCACCAAUCAUGUGAAUCAGCUAUUCCUCAAUGUAUAUGAUGAAACAAGUGCAUCCCAGAGGCAGGCACGAAGAGGAAUUUACUAUGCAAUAAACAUUCAAUGGGUACAAUUUUAUGUCUAACCUUUCCCGCUCCUGAGCAAUUUGAACAUCUUUCAGUUUUUGGCAGUGAAAGGGGCUGGUUUCCGCCAUCAACUGUUGAAAUUGGUUCGGUAAGAACAAGGGUUCCAGUGCUGGAGCAACGAGCACAAGCAAGAUAUCCUGCAUAAGUAUCAAAUACACCGGUUAGUUGACAUAUGAAGGAUUGGUUUGGUAUUGCUGUGCUUUGAAAAAAAAACUGCUGUGAGAAUAAGCGGCUGUGCUGUGAAAAUAAGCGGCUGUGAAAUAAAUCAGCAGAGUGUUUGGUAAACUUUUUUGUAAAAGUGUUUUUGGAAAAAAAAAAGUCUAAUAGUGGGUCUUUUCAUUAAAGAAACACUGUAGCUCCAUGUGCUUUGAAAAAAACCAGUUUUCCAAAGCUACAAAUAGCAGCUUCAGCUUUUUCCUUUGAUUUCAGCUUAUUCUCACAGCAGCUUCCAAAAUAAGCCUUUUUUUUUUCAGUUUACCAAACACCUAAAACCCUCACAGCUUUUUUUCAUGGGUGCUUUUUUUUUAAGCACCUCACUCCCAAACUUGGUUUGGUAUUGCUGUGCUUUGAAAAAAAGCUGCUGUGAGAAUAAGCGGCUGUGAAAUAAAUCAGCUAAGUGUUUGGUAAAUUUUUUUGUAAAAGUGUUUUUGGAAAAAAACAGUCUGAUAGUGGGUCUUUUCAUUAAAGAAGCACUGUAACUCCGUGUGCUUUGAAAAAAAACCAAUUUUCCAAAGCUACAAAUAGCAGCAUCAGCUUUUUCCUUUGAUUUCAGCUUAUUCUCACAGCAGCUUCUAAAAUAAGCCUUUUUUUUUUCAGUUUACCAAACACCUAAAACUCUCAUAGUUUUUUUUCAUGAGUGCUUUUUUUUUAAGCACCUCACUCCCAAACUAGGUCAACCAAUCCAAACAUCUCCAUCGUAUAUAUUUAAAGCUACGGUACAUAUGACUAAAAGUGAGAAACAUAGGACAUUAUCACACCAGUUCCAAGACAAUAUUUGCAUCGCUUAUGCUCCUGCUGUUUCACAUUGCUUAUUUCAACUACCAUCAAUGCUGAGAUCACUCCGACUGCUCCUCCAGAGAACGAUGCCACUAUGGGAUCAACUUGACUGCAGAUUGAAAGUAUAUGAGAUCAAUAAACGAAACUGAUAACAAUGUAGUAUUAACAUUAUUUAGCUCCAUGUCAAGAUAGACAACACAUCCUAGAUUUUUCUAAUGUGUAAAAUUUGAGGACCCUCGUAAAAUUUGACCACAUCGGUUCCCAAAGUAAAAUUUAGUACCUUUGGUUCCUACAUUACAGACCGAAAAUAGUAACUACCGAAUUUAAAGUUCAUAUCAAGAUAGAGGAUACAAAAUUUCGAAACGAUAAUUGCUAGAGAACAGGAGGGUUAAUAGCCCGAGAUAUGAGCCAUACCUCAACUGCAACGGCAGAUGCAUAUUUACUAUAAAAUCUUUAUACGAUGUGCCUCCUAUUCCCAGCUUCAACUCCAACUGAAAGAUGUAAACGUAAUUGUCGGCAGAGAGUUAGAAACAUAACCGAAUCCAUGUUUUAUAAGCAGAAAGUACACUUAUUUGACAUGCUUCCUCAUUUUUUUACUUGCAAAUUCAAAACCGUAUUGUCAGACCAGUAAAAUAAAAUAAUGUUUACUAAUAACUGUUAAAACUAAUCACAACAAGUUAAUGCAUAAAGAACUUACGGAGGGUGCUAUGAGGCCACCGAAAAGGAUAAACCCCGCAAUAAUUGAAUAACAUACAGCAUAAUACUGCUUAAGGUUGUCUGAACUCUGCAAGCAAUGCAUUCACCUUGUGAUUAAUACUUUUGCACAAACACUAGUUUUCGCAAUUUUUUAUGAACCGACAAAAGGCUACAACAAAAUAUGGCUAAAACAUGUCGGGGAUAUGAAAAUACAUGUCUUCACAGGGGCAGCAGCUUACCAGGGGAGGCAAAAAUGGAAUGAAUGAUGGAAAACUUGAUCUUCAUUUACCGCUCCAAGCUCUGCGCGUUUAAUCCGUUUAAUCCGCUGUUGUAUCCUCAGCCUGCGAACCUACGCAUAUCGAAGCUCAUUCUUAAAGAACACAUUUCUAAGGGCAAUUGGAGAGUAAUUUGAAACAUGCUAAACUGAGAAAGUGGCAGCAACUAGCAAUUGCUCUCACCUCCUCCGUAUGCAAGAAAAUUUUGUUGCGCCGACUCCGAAUAUUAUCUUGAAUUUCCUGCAGCUCCAUUGUCGCAAAGUCCUGCACUGUUUCAGGCCCCUCUAUGAUACAAAAUCUGCACAAUUAAGCAUGUAACAACUAAAACUUACAGGCUACAAAGCAAUUUCCGUAUCAUUUUUGGGUUAAUUAACAUCAACAGCAGAUAAAUCACAUGAGUUUUUCACAUGAAGUUACAAACCUUCAGAGACCAGUAAGCUCUCUGCAAUCUCAUAAAUUUCACUGUGCAAAGUAACAAUCCAAAGCUUGGAACUUUAAAUUUCCAUUUUCUGUUAUUUUCCUAGAGAGAGAGGGGGGAGUACCCGGCGGGGUUUGUAUCGGCGGCGGGUUUAGGAUCAGAAUCGACAGACGGAGCGAACGAGGAGGAGUCGGGCUCCGAAGCCAUGGCCAGGGAUCGCCAUCUGGAGCUGCUUGUUGAUAUGGGGCUUCUUGCGUAGCUGAAUUUGGAGCAGCGGAAGCUAUGCAGUUUGUACGGACCGCACCGAUUUACGGGGAAAGAAACGGCCAAAAGUCUGCCGGAGCAGAGCAUCUCUCUCUCUCUCUCUCUCAAACCAGAAGGCAGAGCUUUCUGUUUCUCUUGAGGUUUCUUUCACUGGUAAAUUCCAGACAAGCAGAGAAGGCGGCUCUCUGAGAAAUGGCGAUGGUGCAAGUGGAGACAAAACAAAUGUAAAUCUUGAAGCACCGAACAUGUGCAGAACACUUGUCAACUACCGAACUCUAGGAUUAGGAGAGAGAGAGAGAGAGCGAGUGACCGGCCAAAAAAAAAUGGAGGGAAGUGGCUGAUUCUUCUUUUUAGUGGACCUGGUGUCCUUCGAUUCGAGUACUAUGUCAUAUUUAAAAUUUAGGGUUAAUUUUGUUUAAGUUUCUUAGUUUUCAACAUUUAGUACAUAAAGUUUUUUUCAUCUCAGAGUGGUACAUAAAGUCAUAAUUUUGAGACAGUCUAAUACAUCCGUUAAGGUUGCUGUUAAAUCAACCGUUAAAUAGUGACGUGGCGUCUAGGUGGAUAUUGACUGGACGACACGUAUCAUUAUGGGUCCAUGUGGAUAUUAAAAAAUUAAAAAAAAAAAAUUAAUGGGCCGUUCAACCCCUCCUCCCUCGACCCCCUCCCUUCUCUCCUCUGCACCCACCCUCCCCACGUCUGCAACCCAUCCCCACGUCGUCAUCUUCUUCUUUGCCCAGAUCCCGCAAGAAUCUUCUUCGUCGCCGACAACUCAGCCACCAUCUCCAUCUCCGCCUUCCCCUCCUCCGAACCCGACUCCUACCCACUUCCAGUUCCAAUUCACCCUCUCCCAAUUUGCCCACUUCUUGUCCGAUUUUCGCGCCACUAUUGAACCCGAGCCCGACCCACAAAGAUGCUUAGAUUCUGAAAAAGAGAUGACACAAAUGCAAGAAAUGGAAAGCAGUGUGGUUUAGAGGUUAGAAACUGAGCAAUUUUUGGAUUGCUUUUUGGUUUGAUCAAUUUAAAGAAAUGAAAUUCUGAGUCGAAUUUCUUGUUCGUUAUAUUCGAUCUCCGCUUGAGAAUUUUAAACUUAAUAAUUGCAAAUCAAGAUACAAAAUUGACAUGAAUUUCGAAUUGGGGUUUUGGGAAAUUUGAGAAGUUCUUGGCGAUUCAUAAGAAACUUCAACUCCCAAUCGUUUCUUCUCGCUCACAACCCGAGAUUAAUAAUUUUAAAGUUUGAGCUUGAAUGUUCUUUGUAAUUAAAGAACAGAUGUGCAUCCCUCUGAAUGGCAAGAGGGUGAAUAGGAAGCGAAAAUCGGUGUGUGGCAAAUCGGAGAGGGUUAGGGAAAAAGUUUAGAGUCGGGUUCGGAUGAGGGGAGGGCGGGGUUAUAUUUUUUGUCGAGGCGAAGAAGAUUCUGCGGGAUCUGGGCGAAGGAAGAUUGACAUGGAGGGUGGGUGCACAGGAGAUAAGGGAGGGGGUCAAGGGAGGAGGGUGAACGGCCCAAUUUUUUUUUUUUUUUGGGUCAUUUGGACCAUCUCACUCAUCACCUAAGACGCCACGAUCUAAUAUUAAUUCCGGUUGACUUUGUAAAUUGGAUGUAUUAAUUAACAAACAUAGAUUAGGACAUUGAUGAUUUAAAAUUUGGGGUUUUGUUCUUCAGAAAUUUGGUCGAAAUAAGAAAUUCCCUAAAAGUUCAAUUCAGAAGAGUUACUUGCCUUACAAACAUUUUUUAAAUACUUACUAAGAAAAAGAUUUUUGUGGGUGGGUACAGUAUGGGGUUUAACUCAUUGUGUUUUAGUUUAAAUCUUUUUCUCUCUUCUUUAAUAAUAUUUAGUAUAUUAUCAAUUCGUAAUAAAAAAAUUUUGAUUAAAAACUCUCAUCUAUAUUCUAGCCAAUGGAAAAAAAUGAAUAGUGAUUUUGAUGUUGCUUUAACAAAAUAUUUUUUAAAAACAAUGGACGGCUUUCAACAAAAAAUUUGAGUAAGAGGGGUUUUGCCUUAAGUAAUUUUUGAAAUUGAAUUCAUGGUGGUUUUUUGAUUUUAUUAAAUUAGUCCCUCCCAGCAAAAAUGUGAUCAAUUUCUCUAUAAAAGAAAUAUAAGAUAUAAAUGAGAUAAUAAAGGGGUCAUUAAUAAAGAGUUGAUGAUUGUUUUUUUUUUUUUACAAUUCACACUAAGGGGGAAUAAUUGAUUUCUUUGUUGGUGUUCAAAAGCUUUUAAAUUUAUCUCUUUAAAAUAGUUUUAAUAAUCUUUUAAUGUGUUUAGUUGCCAAAAUUUUAUUUUUUUAGCAAUGAUAUUAUCUCAAUUUGAUUGGGCUUAAAUUUCUCUUAUUUUUCAUUAAUUUUCAUAUUCAAAACAUCUUAAAUGUCGUAAAUGCCGAUCAAAUAACUCUUUUCUUUUUAAUUAAUUAAUCUAAAAUUAAGUAAAAAUGAAAUUAUUACAGAGAUUUUCGAAAACCAAAUUUACAUUAUUGAUUUUUUUAACCUUUUUACAAACAAUAUAUCUAGUCUUUUUGUUUUACAAAGUAAUAUUGAAUUUUUUCACAAGAAGGCUAACAUAUCACAUUCAUUGAUUCAUGAUCAAUAUUUAAAAGUCAAAAAAAUAUUAGUAACCAUUCUCUAUUUUAACACAAUGUUCCAAGAAACAAUCUAGGGAUUAUCGGAUUUAAUGACCAAGAGGUUGGAAUUUUCCCCGUAAAUAAAUGAAUUGUUAACAACAAACAUAAAAAACAAAGCAAUAAAGAAUUCAGAUAGUGAAUACCUACUAAACCAUGUGAACACAAGCAAAAUACUUCAGAAUCACAUGUUGUCGAAAAAAUACGACUAUUUCUAAUCAGAAUUACAAUAUACCACGUUUUGCCCAUCACAUAAAAUCCAAAAACUAGUUAGGGAGCUCAAAAAGGGAGCGGGUUUGGAAACCACUGAUACACGAAGUAAAGAGGUGGUACUGUUUUGGUAAAACACAAAAGGUGCGAAACAAAGUAAACAAAACGGAAGGAAGAUGUUAUAGUCAUUCUCAGCAACAAAAUUCGAGCUUGUUGUCGAAAUCACAACAGGAGACAAUUUCGAUUAACAGCCUUUCCUGCCAAACUCAAUUUCCAAAAUCCUACAUCACAUCAUAAAUCCAUUGUUUCAUUCCCACGCACAAUCCCUACCCACUGCACAGGAGAACAAUUGUUUCUGCAAAGAAAAAACAGUUAACAAAAAACGGCAUGCAUAUCGCAAAAUCGGGAUAGGAAGCAGAAGCUUUCCUUGUUUUCCUUAAACACCAAGCUCUACAUUCCAAAAAGAACAUGAAAAAAUAAAAUUAAAUAAAGAGCCUUUCCUGCUUAUUUUGAAUUAAGGCGGGGAGGUCGAGACACGGCUGGUGUAUUUUUGUUUUUUUAAUUGUCAAACUGCCCAGGACACGCUGGGCAUUUUUUUUUUUGUUUAAACCUGGGCCCAAAACGACGCGUUUGCCAUUUAAAAAAAAAUUCCUUGGGUCAUUUACCAAUUCCUUUUUUCAAAAAAAAAUAACUGGCCCAGCGCCUUCGUCUUCUACAAAGGCACAAAAGCCCAAAAACCCCGACGAACCUUCCGUUUCACAGUUGGUGUGAGCGAACGGUGGUCGCACCAGGGGUCGCACCACCAGUCCAAGGGUCUUAAAGUUGCUUCAUGCUCUCCAAGGUCCGCGACGUGGUUGCGCACCCCAAUUGAACCGCACAGGAUCCGAAUGGCUUCUUCCCAUACAUGCCAUCGAAAUUCAGCAAAAGCAAUAACCAGCGAUUUCUUCUGGAGAAUUUAAGCCACCCCAUUGGACCAACAAUUCAAUCAAAAGAAACCAGUAACCAAGUUCAAUUGAGUUUAGAAGCAUUUACAAUGUUCCCACGGAUGUUCAUCACUUUACCCAAUAGUUCGUUUCAAGAAGGAAAUUCCAGCAGAACUGAAACUUCAAAACUUCAGAAGGCACCAAAUUUUUGAAGUAAAUUCAUUUCAAGUUGAAAUAAUCAACUUAGGUGAGGACCCAUAAAAUUAGGAGGAACAUGAAAGAAAGCUUUAUCUUUUUCCUCUAAACUCAGGCGUUACUAAACAAACGGACAUUCACAUCCCCACCAGAUGCAUUUCCUUUCACAUCUUCCCAAGUAAAUCAGUACCUUCUUUCGUCUGAAUCUUAAGUCUGAAUUCUGGAAGUGAAAAUACUGGAAAAAAGUGGGCCUUUAUAAAAGAAUACCUCACGUUUUAGUCAAUGUAUCAGCGCACUAAGAGGACCAGAGGCAGGAGUGAACGACAGCAAACAAUUCAUGUAAUAUUCAGUCGAGUUUUGGGUGAUUUCUGCAGCGAUUUCGGAGGCCAAGAGCCUGAUAAGAAAGCUGGGACGGAAGGGCAGUGGUCUGGAAGAAAAGGCUCGGGUCACACUGUCGCGAUUCGCGAAGGAGAAGUGGCCCAAUACAAUUUCGGCCUGUUUGCACUGGACUGUUUUGCACAGGGCCAAGGCCGACCCUGAACCAGAUAAAGCUUCUCCAAACAGUAUAUAUCAGGUGCUAGAAAUUCUAUAGAACCAUUCAAUCUUAGAGCAACAGCUUAGCAUUAGUUGGUACAAAAAGAUUUCCGAUUAUCGCUUUUAUUUAUUCCUCCUCUGAUGUGUCCUUUUAGACUGCAACAGACGAUUUAAAGAAAUGAAAGUUAGCAGAAUAAAUGGCGCACAAAGGGAUUUAAAAUCCUGACAUGUGUAUUUUUGGCAGAUUUAUGUGAGCAUGCAACUAAAACUGGCAUCACUAUCAAUGGUGCACGAAGAUUGGCGGAAAAACGUAAAGGGAAGCAAUCACAACACAAAAUGUACGACGUAAUCUGUCCACAUGUUGGAAGGAGCUAUGAAAGUAUGGCUUUUCACUAAUCAGGCGUCCAGAGAAUCAAUAUUUUACUCACGGAUCAGUUACGGAGAACAAUCCCCACCAAAGCAAUCUCAAUAGUCCUCCACAUCUCAAACCAAACAGAAAUCGCACUAACAAACACGACUUCUAUACUAUUAGUCCUUCCCAUCUCAAAUCUAGUAAGUAACCCAUCUUUCGUCUGAAUCUGGAAAACAAGCAGCAGUGGAUUUAAAAAUCUGGGUAUCUCAAAGUUACUCACUUUAAUCACAAAUUUAACAAUUAAACAUAUAAAUGGGCAUUUUUAGUGAAAUAUUAGUGUAGUACUCACUGUGUGCUAGGAGCAAGAGUACCCAGAAAGCUCAAUGAGCUGCGCACAGAGGACUGCAGCGGUGAACGAUAGCGACCAAUUCUGUAAAAUUCAGUCGAGUUUUGGGCAAUUUCUGCAGCAAUUUCGGAGGUCAAGAGGCUGAUAAGGAAAGCUGCGACCAAAGGGCACUGGUCUGGAAGAAAGGCUCUGGUCACCGCUGUCGCGAUUCGCAAAGGAAGAAGUGCCCCAAAACAAUUUUGGCCCUGGGCAGGUGCACUGUUUGCACUGGGACAGGGCCGGCCCUGAAUCGCGAUAACGUCCUUCUCCAAACAGUAUAUAUACAGAUGCUAGAAAUAUCUACCAGAACCAUUCAAUUCUAGCGUCUACAGCUUUAGCAUCAGCUGGUACAAGGGACAUUCUUCCAUAGAGGGAGAUGAAAUCGUUGAGGCUCUUAUUUAUUCCUCCUCUUGAUGUGCCCUUUUAGACUGCUAAUUCCAGACGAUACAAUCUCAUGCAUCUUCCCUGAAAAAGGGUUGCCACACAUCGAGAUCAAAUUUUUCCAAUAAAAUUAACUUAAAAAUCAAACUCGUUAGCAGAAUAAAUGGUGCACAAAGGGAUUUAAAAUCUAGACAUAUGUGUAUUUUUGGCAGAUUUUAAGUGAGCAUGCAACUAAAACUGGCAUCACUAUAAAUGGUGGACAAAGAUUGGCGGAAAAACAUAAAGGGAAGCAAUCACAAAGCAAAAUGUACUAAGUAAUCUGUCCACAUAUUGGGAAAAAUUUUUAACAGUUUGAUUUGUAACUUCUCCAUUGUAUUAGUUAAAGACAAGACGGUGUCAACCAUGCAAUUUGCUGAUGAUUUUACUGAUGAAUGCAGAGUUAGCUGAUGAUACGACAAGCAAUUGAAAAUCCCAUCAUUAUACCCCACAUAUACCAAAAAAGCAAGUCAUUUGCACAAAUUCAGAAGGUUCAUCCACUGCAAUUUGCAGAUAUAGAAAUGUUAAGAUAAAUGGAAAUACAAAGUACCUUUCACCCAAAUUGGAGGAACACCGGUGGCAUUAGCAAGUUAGCAUCGGGAAUUGACAUUACCAGUAUCUUCACAGUUUCUGCGGUGGAGUUAUGUACCUCUCCUUGGAAAAUGCCACCAAAGCCGCCGCAACGCGGUGUAGUGUCCGAUUGAUUGCUUCAAAACAAAGCUUCGUAUCCAUGUGUUUAAUCAGCACAGAGUACCCAAAACCCCUGAAAAUUAUUUCUUUAUUCAGACAAUAAAAUUUCCCAAAUUUCGAAUUUUAAUUCCAAAUCAAAAAUAGGGUUUGAAUUUUGAUUACCUAGAAAUUGGGGGGUUGGGGUGGAGAGGGACCCGGGCCAGGACGGAGCUAUGUGUAUAUGCUAAGGCGUGCCAAAUUACAUAGAGUGUCAGGAAUGUGUACAAGUCUUUUGCAAUUUAUCAGACUUAAAACCUGAAGCCCCGUAAGGCGUUCAAUCCAGGGGGAAAGCUCUUUGAUAGAUGUUCCACCCAAGAAAAGCAUUCUUAAUCCUUCCAUAUUUUCUUCAAUGCUUGGAAACACCUCAAAUUUUGUACAAUUGUAAAGAGAGAGACGGUAAAAGGAUUUGAGUUGACAAAUGCUGCUUGGAAGACUCUCAAGUUCCUUGCAAUUCAUCAUAAGCAAACACCUCAAUCCCGUGAGAUUAUUAAUUGACAGGGGUAGUUCUUUAAUUUUUGACCCAGAUAAAUCAAGCUCUUCUAACCCCUCAAUAACUUCUGAAAUCUCUGGAAACAUCACAAGACUCGAGCAACCAGAAAGAUCAAGGGUUUUGAGAGAUUUCAUACGAAUGCUGCUUGGAAGACUCUCAAGUUCCUUGCAAUUGUUUAGGUCCAAAUAACUCAACCUCGUGAGAUUAUUAAUUGACAGGGGUAGUUCUUUAAUUUUUGACCUGGAUAAAUCAAGCGCUUCUAACCCCUCAAUCACUUCUGAAAUCUCUGGAAACAUCUCAAGACUGGAGCAGCCAGAAAGAUCAAAGGUUUUGAGAGAUCUCAUACAAACUUUGCUGGGUAGAAUCUUAAGUUCCAUGCAUUUUGAUAGGUUCAAAUGACUCAACCCCGUGAGAUUAUUAAUUGACAGGGGCAGUUCUUUAAUUCUUGACCCGGAUAAAUCAAGCUUUUCUAACCCCUCAAUCACUUCUGAAAUCUCCGGAAACAUCUCAAGACUCCGGCAGCCAAAAAGACCAAAGGUUUUGAGAGAUCUCAUACAAACUUUGCUGGGUAGAAUCUUAAGUUGCCCGCACAAACUCAGAUCCAAUAAAACAAUUUUUGUAAGAGCCAAAAUCGACCCGUGAACCUCAACUAAGCGUGUACAACCUUGAACAAUUAGCCUCUCAAGAUUUGGCACAUUUGUGAAGUCAGGGGUUAUCUCAAGGUUAUGACAAUGACUUAAAUUGAUGAAUUUCAACUUUUCCUGCGUCUGUUAAAACAUUCAGGAAAACAUGCAUUACUUAAUAAGACAUCUCACUCAAAGCCCAAACAUUUAAAAGAAACAAAUACAUGUAAAUGAUUGUACAUACCUGGGUUCCUUCCCAAAGUCGGUCAAUGAGGCUAUAUUGCAUGUCAAGUCCAACAAGAUUUUCGAAUUGAAAGUUGGAUGGCAAAGACUUGAGAGGGUAUCCAGACCAGGAAAGACACCUCAACUCACUAGAAACAAACUUUAAGGGCCCAGUCAGGUGUUGUAUGCCGUGAGCACUGAUCUUGAGAAGUCUUAGUUUAGUCAUCCUAUCAAAAGCUUCAACCAUUAAGCAUCCCUCAUCUGAGUUCCACGAAUCGAGGAUUAUGCUUUCGACUGUUUCUGUACCCUGUGCAAAUCAAAGGGAAGGAAAAAGCAGAGAACCUUAGUUUAGAUUAUGAAGUUAAUGCUUGUUUCUUAAGGAGUUGUUUGAUAAUAAUUUUGUUUUCACUUUUCACUUUUGUUUUGAUUAUUUAUUUAGAAAUCUGAAAAUUGAAAACAUAUAACUUGUUUGUAAUUGUUUUCAAUUUUCAAUUUUCAAUUAUUAAAAAAAUGAAAAUUAAAAAUUAAAAAUGGAAACAAAAGUGGUUAUCAAACGAGCUUAAGAAAUUGAUUUUGGUCAAAAGUUGAAGCUUUCUACUAAACAUUGCAUAAGAAAAGAAAUUAUCACCGUAUUUUUAGUUAUCACAUGAAAAACAUCUUCAUAACUCCACAACCUACUUCGUCUCCCAGGCUCUUUGAUAGAUUCUUGGUAGACGAUUUUCUGACCCAUUUCCUCUAGUAAAUCAUGCAUCUCCAGUUCCCCCUUCGUUGAGACAGUUACUAGAGCUCGAUCGAUUAGAACUUUUAUUCCAAUAUCAGGAUAGAAACCACAGCUGUGCAGAACUUCGGUUGCACAGUCUUCUCUCAUUCCUUUAAAGUAACAUGCAAUAUCUAGAAAGAUAUCCUUCUCCAUGUCAUCUAGUCCAUCGAAGCUUGUUUUAAGCACAUCAUGAAUUCCCUUUUGCGGGAUUUUCUUUAUUUUUUCUAACUCAUUUUCCCACUGGCGUACAUUUUUGUUAUAAAGAAAAGCUCCCAAGACUUUGAGUGCUAAAGGCAGACCUCGAGCAUAUUUUACGGCACGACGGGAGAGAUCAUCAUAAUCUCUGGUGGGUUGGUUUUUUCUGAAGGCGUACCGCCUAAAGAGUUCCAGAGCUCCAGAAUCACUCAAAAUCUGGGGAUUAUAUAUCUCACCAGCUAUGCUUAGUAAUUGCGAAUCUCUGGUUGUUAUAAUAAUUCUGCUUCCACCACCAAAGGAAUGUGGCUCUCCAAGUAAAGCUUCAAUAUGUUCUAAUUCUUCCACAUCAUCAACAACAAUAAGAACUUUUCUCCGACCUAGACUAUUUAACAUCACCUGGAAACCUUUAUUCGAAACGUCGGAACUCCCCACCCUGUUGUUCGAGAUACUCGAUAGAAGUUCUGCCUGCAUAUGUAGUUUGCCAUGCUUCAUGAAACCUUCCUUGAAAUUUUCAAGAAAGCAACAAGCUUUAAAUCCACCAGAGAUUUCAUUAUAAACAGCUCUCUAGCGAUGGAUGUGUUUUUUGCCUAAACCCACACCCAUACCCCCAUAUUCCAACAAUGCGAACAUCAUAUUAGUUUCAACUCCAGGAGGAUGCAGUAAUGAAUGCAUGUUAUGCAUAUGAGAGUCCAUUUCAACCAAGCCAUUAUAUUUGCUUGAUGAUGAUGAGAUGUAUCGCCGACCCCACUUAGUGGGAAAAGGCUUUGUUGUUGUUGUUGUUGUUGAUGAUGAUGAGAUGUGGAUCAAUUUCUUAAAAACAUCUUCUACAAUUUUCUCAAUAAGCUCUGCAUCAUCCCUGUCAAAUUUAAAACACAAUAUAAUUACAACACCAAAUGAUACUUAAUGGGUCGUUUUGAUUACAAUUUCGUUUGCAAUUUUUUUUAAAUCUAGAUUUUAAGUUUGCAGAUUUUGUUUUCAGUUUUUAGUUUCAAUGAAAGUAGUUAUUAAACAAGUUUUCCAAUUUUUCUUUCAUGGUAUACAGUACGUAGUCCCAAAUAUCAGUAGUUAGAUCUUGCAUUUAGAUCUAAUGGGUAUUUACAACCUUUUUUCCUGAGAAUUUUGUACCAUUGUAGCCAGAUCACAUGUUUUCAUCCGUUAGUUUUAUAAAAAUGGAAACUACAAAAAAAAAAAAAAAAAAAUAUAUAUAUAUAUAUAUAUAUAUCAAAUGGCCCCUAAAUGCUAUUAAAAAUCUCAAAAAUUAACAGGAAACUAAAACAAAUUAGAAUUUAUUCAUGGUUUCGCAAAUCCCAGCCGGAUAAACUGGUGGCCGUUGUAAGAGAGAGGACCUCCAGCCGGAUAAACAUUUUCGAGUUAUUUGAUAUUUGUAUAGUAAAAAUACUUUAAUAGCAAGUGCGCGUGAGUGAAGAAAUUGAACUUACUUAUAUAUUCUUCGAAUCCCAACCGGAAAAAUUGCAGGCUCUGGGAAGAGCGGACCUCCAGCUCUGCACCUCCUUCACGUCACGUUACGAAGAACGACUUCAUGUUUAGCAAAAGCUUCUGCAAAACUUCCCUCGAGUUUACGUUUUACGAAUAUUGGACGGAUCGACUUGGUAGAAAAUGGGGAAUACAAUCUGGUUCUUGGAAUGGUUGCAUUCCAAGAUUUCCACGAGAGUUCUUUCAAGCACCAUGUGGAUGAAGCAUAGUUUUGAGAGAAACUACACUACAAUCGAAAUCCUUGACUCUCUCGAAUCGCUGUCAGGAGCUCGAAAAGGCGGUCGCCUUUUUCUGAGGUCUUCAAUGAUGGCAUCAAUGAAGGUGUUUCUGAUUGUUUCUAGAUUUGUAGAGAUGCUCUUUGUAGAGAUGGCCUGACGAGAACCGCGAGUGUCUUUCCCCUCUAAAAAAACUGAUGAACACAUCUCGUCCCAACCAAGGCAAGAAGAAGAAGAAGAAGCAAGCCAUUAAUCGAUCUCACCUGGGCAGCGAUGAUCUCAGAGCAGCUAAGACUAAGCAAGAAUUGUAAGUACAGAACACUCAAUAGAUCUACAAAUUGGAUCCAGAAAUUAGUCAAUGAGUCAAUGCAAAAGGGAAAAGGGCAAUUAUGCUUUUUGCGUUUUCACAUCUUUCUUCAGGAAAUUUCGGUGUGAAAGGAAUCCGCAUACUUUUGAUUUUUCAACCCAAGAAAAUGCGAAGAAGAAGGGUACAAAGUAGUAAAUUUAAUCUACAGUUGCCUACCCAACACAACUCUCUUGAUUAAUAAUAUAUAUUUAAUUGGGAAAAGUAGUUUAGAGGAAGGAUGUUUUAUCUCCUUUUUCUUCUCUCUCGAACAGUCAAUCUUCCGUUCCCGUGCGAUUUAAUCAUGAUUAAAGCUAAGCUUAAUCUUAGGUCGUAUUAUUUAGGUCUAAUUGGAUUCUUAAUUCUUGUUGUGAUAUAGUAGUUCGAAGAUUAAAAAAAAUUAUGAUUUAAACGUUUGUGGUGAAAUCUGUUACGAUUUAGAUUCAAAAUUGAAAAUUUCGUUAACUCCAUUAAUUGUUAGCACAUGAAGAAACACUCACAAAUGAAACUAAAAAUAAUAAAGUUAGCCCUCACAUGUAAUCUUCACGUGCUAACAAUGAAAAGAAAGUUCCGUUUUAGCUUAAUAUAUGUGACUCACGUGUUAAUAAUUAACGGAAUAUUAACAAAAAAAUUUAUUUUAAGCAUAAAUUCAAAUAAACUUCACCACAUAAGCUUAAAUUCUAAUUUAGAUAUCUUCUAACUAUCUUAUCACCAUAAAAAUUAUAAUCAAAUUAAACUUAUUAUUUAUUUAUAAAUGCGUAACUAAAUCACAAAGUGUUGAAUGAAAGGGAGCACUCCAAAUGAUGAAAGGGGUAUGAUAUCCACACAUCUUUUUUUUUACUUCUUACACAUCGUUUUAAUUUUCGACCGUCGGAUCAAAUUAAUUGAAGAAUAUCAAAGGAUAAAAAUCAACAAAGGGUGUGUAAGAAGUAAAAAUGAGUGUGUGGAUAGCCAUCCAUGAUGCCAAAAUGAAGCAAAAAGCGGGAGCAUCGAAAGCUAUCUCCGUUUUGUUGUUCUAGCUUUGUCUUCUUUUGGCAGAUAGCUCCUAGGGACCGGCCUAUUUUCCACAGCUGGUUAUAGACUCAGUUGUGCUAUAUAGAAGGGAGUGUUUUGUUGUAAUUCCAAUAUCGAUGGAAAUCCAACAGCCAAAAUCUUUUCAAAUUUUUGUGAGGAUUUUGGGGUGUACGUAAAUUGAUUAUGUUUAUCGUAUAUUGUGUGAUCAUUUUUUAUCAAAUAUUAUUUGUGUUUCAUUUUAAAUAAAAUAAUUUAAAAUAAUUUUUAACUACAAGAUGUACGAUGAACAGAUAUAAUUCACAAAUCUCCAAAAUCCUUACAAAAAAAUCCGAAAAAGAUCCAAAUUCAAUGGAAAUAAGCUAAUUUUGAAUCAAAUUACAUUACUUUAUUUUGUAAAUAAAUUUAAUUUUGAAUUGAACAACACAUUCAUUUAUUAUGUAAGUAAUUCAUUUUGUAUGUAUCAUCAUAUAUAUUAGGCACAUUUUAUCAUAGGUGAUUUUGUGAAAAAUUAAUAAAAAGUUACAAUAUUAACAAUAGAUCAAUAAUAUUUAUGUUAAUUAUAAAUAGGUUAACCAUGUAUUGUGAUACUUAAAUACAUUUAAAAUAAAUAAAAAUUACAAAAUCUACUACUACAGCUAGCAUUCACUUCAACUAAAACUCUCUUCCACGUAGUUUUUAUAUUUGGAAUAAGUCAUACGAAUCAGAGACAUGAAGAGGUGUAAGAACUGUGAAUGUCCAACAACAAAGACUUCGGAGUUUGUUGUCGAAUAUCUGCAGCGCAUCAUUUCUGAUAGAUCAAAUCGAGCCAAUUCCCGCAAACUCCAAUCCCACCACCACCUUUCAAGCCGGCCUCAGCCCUCCGGGCGGCAUUUGGCAGGACAGCACUGGAUCAAACAAGAAUGGGACUGGCAGUGGGAGCAAUGAACGAGUACACUCAGCAGGGAAGUCCAUCAUGCGUUAAGGCAAAUGGUUCUCAAACACAAAGCAAUAGUUCGCUACCGAAAACAACCAAAGUCUGACAAAGGGAACCGUCUUACACCUAACCUGUUUUUCCCUCAUCAAAUGAGCGCGUUGAUCUGCAGAUAUUUUCUGCCAUCUCAAAACCUGUUACAAAGAAAUAUAACGUUGAUGUCGAGCUGGAUAGCAUAUUAUACCAAUUAUGUGUACAAACCUAUUGAAAUAAAGUAGCUGUAGUUGCAUAUUACGACAGAUAUUAACGAAAACAAAAGAAGGCUCGCCUAUUCAAGAUCCUAAAUCCCAUGAUUCUUUUGUUUUUAGUUUCAGAAAUUUUCAGAGCACAAACUGGAAAGUACCAAGAUACUUACAUAUUGGGCAUAAUGAAAUGCAUCUUCAUCUUUCAAGCAAGAUUUGAGUGAGCGCAAACCGUCCUGAGAGUUACAUAGAGUCAAUCGGUAAUAUAAAAACGUAGAUGCAUCACACCCAAACACAAGUAUUCAAACACCGACAACUUCUUCAUGCGGUGAGGCAUGUUAAAAAAUAGGGAAGAACAGUUAUUGAAUAGGAAGUUAAAGGACUAAAUUUAUGACCUUGUGUUUGUAGUUCUUGGCUCGUAUGCGUUCAUCUAUUACAAAACCAAUCUGUAACAGGUACAACAGAAAAUAUAAGCAGUAGUCAGAACAUUAAGCAUCGGCAUUCACAUUGCCGCCAAUCCAAAGUUAAAAGUCUAAAGGCAAAACAGUAUGAUUCUUAUCUCUCAAACAAAAAUGAAACUAUACCCCAGACAUAAAUGAAAUAAGUUCUACUGCCUCAACUGAGUACUGUGAUUAUAUAUAAAUCCAAUUCACCUUGUCAAGUAAUCUCUUAGGAUCUUGAAAUGCUUGCUUCUUAGCCCAGUCAUUAAAUACAUGCGAGAUAAUCGAUCUCUCAUCCACACUGAAUCUAUUGUACAGUGACAGAAUAAUAAAGUUAAACAUGAACAUAACCAACCAAAAAUGCUAGUUAUAAUAGUACACCCAUAAUUGCAAGCAAAACCUUUUUAAGAAGCCAUUUCCAUGGUUUUCCUCCCCAAAUUCCAUCAAUUCUGCAGAGGCAACGUCAAAUUUACUAUGAUGGAGAUCAUUUUGAACCAUAACAACUUCAGAAGGUAGGAGAUUUGGUUUGAGAUCAUCUGUUGACGGAGUAGUUUCUUUUGAAGGGUCAUGAUGCUUUGAUUGCAAGCCUUCUGUACUUACGUCAGCCUACAAAACAAAAAUUGCAUUCAACCCACACUAGACUUAAUAAGAUUAGAAACACUUCAGAUUCUUCAUUAUUUGUAAGUUUGACUAAACAGCAGAACAACUGAGGAUAAUGAACAGUAAUACACACCUGGACUUCUCGUAGAGAUUUGGAAUUUCUUUCAGAAAUCGCGAAGGUUGAAGCAUCUGAAGGAGUCACCUUCUCAGUCAGAGCAACAACAACAAAUAAGGAGGACAGGAAUUCAAGCUAAAACGUACCUGCCAACUGGAAUCCAUCGUAACAUAAAGAAUGAAAAGCUUUUUUCGAGCACGAGUCAUUGCAACAUAUAAUAGGCGUCUUUCCUCCUAUGAUUAGAGUGGGAUUAUUGAGUUAUUGACCAAAAGAAAAAAGAGUGGGAUUAUUGUGAAAAACACUUCAAAGCUCUGCAUAUAACUGAAAAAUGUUGAACAAUUUACCCCACACCUCAAUGGAGGUCCCAUUUUCUUUUGCAACGCCAUUGAAUUCAUGCAACAACGGGAUCUCAGAUUCAUUUACCUGUGUUAUUGGCAUGAGCAUUAAAGCAAGCUAAGAUGAUUUGAAGAGGUUGAUAUCGUCAUGAUUAUAGUAGAACAGAAUACCAAUUUCAAGUCAUCAAUUAGGUAUAGCAUUGGCAUGUUUAAUCAGUAAAUCUAAUGACAGAACACCUCAACUCUACACAUAAAUAAAUAAACGGUCGUACCCAGUGCACAAGGCUCCCGCUUUACGCAGGGUCUGGGAGAGGUGAAUGUCGGCUAGCCUUACCCCCAUUUAUGGAGAGGCUGCUCCCAAGUCUCGAACCCGAGACCUACCGCUCAUGGGCGAAGGCACUUGCCAUCGCACCAAGUGCGACCUCUACACAUAAAUAAAUAAACAACCUGAAAAAUAUUACAGCCACUUGUUAAGGCAAAUACCUUAAUUAUGAAAACUAUAUCCCACUCUAAACCUUUUGACUGCAAGAGAAUGAAAAAGAAAGACAGUAAGCCAAGAAUGUUUUGUAGAACUCCAAAGGAAGUCCAAUAGGGAAAUCAUCGCAAGUACAAGAGUUAGCGAGGUUCGCAUAAGAGGAUAUCAAAAAGAUCUAUAACCUGAUGAAUAGUAGUCAAAGUGACAGAACUUUGGUUGUCAUGUCUUCGGGAGUGAAAAUUUUCACUCUCCCGCUCAGAUAUGUAGUCGAUGAAUGCUUUGAGUAAAUUAACGCAGCCUUUUUCUUCUGCUACGACUUCUCUCUCCCCUUUUCCCGCAACAAAAUGAGUUGAUAAGAAAUCAGAUACGUCGUCUAGUAGGUACUGAAGAACCUGCAAUGAGAAUAAUCGCAUCACAACAACAGAGUUGGACCAAGAUUUAAGUGACAACAAUGAUUAACUAACUAAAACAGAGAAAUUAUUCAUUUAAGACCUUGUUGACUGAAAAAAGGGUUUUCCAAGCAGCGGGUCAUUUAAGCUUAUUGUAUAAAUGACAAUCAUCACAAACGGCAAACUUACAGAUCUCACGUCAUUGUCUUCAUUCAGCAGUUUUCCUCCCUCUAUAUCAACGACUGCACGUUGCUCAAGACGGUACUUCUAAAAAUUGAAAGUCAAACGAUAAAUGAUUAAGAAGUAUUGAAUAUAAGCAUGAAACGAAGAAAAUGUUAUGGAAUGGUGAUCCUCAUCCUCAAAGAUGAUUAAAAGCAAUUUGAUUCAAAAAUGACAUAUCAACUCUGGAGAAAUGGAAGACAAACCUGUGGUACCAUAUUCGCAACUGAGGUUAUGACAGCUGAAAUCGAUUGUUCCUGUGUGCAUUAAUAAGUGAGACUACCAUAGAGAUUCACAACUAAAUAAAGACAGGUAUUCCACAGAACAACCUUUACCUCUUUGGAAACACAGAUCUAACAAAAACUAUAACAUUUUGGAUUAAUAUUGACGAAUCAAGAAUAAUGCAAGGGAGCAAGAGAUACUCUUCCUUCUAAUAACAAGGAGGUGUGAAAAGUAUACAGAGUUCCAACAAUUAGAGAACUAAAAUCAAACUAAAAAAAUCACCAAAGUAGACAGAAUCUCACUUCGCCAAAAAUUUGAAAAUAUAUCCUUUUUAUCCAUUGAGAUUCAUGAACUACUACUACUACAUCAUGCCAAUAAGCAAUGCGUAAGAGGUGCUACAAUUUACCGAAUAUAUUUACCCUGAGAACAAGUUUUGAAAUCAUCUCUAGUGUUAACAGCACCUUGCGUCCUUGGGUAAGCUGAGUCCUAUUAUCAAGUAAAGAGACCAAUCAGUACAUAUCCAAAAAGAUCUUAAAUGCUUGUAAUACCAAAUAAGAAAGAAACAUGAGUAUAUCUUGAAUUAACCAUGCAAAAAUGUAAUGUUAAAGCAUCUUGUCAUACAGACCUCUUCAAGGUACCAGAAAUUUUUGCACUAAAGAUGUCACAAGCAGCUGAUAUGAAGCUGCAUUUUCUGUGAGUUGAAAUUUUGUCAAUAUAAUCGAUCACCUGAAGAGAGAGAGAGAGAAAAAGACAGUGAUAUCCAGAGAUGUGAGCCUAAAUGCUGAGUGUGUGUAAAAAAAAGAAGAUUAAAUGGAUAGCAAGAAUAUACAACUUUAAUGCUGAAAAGAACAUUGAAUAUGAUGUUCAUUCAUCAUUCCCAUUGAACGUGUACCUUCUUCUUUUCCUCUUUCUCAAAAGCAAGUAGAGCCUUGAAGACUUGCCUAUAUGAUCCAUCAUCACAACCAGGCAAAGUUGUUUUAAUCAUAGCAACAAUGGCUCUAACUACCUGCCAUAAGAAACAUGCUACAUCAACAAGAUCACAGAGUGUACCAGAAACCGUAAUGUAGCAAAAUCUUGGAUAAAAUAGCUGGCCAAAAGGGAAUGGAAAAGCAAGCACGAAAAACAAUGAAAAGGACCAGUGAUGCCAAAAUUCUGGUGGAAAAGGUGAAAAGCUUAUGUCUAUUACAGUUCUUGUAUGCAUUCUUUAUAACUUAAGUUCUACGUAGCAAAAACCACCUUAUGCACAACAAUAUUGGAAAAAUUAGAUACAUACAACUGAGAAGAUAGGUUUUCAUAAUCUGGACAAGUGCUAACUACCUUCUUCCUAUAAACUGCCACUCCAUGAACAUUAAAUGGUAUUUUCCUUUCACGCAAGGCUGUCUGGAAGACUUUUCCUGAUACCUGUAGCAUAAAAUACAAAAGAAAAUGUGACCAAAAUGUCUUAUAUGAUUCACCUCAUUCACAUUAGCACUAAGGCAAGUAAGCUUGACCUGCCUCCGGUAAAGGAUUGCUAUAUUUCCAUAGAAGCACCCUGCUUCUGACCGUUUAGAUGCAGUCUCCAGGAUCUUGUCGACAACAAAGGCACAUUGUGCAUCCUCAUUGUGACUUUCCUUGAUAAUUACCUACAUUUUGCCAGUAAAACCAGUGUCACUAACUAAAAGGACUGAAAAAUGACAUCAAAUUGUACUUGUUGGAGCAAGGAAAGAUUAAGUACCUUAGACCCAGAAGAAUUGUCCGUGUCAACAUUCUUUAGUUGGCAUCGCUUCUUAUUGUUUUUUAUAACAGAAGAUGCAGCUUCCACAAUAUAGCGUGUGGACCGAAAGUUUUUAUUAAGCCUAAUCUGAACCAUAAAGUUAUGUCAAAUCCCACAGAACCCCAUAAAAUAAAACUUACUUUCCUGUAAUUGUACAAUAUAUUUGUUCUAUACUAUAUAUAAUGAAAAAAGACACUGUGAAUGACAUAAGAUAACAUAGCAGUCAAGUGCGAAGCGAACCUCUUUGUAAUUUGAAAAAUCUUUACGAAAAGAAUCAAAUCCAGAAAUGUCCGCCCCAUUGAAACUGAAAAUGGACUGCAGCAGGAUAUAUGUUAUUUGAUUUAGAACAGAUAAGGGCUGGAUUAGAAUGAGCUGAGAGAGAGAGAGAGAGAGAGAGAGGGAGAGAGGGAGAGAGGGAGCAAUAACAUUGGAUUUCCAUAAUAAAUCAACAACAUGCCUGAUCAUCAUCACCAACAAUGGUUAUGUGGUUAUGAGAGGCGAGAAUCCGCAAAAGACUAUAUUGCAUAGCACUUGUGUCUUGAAACUCGUCUAUUACAAUAGCUUUCCAUGACUCCUGGCACUCCUUCAACACUAAUUAAGAGAACACCAUGUAUCAACAUUUAGCAUUACUUGUAAAACUAGAUAAAUCAAUGAAAUAUACUUAGAUGAUAGAGACCUUCAGGAAAAUCACUUAGCUUAGCAGCUUCACAGAGCAGCUAAUUAAGUCGUGGUAGUCCAAAGCGUUGCACGAUUUCAAGAUAUCAUUGUAAUUCCUAAGAAUUUCACCCUGAUUCAGAUUGAGAGCUAAAACUCAUAAGCAAUAGUUUCAAAGAACUGAAAUGAUAUCUGAAAUUCUAGUUCUGAGCGUACUCCUGUCACAUCACCCAUUCUUCGGCAUUCAGCGGGAGUCUUUCCAGAAGCUUUUGCCUGAAACAUAAAUAAAUUUAUUGCCUAAUGCCACAUAUUGUAAGACACACCAUUGUAUUGGUCAUUCUAGCUUGAUUGUAGCUAAUAUUUUUUAAAUCGAAUGAUUAGAGUUCUUAAUCCACAAUAAUCUGAACAUUAAAUUUCGUAUUCAAGACUAACCUGUGUCACAAACUUCAGCCAUUUCUUUGAUGCAUCCUUAAAAUGAUGUGGAGAUGUUACGCCGUUAGACUCUUCCCCAUCUAUAGCAACAUUAAGAUUCGUUUUACUCUUUUCAUCUUCUGAUAACCGCACAGCUUCAAUGAUUGCUCUUCUCUGUUGCCCAUGUCCAUAUAUCAAAAAUUCUGGUCUGCGCUCGAGUCUAAAACACAAGCCAACAUAACAGACUCAGCUGUACCACCAUAUGUAUGGUGUUCAAAAUCAAGGGAGGUGAAUCAAUAGCUUACUUCUCAGCAUGUGAUCGGCAAAGUUGCAAUGAAAAUGAAUGCAAUGUACUGAUUGUUAGUAGUUUUGCCGUUGCUUUCCCAGUCACAGAUCCAAUUCGAUCUCUCAUCUCGGAAGCUGCUGCUGUAGUGAAAGUCAUUGCUAGAAUGUUCGACGUGCUGAUGCCCUAAGAACACAAAAAAAAAAAAAACGAAUAAGAUUUCGAUCAUAAACAAGAAAUGUAGAGAAACACACAAUUAUGAAAGAAAAAGUUAGGGGGAAGUAGCAACACCUCAUUGAGCAGCAUUAGAACGCGCCCAACAAUCAUCAAAGGUACUGAAAUAUCGCUGCAAGCUGCCUCGCGCUGCCUUUCGUUGAGAGAAAGCUAAUACUUCAAAUACUCAUCCGGCAUGUUAGGCAAUCCAUGGUUAACGGAAUCCGUUUGGUUUUCACUACUCAAAGGCGGCGCUGAUGCGGCACGAACGUCACUACCACAACUCCCAAUAUCAUCACGCUGAAUGUCCACACUUGGUUUCUGCUCAAUUAAAGCGUCAAUUUCCUGCAAAAUACUCUCAUCGAAAUCAUCAUCGUUAAGAAUUCCAGAUGCAGAGAAAGAAUCAAAUGAAGUCAGAAACUGAUGUCUGAUUGGAGUUGUGAAAGAAUCCGAUUUUGACACGCUUGAUUCUGUCCGGCUAACGCUUAAGCUCCCGGAACACGAAGCACUGCCAUAUUCACCACGCGCUGAAUUGUACCGGCUUGCGGAAAUCGGAGGCGGUGUUCUUUGAACUCUAUUGAGCUGAGUUGGCGUUUGGAUUCCAUUUCCGCCACAGAUUCUGGAAUUUGAAAAACACAAUUGAAUUGAUUUAAAUUGAAGCAAGAAAACAGCCGAGUAGCCAAAAAAUAGUAAGAAGAUGAAACCUUUGAUUCCUGAACGACUUACUUGGUAUGAGGGAGGUGAUGAUCAGGUGAAACGGCGUCGUUGCGGGGGCGUUUGCGAUCAAUGAGGGCCUUGGCGGCUCUGAAAUUCCGAGAGAUGCGGUUUCUUUGUUCCGCCGUGAGCCCUCCGCCGUACGCCUGAACGUUUUCCUUGGACAUUGCUUCGAAGAUUCCAACGGAGGAUUUGGCCUGACGGCCUGACCAGGCUGAUAACAGUGUAAAACCUUAGGAGCUAAGGAAAAACUAAGAGAGAGAUCGUAGAGAGGGAAAGUUUUUUCUUUUUGGAAACCAGUAGAGAGGAAAAGUUUGUUAAACCUGAAUAAUAUUCUUUUGGCCUAAUCGGAUAAAUGGUCCCGUGGUCAUAAGGUAUUCGGAUGAUAGGCCUGUGGUAAAAAAAUUCAGAUUUAAACCCCUGUGGUCUAAAUCUGUUAGGAUUUAUGCCCUUUUGUUAAAUAAUGCUGACGUGGCUGCCACAUAUAUGCCACGUGGCUGCCAAAUGUCUGCCAUGUGGCAAAAAUAAUAAUUUUUAAUUUUUUUUUUUAAAACCUGAAUUUUUACAAAAAAAUAAAAAAUAAAAAACCCAGUCCGGCGAGGGGGGGAGCUGGUCUCUGGCGGGAGGAAGAAGAAGAAGAAGAAGAAGAAGAAGAAGAAGAAGAAGAAGAAGAAGAAGAAGAAGAAGAAGAAGAAGAAGAAGAAGAAGAAGAAGAAGAAGAAGAAGAAGAAGAAAGAAGAAGAAGAAGAAAAGAAGAAGAAGAAGAAGAAGAAGAAGAAGAAGAAGAAGAAGAAGAAGAAGUCGCGCGGGGAGACCGGCGGGAAGAAGAAGAAGGAAGAAGGAGAGGGAGGAGGGUCGCGCGGGGAGAGGGCUCCGGCGGGGGGGGGGGGGGAGCUGGUCUCCGGCAAGAAGAAGAAGAAGAAGAAGUCCAGCGGGGGGGGAAGGGCGAAGGGCGGGGGGAGCUUCUGGGUUUUUUUUUUUUUUUAAAUUCAGGUUUUUUAAAAAAAAAAUUAAAAAUUAUUAUUUUUGCCACGUGGCAUAUAUGUGGCAGGCACGUCAACAUUAUUUAACAGAAGGGCAUAAAUCCUAACAGACUUAGACCACAGGGGUUUAAAUCCGAAAUUUUUUACCACAGGGGCUAUCAUCCGAAUACCUUAUGACCACGAAAACCAUUUAUCCGAUUAGGCCUAUUCUUUUCAUUCAACUUGUCUACAAUAAUUACUAUUGGAUAAGUAUAUAGGCUGUGUCAUUACUACUACACGUGCAAAACAUGUGCACAUAUGGCUUACUAGAUAGAAUAGUAUAAAUACCUUUUCCUUUCCUUUAUUUUGUAAGAGGUUGUAAUACCUAAAACAGUUAGAGAAAUAUAUUGUAAUUCUUUCUGACUUCUCCUCUAAGCUUCCUUCUUCAGUGUAUUUCUUAAUUUCUAUGGAAUUCAUCUCUACUGUUAAGAUGGUAUCCAGAGUCGUUCUUGCUUGCGCAAUGGUACUGGUUCAUCGUUUCCAUUGCUUCGACUGGUAAGAAGGUGAUAUUGCUUAUGGGCUUUGUCUCUGGAUAUUUGUUCUUUGCGUUGGAAACCCUAAAAGAGUUUAGUGUUCUUCUUCUGAAAUUUCGUUUGAAUUGAAGUGUAAUUGAAGGCCGAUGCCAUAGUUUUUUGGUUAAUUGAAGAGUUAUAUGUUGAUUUGAUGAAAGGCCGAUGCCAAAAUUUGUUGAGAAUUUUCAAUUUCUUGAAGUGAUUUGAGUUGAUUGAAGGCCGAUGCCAUAGUUUUUUGGUUAAUUGAAGAGUUAUAUGUUGAUUUGAUGAAAGGCCGAUGCCAAAAUUUGUUGAGAAUUUAGUUUCUUGAAGUAAUUGAAUAGAUUCAAGGACGAUUGCCAUUGUUGGAGUAUAUAUGUGAUUCUUGCUUCUCUGCGAUCGUAGAGUGAUUGUCUUCGUAGUUGGAAAUCAGAUUUGCAAUUCUUGUUCAUCUGGAGUUAUCCACCGAUAUCAUUAACAUAUAAUAAGAGAACAAUAAUUGAUGAACCAUCACACUUGACAAAUAAAGAAGGAUCUGCAUAUGAUGACUUGAACCCAAGCUUAGGCAAAUAACCUGAAAACAUGUCAUGCUAGGCUCUGGGAGCUUGCUUGAGACCAUAUAAAGACCUCUCCAGUUUGCACACAUAAUCUGGAUAGGUAGAAUCCACAAACCCUUAGGGCUGAGACAUAAAAACUUAUUCCUCAAGAAAGCCAUGCAAAAAAGCGUUAUUGACAUCUAACUGUAUGAGUUUCCAAUUAUGAGAUGCAGCCAACGAUAGAACCAAUCGAACUAUGGUUGGUUUGAUCACAUGGCUAAAGGUUUCAUAAUAGUUAAUACCAACUUCUUGAGAAUACCCCUUAGCUACAAGUCUAGCCUUGUACCUAGCCACUGAACCAUCUGGAUUUCUUUUAAUCUUGUAGAUCCAUUUACAACCAACAAGAUUUUUGUCAGAUGGUAAGGGCACAAGCUUCCAAGUACGUUGUUGAAUCAAAGCAUCCAUCUCUUAUUUCAUGGCAUUUUGCCAUUGAACACACUUGAUUGCACUAGAAAAAGACUUAGGUUCCUUGAUUUCAGAAGCCUGAUCCACCUUAGCAGAAAACACCUUCUUUUUCAUAAUCCUAGACUUAGACUGGGUUUGCAUGGGAUGACAAUUUUGAGCAUUGAUACACACUAGUUGGAGAUCAUCCACUUGAGACAUUGUAGUAUUUGGAUGAUCUUUUGAAUACACAGUAGGCAAAACCUCUGAAGAAGGCACACCACUUGUGGAAUAAGAGACAAGAUCACCAGAACUAGUGGGUUGAGAGGAUGAUGACUGAGUAACAUGCCGUGAUUUAGAGGUAAGAGAAGUGGGACCAAUAAAUGGAAAUGUGGAAGAAACACUAGGUGGAUGAAUGAAUGUGUUUGAAUGCACAACAGACACUGGUGAGGAAGAAUGACCAGAAGUAACUUGAGGAUUGAAACCCAAAGCAUUAGAGUCUGUAGGAAACUUGGAUUCAUAAAAAAUAACAUGUCUAGAUACUAACAGUUUCUGAUCUUUGAGAGAGAAGCAAAUAUACCCUUUGUAUUGUGUAGCAUACCCCAGAAAAAUACACUUAGUAGUUUUAGGUUCAAGUUUAGUGCUUCUAUAGGGUUUCAAUGAAGCAUAACAUAAACACCCAAAAAUUCUCAAAUGAUCAAGCUUAGGUGGAGAUUUAUAUAGCAUUUCAAAAGGAGACUGCAUAUGUAGGGUAGGUGUGGGCAUUCUGUUUAUAAGAAAAGUAGCAGUGGCACAGGCAUGGAACUAGAAUUUUGAAGGUAAUGAAACUUGUUGUAAAAAGGUAAUAGCUGUUUCAACAAUAUGUUGAUUUUUUCUCUCAGCUAACCCAUUAUGGUAUAGGGUAUAAAGACAAUAUUUUUGAUGAACAAUGCCUUUGGUAAGAAGAAAUUGCUUAAACUGAGUACUAACAUAUUCCCCACCCCUAUCACUUUGCAAAAUUUUUACAUGAGCAUCAAAAUAAAUCGAGACAAAAGUAAGAAAGUUGACAAAAACAGUGAACACUGCAAUUUUAUUAUUUAAUGGAAAAAUCCAAGUAUAUCUUGUACAUUCAUCAAUGAAGGAAACAUAAUACUUGUAACCUUCUAUAGACAGACUAGGUGAGGGACCCAAACAUCUAUGUGAAUUACUUUAAAUGGAGUAAGUAACUUCGAAGCAAUUACAGGAAAAGGGAACUUGGUAAACUUGCCUUGCAAACAAGCUUUACAAGUAUGAGAUUGAGAGUUACAAGGAAAAGAUAUACAAGACUUAUCAAGUGUUGCAGUGACAAUGGAAUGUGCAGGAUGACCUAAUCGACAAUGUCACAAUGUAGAAGAAAUCUUUUAUCCCACAAAUGCAACUGGAUUAAAAACAGGAGAAAUAGACCUCUGUGGUUUGAUUAUGGGAAGUGGAUAGACAACAUUAUUACUCAGCCCUUGGAAUAGCACUCUCCCGGUGACCUUGUCCUGUAGAUAGAGAGAAACAUCAUUAAUGAUACAACGACACUGAUUAUCUUUGCACAACUGAUUCAUAGAUAAUAAGUGUUGUGACAGUUUUGGAACAUGUAACAUAGAGUUUAACUUGAAAUUAUGUGACUUAGUGAGAAGAGAAGAGGAACCAAUAUGUUUGAUAGCUAAACCUUCACCACUAGCACUGGUCACAAUAUCAUUUGAUGGAUAAAUUUGUUGCCAUGUGCAAGUUUGACAAAUCUGAGGUCAUAUGGUCCAAGUCAAGAAACCAGAAAUCUUGUUGAAGAGUUGAGGAUGAUGCACCAGCUCGUGCUUGCAUAGCAAGAUGAAGAUUUUGUGAGGAUGUAGUUGAGAGAUAUGGUAUGACAAGAUACUAAAACUGGGAGCUAUUAGACUGUGGAAUCAUGCCUUGUGAAGGACCACAUGGAUUCUAGCUAGGUGCUUCACCAUAUAACCCAGUAGGCAUUGGAGUUGGCAUAGAUGAGGAUAAACCCUGAGAGAAAUGCUCUGAUGUGCCUGUAAAAUUCUUAUUCCAAUCAAAGCAAGUAGCAGCAACAUGGUGACAAAUUUGACAUCCAUGUUGAAAACAAUUCAAUGCAGAAUGACCUUUGCGAUCACAUAUUUGCAGAAUGACCUUUGCAACCCUAGAAAGAAGAAGGAGUGAAGAAGACCAAAUGUGUACGUUUCUCUUUGAUUGUUUUUCCCUCCUAAUCGCGCAGUUCGAAAUCACGGACCUCGGGCCUCGGCCUAGUGGGCCCAAUUAUGAGGCCCAUUAUCUCCGGUCUUCUCGUUCUACUUCUAGUUACCCAAAUUAAGAACGUACUGGUUCGCUUUUAGCGCGAGAGAGAAAUGGAGGCCCUGAUUGCCUCGUACGGAGACUCGUCGUCGGGCUCAGACUCCGAGUCGCCGGCUCCACCUUCACCACCACCUCCGGAGCUCAACAACCCUCAAGAACCGACCCCUGCGCUGCCUCCACCUCCUCUUUCACUUCUCGACAGCCCCAAUUCCUUCGGUAACCUCUGAUUCCCAUCAAUUUCAUCUUUUAGCUUUCUGCUGUGAUGGCUUUUUCCGAGUUGCCCACCAAGUGUUUGAUGUUUUGCCUCUGAAGGAUUUCUGGACUUAUCGGCAAGCGCCCAGCCGAGCAGAGUUCGGAACUUUCCUCACGUCGAAGGGAACUACGCAGUACAUGUAUACAUCCCAGGUUAUCAAAAUUCUCGAAAUUUUCAGCUCCAUUAGCAAAUGCGAUCGCUUUGCACUUAGUUUUUGCUUGUUUAAUUGUGUGGUUCCAGUUUAUAUACCACCAGCACCAAGGAAAGAGAUGGCCUUGUUUUUGAACAAGCUAGCUUCUCUGGUGCCUGGUCUCCAUGCGGUUGACGUUGACUUCCCGCUUGACAUUCUGCGUAAGGACGAGCACAAGCUUGAACAAGUUGCUUUAGGCAGAGAGUUCCAUAUAAGUCUCGGAAGAACUGUUCCGAUUCGGGUGCACCAGAUUGAUUCCUUGGUGACAAUGCUGCGGCAGAAGCUUCAGAUUCAGAGGCGGUAUGGUUACAUUUACAUUCUCUUGUCCGCAUUGCGUGAAGUUAGUUCUGUUAUUUAACAUAAUUCUGUAAGCCUGCAAAUUUUUUGUCCAUUUUCGGUUUAACACAUUUUGUUAUUGUGAAACAGGUAUUGGAUUGAUUUUAGCAAGUGGGAGGUUUUUGUUAAUGAUGAUCAGACCCGGACCUUUGUGUCUAUCGAAAUCAUUGCUGCUGGGUUAGCUGAGGUAUGAUUGCUAGCUUUCUCUCUUGGUGCAAUUCUAAAUGUUUUCAGUUGUUAUAUGGGCUUAAGAUUUAGUAAGUACUUGCCGAAGGUCAUGGGAUUUUGAAAUAUUGAUAUCUUGCUUGCUUAUUAGCUUAGAUUUGGUCUUCGAUGCACUUGUAACAUGAAAAACACAAACGAAAACUAAUGCAUGAUAUGCUCAUGGUUUUAACAUGUGUUGUCCUGGCGUAAAUCAUGUUCCUAAUCCUGUCAUGUGAGUAUAAGCCUAUGAUACUUAGGGCAUGUUUGGCGGGCCGGACAAGAUUGGAAUUGGUAUUUCAGACUAGUUAGGUUAGGAUUGAACUGGAUAGGAUAGGUUUUUGGUCUAAAGAUUGGUGUAGACUGUCUUAACGAUGGGAUUUAAAACGUGAAACAGAUCUGCGACAUCCCAACGAUGACCCGCCCACCCAACAACUCUGCUCGUGACUUGCAACACCUCUCGUACCCUCCACGCCCCUUGAGGCCCGUCAGACCACUCUGAUAUCCUGGAGAGGUGAAACGUGGUUACUAGAAGCAUACCUGUUUUCGUAUUAAUGCACGGUUGAAGCAGCUUUCAUUGUCUACAAGUCUGAAAUAUUUCAACUUCCAUUGAUUUCAGAUAACAAAGCAGAUUCAAGCUGUGAAUGAGGUGUAUAAGCUUUUUCGUGUUUUUCAAACUCGAAAAACAAGAUUGUGCCUGAAUACUACUCAUUGCUCAAAAAACUAAAUCACUUCAUGGGGUGUUGGUGAUCACAGGAUCCGCGCCCUCACAUCUCGGUAGCUUGGGCAUUGGGUGACAUCAGCAAUUCCCUGAAGAAAGUGGUUGAAGAAGAAAGACGAAGAUCUACCAUCGGAGGAUCGUUACAGAAAUGUAUUUUUACCAGUAAAUUCAAUGGUAUCGAAUGUAGGAUUGGUAAUAAGACACAAAAUAUGUAAAUUUUCUGAACAAUAAUGUAGCCAUUUAACUGUAUCGUGAAAUUCCGAGAAUAUAUCGCUGAGCAUUGGAUGAGAAGACAUUUCUUUGUUGGUGUCGAACUUCUUGUCGAAGGUAUUGGCACCAGUGUAAACGUCAUCAUCCAUGUUGAUGGUAAUUACUUCCCAGCUACCAAGGGUGUCGGAACAACCUUGCACGCAGCCUCCUGUGCAUUACUUAAUAUUGUCUCAGUUUCUCCAAACUUGAAUGCUCCUGUAAACCCACUCUUGACCUUUCCGUCAUCUGCAAUUACAGGAAAGCUGGCUAGGAUGUUGCCGUUAACCUACCUAACUGGCUAGGAUGUAGCCGUCAUCUCCAAACUUAAAAGACCGGAAAGCCGGCUCCAAACCUCAAUGUGCUACUAGUUUUUGUAUGCGAGAGCUCCACCUCCAUUGUUGUAACAGCAUCUGAUGCGGACUAGUCCUUCAUUCCCGUUACUCUUUGCUAUCUCCACUUCAAACUUGGCGUAAUGGCUCCCGGCCGCCUCUCCGGUGAAAUUGAGAAACCCUGGGAAACCCUGGAGCUAGGCGUUUUCAUUCUGUUGUCCGUAUAUCUUGAUAUUACAAGUAUUUGUUGUGCAAAAUGCAAGCUAAGUUCAAGUUAUGUUUAUGUAUGUGUGUGUGUGUGUUGUCACUUCGCCACUUUUCCAACGUUUUCUCCAAAAUUGUGAUUUUGGUGUUGUUCUAACUUUGGUGAAUGCUAAUAACAAUUCCCUCGUUAACCAUUGGGACGAGCAACAAGGCAGUUUUGAUUCCGUGCACAACGGCGAUACCUCGAAAGAAAUUGAUUCUUCACCAGAAAGAUGUUUUAAAACAAAGUUGAACAGUUGAUGUAUACAGACGUUCCUUGCUUAUGACACGACUUAUGAGAGGAUGUAUGUAUUGCAUUUGCAUCAAAAGAAAGAAAGAAGGUUGUAAGUGGUAAGGGAACGACUACCGAUGCCGCUCCACUUCUAAUCAAAGGGAUCGAUCCGAGGGUCGUGUUCACUUGCCAUCGCUAUUCCAGUGCAAAGGCAUGUCGGGCACAUUACCUGCCACAUUUACGGACGCAAUGUUAGAUAUAGCUGCCAUUUGGAAGUCAUCUCUCAAAAUUUUGCUACUAAAUUAAUCUUAAACGUCAUUUCCAGUGCAAUUUUUUUCUUCUGAAUUGUCUUUCACAUGCCCGACAAAUAAAAGUAUCACCAAACAUGUGAAUAUAGUGCAUCUAAGCGGCAGGCACUAAAAGGAAUUUAGUAUGCAAUAAACAUUCAACGGACAUAAUUAUAUGUCUAACCUUUCCCGCUCCUGAGCAAUUUGAACAUCGUUCAGUUUUUGGCAGAGAUAGGGGUUGGUUUCCGCCAUCAGCUGUCGAUAAUGGUUCAGUAAGAACAAGGGUUCCAGUGCUGGAGCAACGAGCACAAGCAAGAUAUCCUGCGUAAGUAUCAAAUACACAGGUAAGUUGACAUAUGAAACCAAUCCGAACAUCUCCAUCGUAUAUAUUUAAAGCUACAGUACAUAAAACUAAAAGUCAGAAAUAGAGGACAUUAUCACACCAGUUCCAAGACAAUAUUUGCAUCGUUUAUGCUCCUGCUGUUUCGCAUUGUUUAUUUCAACUACCAUCAAUGCUGAGAUCACUCCAACUGCUCCUCCAGAAAACGACGCCACUAUGGGAUCAACUUGACUGCAGUUUGAAAGUAUAGGAGAUCAAUAAACGAAACUGGUAACAACAUGGUAUCAACAUUAUUUAGCUUCGUUUCAAGAUAGCUGACAUCCUGGGUUUUUCUAAUGUGUAAAAAUUGAGGAUCCUUGUAAAAUUUGACUAUAUCAGUUCCCAAAGUAUUUGAUUCCUAUGUUACAGACCGAAAACAGUAACAAUUGAAUUUUUAGAUUCAUAACACGAUAGAUGGUACAAAAUUUCAAAACGAUAAUUACUAGAGAACAGGAGGGCUAAUAGCCUGAGAUAUGAGCCAUACCUCAACUGCAACGGCAGAUGCAUAUUUACUAUAAAAUCUUUAUACGAUGUGCCUCCUAUUCCAAGCUUCAACUCCAACUGAAAGAUGUAAACGUAAUUGUCGGCAGAGAGUUAGAAACAUAACCGAAUCCAUGUUUUAUAAGCAGAAACUACACUUAUUUGACAUGUUUCCUCGUUUUUUUACUUGCAAAUUCAAAACCGUAUUGUCGGACCAGUAAAAUAAAAUAAUGUUUACUAAUAACUGUUAAAACUAAUCACAACAAGUUAAUGCAUAAAGAACUUACGGAGGGUGCUAUGAGGCCACCGAAAAGGAUAAACCCCGCAAUAAUUGAAUAACAUACAGCAUAAUACUGCUUAAGGUUGUCUGAACUCUGCAACCAAUGCAUUCACCUUGUGAUUAAUACUUUGCACAAACACUAGUUUUCGCAGUUUUUUAUGAACCGACAAAAGGCUACAACAAAAUAUGGCUAAAACAAGUCCGGGAUAUGAAAAUACAUGUCUUCACAGGGUCAGCAGCUUACCAGGGGAGGCAAAAAUGGAAUGAAUGAUGGAAAACUAGGAAGUUCGUUUUCUUGAUCUUCAUUUACCGCUCCAAGCUCUGCGCGUUUAAUCCGCUGUUGUAUCCUCAGCCUGCGAACCUUCGCAUAUCGAAGCUCAUUCUUAAAGAACACAUUUCUAAUGGCAAUUGGAGAGUAAUUUAAAACAUGCUAAACUGAGAAAGUGGCAGCAACUAGCAAUUGCUCUCACCUCCUCCAUAUGCAAGAAAAUUUUGUUGCGCCGACUCCGAAUAUUAUCUUGAAUUUCUUGCAGCUCCAUUGUGGCAAAGUCCUGCACUGUUUCAGGCCCCUCUAUGAUACAAAAUCUGCACAAUUAAGCAUGUAAAAACUAAAAAUUACAGGCUAAAAAAGCAAUUUCCGUAUCAUUGCUCGGUUAAUUAACAUCAACAGCAGAUAAAUCACAUGGGUUUUUCAAAUGAAGUUACAAACUUUCAAAGACCAGUAAGCUGUCUGCAAUCUCAUAAAUUUCACAGUGCAAAGUAAAAAUCCAAAGCUUGGAACUUUAAAUUUCCAUUUUCUGUUAAUUUCCUAGAGAGAGGGGGGGUGGUACCCGGCGGGGUUUGUAUCGGCGGCGGGAUUGGGAUCAGAAUCGACAGACGGAGCGAAAGAGGAGGAGUCGGGCUCCGAAGCCAUGGCCAGGGAUCGCCAUCUGGAGCUGCUUGUUGAUAUGGGGCUUCUUGGGUAGCUGAAUUUGGAGCAGCCGGCGCUAUGCAGUUUGUACGGACUGCACCGAUUUACGGGGAAAGACACGGCCAAAAGUCUGCCGCAGCAGAGCAUCUCUCUCUCUCUCUCAAACCAGAAGGCAGAGCUUUCUGUUUCUCUUGAGGUUUCUUUCACUGGUAAAUUCCAGAGAAGCAGAGAAGAAGGCUCUCUGAGAAAUGGAGGCAAAACAAAUGUAAAUCUUGAAGCACCGACCAUGUGCAGAACACUUAUCAACUACCGAACUCUAGGAUUUUUAUUUUUUGGUAAACUACCGAACUCUACGAUUAGGAGAGAAACAAGGGGAGAGAGAGUGAGUGACCGGAAAAAAAUAAAAAAUAAAAAAAAUAUGGAGGGAAGUGGCUGAUUCUUCUCUCAUUUUUUCCUAUUGUUUUUCAGAAAAAAAAAAAUAAUAAUAGUAAUUAGUCGUUAGAUUCGAGUAGUCGUUCGGUAUGUCACAUUUAAAAUUUUAUUAUAGGAAGCAUAAGGUUAGGCCAUCUCCAAUCGAAUUAGGUCUGAAAGAUCAUGUUUAUCCUUAUAGUUUUGCAAGAAAUUAUAUUUUAAUAAACAAUGCAUGUCAUAUUUUAUACCAUCUCUAACCGGGGGGCCAAAGAAUCAUGGGCCAAACAUAGCCCUUUGACAAUAAACGCAUCUCCAACCGAGAGGGCCAAAAUGUCAUAGACCAAAAAUAAUCCCCUAAAGAAUUUAUUAUUUUAAUUGAAUUAAUAUAGUUAAUUAAAUUAAACUACCGUAUUAAAAUAAGGUUUUCUGACAUAUUUUGAGUGCCACUUGCCACAAUAACGAAGAAAGCGUGGUAUUGUUGCACUUGCUAUAAAGUCAAGCUUGACAUUCUGCCGCUGGAGAACUGGUUGGCUGACUGGAAAUGGCCAACCCGUUGGCUUGAUUUGGGGGUUUUGGCCAGAUGGGGCCCAACAAGCCAUUUGGCCUAGCCUUGCUUGAAGACGGUUUUCUUGUCAUUCCAAGCUAUUUUUAGCCCUAUGACCAUUUGAUUUGAUCGGUUGGAGAUGACUUUAGGUGCGGUGAUUGUCCUUGAGAUAUCGAAGGUUCUGUGUGAUCGAAUACUUCGUCCUCCUCCAAAGCCGCCACUGUUGAGAAGGUUACUUGCCUUAUGCAAACAUUAUGAAUUGCAAGUGAUGAAUUGUUCUGAUGAUAAGGUUUAUUUUUUAACUCAUUAUGUUUCGAGUUUAAACAUUUUUCCCUCUCUUUAAUGUAUAUAUUAAUGAAAUAUUGUUCGUAAUAAAAAAAUAAAAAAAUGAUACAUUCUCAUUCAUAUAUAAGAUGAUCAAGUCUGAAAUUAUUACUUUUAAUGAGUGACUUAGUUAACCAUUUUCAUUUCUUAUGCGUUCAAAAUUAGACAAAUUCUUUGCAAACAUUAAAAAAAAAAAAAGAUAUUAAGGAGACUUUGAAACUAUUACAUUAUGGGAGGGGGAAUUUCGAACUCGGGACUUCUGAGUAGAACCCAAAUGCUUCUCCACUAGGAUAUUAGACUAGUGCCGGUCCUGAAUUUUUUGGUGCCUGGAGCGAAUAAUGUGCCCUUUUCCAGUACAACAACAUAAAUUAAAAAGAAAUAUUUAAAGAGGGCUGGAACCCAGUCGAAGCUGGGGGGCUAGGCCCUCACGCCCAUAUUAUAUUACUUUUAAGAAUAAACAUACAACUGGGGGAACAUAGUAUCGAAAUCCCGACGAUCAAAAGCAAAAUAUAUACAACCACUCCAAGCAGUCAACAUGGCCAUCACAUAUUGAAUCCAAAAUGUCAACGCCCCAUUGGCUGCAUAUAAAGUACAAACGAGCGGCAACUUCAGCCAGUUCUGCGAUAUCCGGCUGGAUGAGAGCAGCUAAAGACAUGAUUGUUCCCUAAUAACAUGAAUAAAUUGAGUAAACACCAAAAGUAGCAGCAAGGGAAGGAGAUGUGAAGUAGAUGAAGAGAUGUAAGAACUGUGAAUGUCCAGCAACAAAGACUUCGGAGCUUGUUGUCGAAUACCUGCAGCGCAUCAUUUCUGGUAGAUCAAAUACAACCAAGUCCUGCCAACUCCAAUUCCAAAAAUCCUACAGUAUAGCAUAAAUCUUAUUCUCUUCUGAUAAAGAUGUGUGUCCCUACCCAUAAAUCGAAACCUUCAUCUGCAAGGACGAAUCCCAUUUAUUCUUCUGAAGAAUUUAAGAACCAUGAACCACCUGGUCAAGAUCAAGAAAAGCCAGUAACCAAUUACAAUUGAGUUUGAAGCAAAUUAGAGCCAAAUUUAAAAUGUAUCCGAUGGAUGUUCAUCAAUUUACACAAUAGUUAGUUUCAAGAAAGGAAAUUUCAACAGAACCUGAAAACUUCAGAUCAGGGGGCACCAAAUAGUGAGCUACACAUUCAGAAUUUGAAAUAUUUCAAAUCAACUUGGUGGGGCCAAUAUGUUGAAAAAAUUGGAAGGAGCUAUGAAAGUAAGGCUUUUCGCUAAUCAGGCGUCUAGAGAAUCAAUAUUUUACUCACGUAUCAGUUACGGGGAACACUCCCCACCAGAGCAAUCUCAUUAGUCCUUCACAUCUCAAACGGCACAGAAAUUGCACUAACAAACACGACUCCUAUUAGUCCUUCACAUCUAAAAUCCAGGAAGUACCCAUCUUUCGUCUGAAUCUGGAAAAUAAGCAGAGCACUCAAUUUAACAAUCUGGGUAUCUCAAAGUUACUCACUUUAAUCACAAAUUUAACAAUUAAACAUAUAAAUGGGCAUUUUUUUAGUGAAAUAUUAGUAUCUUACUCACUGUGUGCUCGGAGCAAGAGUACCCGGAAAGCUCAAUGAGCUGUGCACAGAGGACUGCAGCGGUGAACGACAGCGACCGAUUCUGUAAAAUUCAGUCAAGUUUUCGGCAAUUUCUGCAGCGAUUUCGGAGUUCAAGAGGCUGAUAAGGAAAGCUGCGACUGAAGGACACUGGUCUGGAAGAAAGGCUCUGGUCACCGCUGUCGCAAUUUGUGAAGGAAGAAGUGCCCCAAAACAAUUUCGGCCCUGAACAGAUGCACUGUUUGCACUGGACCAGGGCCGGCACUGGCGAUAACGUCCCCCAAACAGUACAUAUACAGAUGCUAGAAAUAAUAAAUGUCACCUGAAACUACUAGAACCAUUCAAUUCUAGCGUCUACAGCUUUAGCAUUAGUUGGUACAAGGGACAUUCUUCUAAAGAGGGAGAUGAACUCGUUGAGGCUCUUAUUUAUUCCUCCUCUUGAGGUGUCCUUUUAGGCUGCUAAUUCCAGACGAUCCAAUCUCAUACAUCUUCCCUGCAAAAGCAUGUGUGCCAGACUUCAAGAUCAAAAUUUUCCAACAAAAGAAACUUAAAGAUCAAACUCGCCUGCGGAAUAAAUGGUGCACAAGGGUGUUAAAAAUGGUGCACAAGGGUGUUAAAAUCUUGACAUAUGUAUAUUUUUGGCAGAUUUUAUGUGAGCAUGCAACUAAAACUGGCAUAACAGUUUGAGUUGUAACUUCUCCAUUGUAUUUGUUAAGGCAAGACGGAUGUCAUCUAUGCAUUUUUCUGUAAAACUUAGAAGGCUGCAUAGCAGCUCUUGUUCGUUGUAUUGAAUACCGUGGUUUAACCGAUGAAUGCAGAGUUUGCUGAUGAUUCAUACGACAAGCAAUUGAAAAUCCCCAUCAUUUACACAAAUUCAGAGCAUUCAUCCACUGUAAUUUGCAGAUAUAGAAACGUCAAGAUAAAAGGAAAUGCAAAGUACCUUUCACCCAAAUUGGAAGAGCACCGGUGGCAUUAGCAAGUUAGCAACGGGAAUUGACAUACCAAUAUCUUCACAGUUUCUGCACAAGCACAAAUCAAAAGAAUUGUGGAUUUCAAAAUAUGCGGCCGUGGCUAGCCGUCUGACCACGCCAAUUCCACCAAAGCCGCCGCAACGCGGCGUAGUGUCCGAUUGAUUGCUUCAAAACAGAGCUUCGUAUCCAUGUGUUUAUCAGCAGAGAGUACCCAAAACCCCUGAAAAUUAUUUCUUUAUUCAGAUAAUAAAAUUUCCCAAAUUUCAAAUUUUAAUUCCGAACCAAAAAUAGGAUUUGAAUUUUGAUUACCUAGAAAUGGGGGGGGGGGGGGUUGGGGUGGAGAGGGACUCAGGCCAAGACAGAGCUAUGUGUCUGUGAUAAGGUGUGCCAAAUUACAGAGUGUGUCGGGAAGAUGUACAAGGCUUUUGCAGUUUCUCAGAUUUAAAUACCGAAGCCCCGUAAGCUGUUCAAUCCAGGGGGAAAGCUCUUUGAUAGAUGUUCCAUCCAAGAAAAGAUAUCUUAAUCCUUCCAUAUUUUCUUCAAUGCUUGGAAACACCUCAAAUUUUGUAGAACCGGAAAGAGAGAGAGAGACAAGGGACUUGAGCUGAGAAAUGCUGCUCGGAAGACUCUUAAGUUCCACGCAAUAUUUCAGGCUUAAAUAACUCAACCCCGUGAGAUUAUUAAUUGACAGCGGUAGUUCUUUAAUUUUUGACCCGGAUAAAUCAAGCUCUUCUAACUCCUCAAUACCUUCUAAAAUCUCUGGAAACAUCUCAAGAUUGGAGCAGUCAUAAAGAUUAAGGGUUUUGAGAGAUUUCAUACGAAUGCUGCUUGGAAGACUCUUAAGUUCCACGCAAUGUUUUAGGUUCAAAUGACUCAACCCCGUGAGAUUAUUAAUUGACAGGGGCAGUUCUUUAAUUUUGGACCCGGAUAAAUUAAGCUCUUUUAAUCCCUCAAUAACUUCUGAAAUCUCUGGAAACAUCUCAAGAUUGGUGCAGCCAUAAAGCUUAAAGGUUUUGAGAGAUUUCAUACGAAUGCUGCUUGGAAGACUCUUAAGUUCCACGCAAUGUUCUAGGUUCAAAUGACUCAAUCCCGUGAGAUUAUUAAUUGACAGGGGCAAUUCUUUAAUUUUGGACCCAGAUAAAUUAAGCUCUUCUAACUCCUCCAUACCUUUUGAAAUCUCUGGAAACAUCUCAAGACUGGAGCAACCAAAAAGAUUAAAGGUUUUGAGAGAUCUCAUACGAAUCUUGCUGGGUAGACUCUUAAGUUGCUUGCAAUGUUUUAGGUUGAAAUGACUCAACCCCGUGAGAUUAUUAAUUGACGGGGGUAGUUCUUCAAUUUUUGCCCCGGAUAAAUCAAGCUUUUCUAACCCCUCAAUACCUUCUGAAAUCGAUGGAAACAUCUCAAGACUAGAGCAGCCAUAAAGAUUAAAGGUUUUUAGACAUUUCACAUGAAUGCAGCUUGGAAGACUCUUAAGUUCCUCGCAAUGUUUUAGUUUGAAAUGACUCAACCCCGUGAGAUUAUUAAUUGACAGGGGCAGUUCUUUAAUUUUGGACCCGGAUAAAUUAAGCUCCUCUAACUCCUCCAUACCUUCUGAAAUCUCUGGAAACAUCUCAAGACUCGUGCAACCAUAAAGGUUAAAGGUUUUGAGAGAUUUCAUACGAAUGCUGCUUGGAAGACUCUUAAGUUCCUUGCAAAGUAUUAGGUUCAAACGAAUCAACCCCGUGAGAUUAUUAAUUGACGAAGGGAGUUCUUUAAUUUUUGACCCGGAUAAAUCAAGCUCUUCUAACUUCUCCAUACCUUCUAAAAUCUCUGGAAACAUCUCAAGAUUGGAGCAGCCAUAAAGAUUAAAGGUUUUAAGAGAUUUCAUACGAAUGCUGCUUGGAAGACUCUUAAGUUCCUCGCAAUGUUCUAGGUUCAAAUGACUCAAUCCCGUGAGAUUAUUAAUUGACGAGGGCAGUUCUUUAAUUUUUGACCAGGUUAAAUUAAGCUCUUCCAACUUCUCCAUACCUUCUAAAAUCUCUGGAAACAUCUCAAGACUAGAGCAGCCAGAAAGAUUAAAGAUUUUGAGAGAUCUCAUACGAAUUUUGCUGGGUAGACUCUUAAGUUCCUUGCAAUCUUUUAGGUUGAAAUGACUCAACCCCGUGAGAUUAUUAAUUGACGGGGGCAAUUCUUUAAUUCUUGACCUGGAUAAAUCAAGCUCUUCUAACCCCUUAAUCACUUCUGAAAUCUCUGGAAACAUCUCAAGGCUCAAGCAGCCAAAAAGAUUAAAGGUUUUGAGAUAUUUCAUACGAAUGUUGCUGGGUAGAAUCUUAAGGUCAUGGCACGAAUUCAGAUUCAAUAAAACCAGGUUUGUAAGAGUCGAAGUAGACGGGUGAACCUUAACUAACCUUGUACAACAUUGAAGAAUUAGCCUCUCAAGAUUCGGCACAUUUGUGAAGUCAGGGGUUUCCUUAAGGUAUUCACAAUAACUUAAAUUGAUGAAUUUCAACGUUUUCAGCGUCUGUUAAAACAUUCAAGAAAACAUGCAUUACUUAGUAAAACAGCUCACUCAAAACCCAAACAUUUAAAAGAAAUAAAAACAUGUAAUGAUUGUACGUACCUGGGUUCCUUCCCAAAGUCGGUCAAUGAGACUAAAUUGCAUGUCAAGUUCAACAAGAUUUUUCAAUUGAAAGUUGGACGGCAAAGACUUGAGAGGGAAUUCAAACAAGGAGAGAUACCUCAAGUUAAGUAACUUAAGGGGCCCAAUCAGGUGGUGUUUGUAGUAAUCUUCAAAAAUUGAGCCCUUAUGACCGAUCUUGAGAAGUCUUAGUUGAGUCAUACUAACAAAAGCUUCAGCAUUUAAGCAUACCCAGUCUGAGUACGAGAAAUCCACGAAUAUGCUUUCAAUUGAUUCCGUAGCCUGUGCAAAUCAAAGUAUUAGAAAAUACAGAGAACCUUAGUUUAGAUAAUGAAAUUAAUGCUUGUUUCUUAAAGAAGCCGUUUGAUAAUUAUUUCGUCUUCAGUUUAAUAUUGUUUUCAAUUUUCAAUUAUUAAAACAAUGAAACCUAAAAAUUAAAAAUUAAAAACAAAAAUGGUUAUCAAACGGGCCUAAGUAAUUGAUUUUGGUCAAAAGUUGAAGCUUUCUACUAACAACCACAUAAGAAAGACUUCUCACCGUAUUUUGAGUUAGCACGUGAUGAACAUCUUCAUAACUCCACAACCUACUUCGUCUCCCAGGCUCUCUGAUAGAUUCUUGGCGAACGAUUUCCCGACCCAUUUCCUCUAAUGAAUCAUGCAUCUCUAGUUCCCCCUUCUCUGAGACAGUUAUGAGAGCUCGAUCGAUUAGAACUCUUAUUCCUAUAUGAGGAUGGAAACCACAACCGUCUAGAAUUCGGGUUGCAUGGUCUUUCUCCAUCCCUUUAAAGAAACAUGCAAUAUCUAGAAAGAUGUCCCUCUCUGUGUCAUCUAGUCCAUCGAAGCUUGAUUUAAGCACAUCAUGAAUUCCCCUUCGUGGAAUUUUCCUUAUUUUUUCUAACUCAUCUUCCCACUCGCGUAUAGUUUUGUUAUGAAGAAAAGCUCCCAGGACUUUGAGUGCUAAAGGCAGACCUUGAGCAUAUUUUACAGCACAAGUCGAGAGAUUAUCAUAAUCUCUGGUGGGUUGGUUUUUUCUGAAGGCGUGCCGCCUAAAGAGUUCCAGUGCUCCAUAAUCACUCAAGGUCUUGGGAUUAUAUAUCACAUCAGCUAUGCUUAGUAACUGCGAAUCUCUACUUGUGAUAAUAAUCCUACUUCCACCACCAAAGCAUUGUCGCUCUCCAAGUAAAGCUUCAAUUUGUUCUAAUUUUUCCACAUCAUCAACAACAAUAAGAACUUUUCUCUGACCAAGGCUUCUUAACAUCACCUGAAAACCUCUUCUCGAUAUGUCAGAGCUCCCCACCUUGUUGUCCGAGAUACUAGAUAGAAGUUGUGUCUGCAUAUGUAGUUCGCCGUGCCUCAUGAAACCCUCCUUGACAUUUUUAAGAAAGCAACAAGCUUCAAAUCGACAAGCGAUUUUAUCAUAAACAGCAUUAGCGAUGGUUGUUUUGCCUAAACCACCCAUACCCCAUAUUCCAACAACGCGAACAUUAUUCGUUUCACCUUCGGAGGGAUAUAAUAAUGAAAGCAUUUCAUGCAUGUGAGAAUCCAUGUCAACCAAGCCAUUAUCUUUGCUUGAUGUUGAUGAGAUUUUGAUCAAUCUCGAAUAAACAUCUUCUACAAUUUCCUCAAUAAGCACUGCAUCAUUCCUGUCAAAUUUUAAAAACAAUAUAACAACAACUCCAAAUAAUAAUUAAUGGGUCUUUUUCAUCUGUUAGUUUCCAAAAAAAAUAGAAAUUAAAACUAAAAUCUAAAUAUUUGUCAAAUUACCCUAAACGUUACAAAAAUCCCAAAAAUUAAAAGGAAACUAAAACAAAUUAGAAUUUACUCAUAGUUUCGCGAAUCCCAGCCGGUUAAAUCGGUGGCAGUCGUAAGAGCGGAUCUCCAGCUCUGAACCUCUUCCAUUUUGGCGUUAGAAUCAGGAUCGUGCUGAGCAAAAGCUUCGGCGAAUUUUCUCUUGAGUUUACGAACAUCAGACGGAUCAACUUCAUAGAAAAUGGGGAGUACAAUCUGGUUAUUGGUAUCCUUGCAUUCCAGGAUUUGCACAAGUUCUUUCAAGCACCAAGUGGAAGAAGCAUAGUCUUGAGAGAAAACUACAAUCGAAAUCCUCGACUCUCGAAUCGCUGUUAGGAGCUGGGAAAGGUGGUCGCCUUUUCUGAGCUUCUCGGCAUCAAUGAAGGCGUUGAUUGGUUUCUUAGCCAGAGCGUUGUAGAGAUGGCUGACGAAGCCCUUGCGAGUGUCUUCCCCUCUGAAAUUGAUGAACACAUCGUAUUUCCAACCAAGGCCAGAAGAAGAAG
Molecule: long non-coding RNA, 157047 nt
Filed under: Malus domestica (apple)
Lineage: Eukaryota; Viridiplantae; Streptophyta; Magnoliopsida; Rosales; Rosaceae
Description: long non-coding RNA (MDOM_LNC007124)
Source: RNAcentral